GUGUAAUGGGGAUUUUCAUUUUUUUCCCCCUCAUAAUUUAACUAGAUUUCUCCUCUAUCGUAGCGGCAAUCCCAGCUGAGAAGAUUAAGUUUGUUUUGAUCCGAUGUAAAUAGAAGGUAAGUUUUCAAAUACUAGGUGUUCUAUCACAAAUUUGAGACAUGCUAUUACAAAAGUGGAUUACUAAUAUUUUGUAACUACUAUUGCCUUGUAUGUAUGUAUAUUGUCCAUCUAUCACAUCCUCAUUUUUCAGAAACCGAGUUGCCUGCCACACUUCGGCACCUUGCGGUUAACAUAUCUCUUGAAAGAAUUAUAUUUUGGAGCUGUGAAAAUCAUAAAGGUUUACCUGGUGAGUGCAUAAGCUCCACCAUCUUCAAGAGUAAACAAUUUGGUAGUGUGAUCAUCUUUUUGUCUUUCCCCAAAGGAGGAACGACGUCUAAGUUGUGAGAAACUAGAGGCUUUGCCCAACGGCUUGCACAAUCUGACCUCUCUUGAACAUUUAGCACUGGAAAAUCUAAUAUUGGCAUGUUUCCCCAGAGGAUGGCUUUCUCUGCCAACUUUGAUUCACUCGAGCUUCAGGACCUGGAGAUUCGCAAAGCACUGUUCGAGUGGGAUUGCACAGAUUCGGCUAUCUCAGACGACUUGUAAUCCGCAGAGUAUGUGAGGAUGUGGGGUUCAUAUCCAGUAGAGGAGAAAGGAACGAGGAUUCCUUCCUCUCUGGCUGAACUGGUGAUUUCCAACUUUCAAAUCUGAAACGCCUGAUUGUUCGAAGCUUAAGUAUAUUUUAGGAGGGCCUCCCCACCUCACUUCUGCAAAUAUUUAUCUGGAAAAGAUCUAUGUAUAUAUAUGUAGAAAGGAUGGAGAACAAUAUUGGCACUUCACGGCAGGGAAAUUGUGUGGGAUAUACCUAUUCCCCUUAAAAUACUCAAAAUAUGCAUUAAAUUAGGGUGGGGCUAUUUGAACCCACCAAAUUACUCAUUAAAUUUACUUUUAAAAAUAAUUUUUUUAUUAAAAUACCUUAAAUUAAAUUAUAAUUAUGAGCAUUAAAAUAUAGUAAAAAGGAAAAAGAAAACAGAGUUUUUACUCUUUAAACUCGUCUUUACAUUCACCAUAAUUUUGUUAAACUCUAAUUAUAUUUUCCUCAAAUCCUAAUAAACUAGAGGUGUAAUUUUUCUUAGAAACCACAUAUUUUUGUUAAUUAGGCUCAUGUGAUUAGAUUUAGGAUAAUAAAAUUGGUGGUUACAUCUUUGUUUGCGUUUAACAGUGGCCAACAAUCAAUGACAAGUAGUGUUGUUGAAAAACUUCUCUAAACAACUUCUAUGCACUUCAUCUCCUGUCGCCAUCAAAAGUUGCAGCGAAAUAUUUAUUUGAAAAUACCAAAGAAAUUGCUUUCAAAACCAUGUCCCCUGCUUCAAAGAUUUAGAUCAAGCAAGUUCUAAAGUCAUUGUAUGGUCUCGAAAUUGAGAACGUAAGGACACUGAAUAUGCAGGGGAAGAAGGAAAAAAGAGAGGGCCUCUUGGUUGCUUGGCCAAAUUACAAGAAAGCCUCCAUGACUCUGAAGAAGCCAAUAUCUUUGCCUUUGACAUCCCUUUUUCAGAGCCUAAAGGAUCUUGAAUGAAUGGAAAUUUAAAGUAUGUGACAUUCCGUUGAAGAGAUUGUAUUUACACAUUUUAAGCAAUAAUCGGCAACAUUGAUGUUUUUCGAAUUUUCUGAAAACUAGAGUAUGAUAGCAUGAGUAAUUAAAAAAAAAAAGAUAAAUAGUGUUGUAGACGAGCCAAUUGCGCCCGGUACACCUCCAUACUUCAAAAAUUAUCUCAAUACCCUAAAAUCUAUUUUUACCAAAAAUUUUCAUUGAUACCUUUUAAAAACGGAUAGGAAAUUACUAAGCUAUCCUUAUUUUAAAACAUUUCAACUCAGCAAACAACACCUCUCCCUUCUCUACUGAAGCAAACAAACACUCAUCUGCUGCAAUUCCUUCCAUUAUCAAACUCAAACAAACAAACACUACAAUUUCCUCACCGACAUCACCUCUGCAAUUCCCUCACCGGCAUCACCUCUACCGAAACAAAUAUUCAUUCUCCAUACAUGGUAAAUCAAACUUCAACACGAGCAAACUAAGCUUGAGAAGGGGAAGUUGCCACAACUGAGAAAGAGAAGCCCAGUUCAUCGGUACAUAAUCACCGGCGAGAGCUGAUCCUUUACUGCAAAAUGGUCAUAAAUUUAACUAGUUGAGACAAAUAAUUCUUUGUAAUUAGUUUUCUUGUUAAUAUUCAGGGGAAAAAACAAAAAGUUAAGGUUUUAUAUUGAAAAAAUAGAUUAAUUAGUUGUGGGUCUCUCAUAACAUGUUAGAAAACAAAUUUCUAGUUGUUUUGCUGCAUGCAAAUUGUGAAAAAUUAAUGGAUUGUGUUGAUUAUAAUUUUGUUAUGUAACACAAGAUUUUGUCGUGUAAGGUUAUGUAAGAUUCAAGGUUGUGUAUUACACGACCUUCAUGUAUUGCAUGUUUACACGACCUUCAUGUAUUAUACAAUUACACGACUUUCUUGUAUUACACAAUUACACGACCUUCAAUUUCAAAUUUUGUUUCUUGUCAAUAGAAUAUACACAUUACAUUUAGUUUAAUUAGGCUCAUAAUAAAUUAGAAUGGUGCAGAUACCUUUACCUUGUGAAAUGUCAUUACUUAGAGAGAUCUUUAAUUUCCAAUUAUAAACCAUGGUAAGUCAUGAUUUGUCUAGUUAUGAGUGGAAAUACUUUAUCACUGCGAAUGGUGUUCUUAUGUGUAUGACAUUACAUUAAUUUCCUAUAGUUGAUAUUUUUUUUUCUUAAUUGAUUUUAUGGAUUAGUUAUAUUUAGGCAUUCCUCAUGUAUGCUUGUGCAGAGGAAGAAAGCACUUUGAAGAUAAAAAUUUUUUUUUAAAUGGAUGUAAUAUGUUUAAUUGCGACUUUAAAAUUACACGACUUUUUCCAUUAAUCAUUGGAUUAAUUUAGUUUUUUAAAGACUUAAUUUGUGCUAAGAAUUUAUAUUUGCUGCUAUGCAGAAAAUGUCAACGAAAAGUAUUAAAAAAAGAAGUGAAAUUAAAUUGGAAUCUAAAAAAAUUUCACAUCAUCAUUGGUUUGAAUUGUAACUGGUGGCAUACGAUCAGAUGUCUUAAACUUAAACUUCAUUGUGAUUUCGAAUUCCGAAGUAUCUAUAUCAUUAACUUCAGCUAUCUUCUCCACCAAUUCGGCAUAUAUUGUCGAUCGUGAUAUUAUUAUCCCUUUAGCCUUGGAACCUUUGAACUUAUACUCGUUAUUUUGCUCAAUCCAUUCACCAUUAAAGAGAAUAGGCACACGUACUAAAACCAUUUCUGAUGAUACAAUAAAAACAAUAAUAUCAAAUUUCAUAUACAAGUAAGUACACAACUUACACGACCUACACGACUAUAAUACUUAUACGACUUACACGACUAUAUUUCUUACAUGACCUACACGACUUACACGACUAUAUUUCUUACAUGACCUACACGACUUACACGACUAUAUUACUUACACGACCUACAUGACUAACUAUAUGACGUACACGGUAUCAAGAGAAUGCGCGACGCGAAACAUUUUCGCCAUAAAUAAGUUAUAUUGCUGAAAAAAAUAAUUAAACAACCUACAUUGCAUAUAUUUCUACAUAUAAGAAAAAAUGGUGAAAAUAAAACAUUGUAAUGUGAGGAAAUUUUCUAAAUUUUUCUCAAAAUUAAAAAAUUUAAAACCCAACAACAUUAACAUACCUUAUUGUGUUGUUUAAUAAGCAAUGCACCUUUAAAGAAAGAGUGGGUGUUAAAGAAAUAAAUACAUAAUUGUAUUUGUGUAAGAAGUUAUGAGAGAUUUUGAGAGAUUCUAAGAGAUUUUGAAAGAAUCGGCAGCAAAAAUGGAGUUCGGUGAAAGAAAUGAGGAAAUGAAUAUGAAGACAAUUCAUUGAGUGAAUUUGAUGCAUUCAUUAAGGGUAUUUCUGACUUUACUCACAUUUGUUAGGAUAUCUAUGAAAACUAAAAAGGGAGGGGGUAUUUCAAUAAUUUUAAAACUAUUAAAGGGUAUUUAAUUAAAAACCCCGUUGUAGACAGCCAUAAAGCAAUUCUUAUUUUUGCCAUAAAGCAAUUCUUUUUUAUGUUGGUGAUUACUGCAGAAGCAAUGAUAGAUAUUCUUUGUUUGUUGCCUCCAUGAAGAAUUUGUAUAAUUUACAUCAUGAAUCAAAGGUUGAGAUAUUGUUUUUUUUUUUUUUUAUAAUAGAAGGGCCAAACAUUGUUGAAUGGUGUAAAAUAGGAUAAAAAAGGUUUAGUAGUUACUAAUUGUGCUAUAAUAAAUUUCUUUUUGAAAAAAAAAGAAGAAAGAUGAAUAUGUGCCGUAACUAUUUUUUUUAGAAUCAUAUUCAUAAAGAAAAUCUUCAGUAUAAUGAAAAAAAAACAUUUGUUAAGGGUUUAUAAAUCAAUUUAAUGGGUUUAAUAAGUAAAAACGGUAUUAUUAUAAAACAAAAUGGGUUUAAUGAGGGUAGAUUGGGUAUUUAAGUAGGUUCAUUGAGUAAAAUUUAAAAUGUUUAAAAUUUAAAUGUGGGUUUAUUUAGUAAAUGGGUUCAGUGAAUAGUUUAGUAGGUUCAAAUAGUCUCACCCCUUAAAUUAUUACUCUUUAAUUUUACACAUAUACAAUUAAAAAAAUUAGGAAAAGAGUACGAAAAUAUCCUCAAUUAAGUCAGGUAACAAAUCGAGUAAUUGAACCACAACCAAUUAAGUUCCCUAAAUAAUUCUUGACUUCUUUCAUGUAAGUUGGGUAACGACUUGAGGAUACUCAACCUCAAUUGAACCACGAUGACUAAAUCCCUAGAAUUUUUUUUACUUCUUUAAUAAAGUCGGAUAGCGAGUGGAGUAAAUUCGAUCUUAAUUGAACCAUGAUCAAUUAAGUCUCUUGAAAAAUUCUCAACUUCUUUAACGAGGUCAGAGUUGAGUAUACUCGACUUCAAUUGAACCACGACCAAUUAAGUCCCUGAAAAAUUCUCGAUUUCUUUCAUGGAAGUCUAAUGAUGAGUUGGGUAUAUUCGACCUCAACUGAAUCAUAACCAAUUAAGUUCCCUAAAAAUUUUUUGACUUCUUUCAUAGAAGUUGGGUAAUGAGUUGAGUAUAUUUGACUUCAAUUGUACGAUGACCAAUUAAGUCCUCUAAAAAAUUCGAGACGUUUUCAUGGAAGUCCGGUAAUCCUAGACUUCAUUUGUAUCAAUAAGUAAUCAUCUUCCAAGAUAUACAAUAAUUAUAAAAAAAAUAGUAGUAUCUGCAACAACUAUAAAUUAUCCAACAAACAUUAAAUACAAUGUCAUCUCAUAACGAUUAUCAAAGUCAUCAUUAUACAAUUUCAGUAGGGAAAAUCCUUAUAAAAUAACUCAAGAUAGUCUUUCACUUGCUCCAAGCACUGAAGUCAUGUCCCAAAAACUCUAAGACAUCUUAAAGACAACAUACCAUCUACGAUUCUCCAUCAAACCUUGCAUAGACAAAUAAUUUUGAAUUUAGUACAUGUUUAAACAACAUUAAGAAGAUAAAUAAGCAUAAAUUAAUGGCAAUAUAGAAAUGAAUACAGAGAAUUGAGACACUUUCAUAUAAAUAAGCAUAAAUUAAUAUUUGACUUAUUCAUAAAUUUACUUGAUUUCUACUCGUCUUGUUCAGAGACUUGUUCCAUUAAUUACCAAAUUAUUCUAUACUACUCAACUAAUUACCUAACUUAUACUUUACUACUAGGCUUCCUAUUAGUCGACAUAUUUCUAGACUUCUUAGCCGAUUUACGUCAUGACCUCCUCAAAUAAUUUCAUUUUUUUCUAGACUAGAUACUCAACUUAUUUGACUUCCUGCUAAACUAUAUAGUCAACUUAAUCAACUCUUUUCCUUCACUACUUGCUCAACUAAAUACUUGAUCUACCCAACUUCGUAUUCGACUUCUUCCCGGAAUCAUUUUUCAAUCAUCCAAAACUUAAGUUGAAUAUUUUGGUCUUAAAUCCUUAUAUUUUAUGCAAUCGUGUGUGCUUGUUUGUGCAAGCGCUAAAAUGAAUAAUCUAGUAUUACAAACUCAUAAAUUUUAAGCAAAUAUACUUGUAAUGAAAUCAAAUAAAAUUCAAAGUACAUAAAAUGUUUAAAUUUCAAACAUACCUUAUCCACCACUUGAUAGUCCACUUGAUAAUGUGUUGGAGGUAAGAGAUGAAAUGAUGAGAGGAGAGAAAACCGUGAGAGAGGAGGAAUUGUGAGGUGUGAGAAAGUGUUUGAAAUGGUGAGGUGAGGAAAUGUAGAUAGAUAGUAUUUUGUACUUUUUCCUCUUUCUUCGGGGCAUAUGUAUGCAAUGGGGUAGAAAUUUGGUACUUAGGGGGAAAUGGGGCGUGUUCAAAUUAAAAACCCCUUCAUAGCCAAGGUGGUACGGAGAAGUCAAACUUAUAUAGGGGAUGGAAUUGGAAAGCUAACAUAAUUUCUCAUCAAACAAUUAUACGAUAAAAUAACCUUAACUUUCAAGUUAUAAUUGUAAGUGUUUAGCCAAGGUGGUACGGAGAAGUCAAACUUAUAUAGGGGAUGGAAUUGGAAAGCUAACAUAAUUUCUCAUCAAACAAUUAUACGAUAAAAUAACCUUAACUUUCAAGUUAUAAUUGUAAGUGUUUAACAAAUACUGUAGAGCUAGAACUCCUACAUAGAUGUGGUUCACUUGUUUCCUUUCCUCAAUUAUUUUUUGUUUUGUUAAAUUUUUUAUAUAAAUUUUAAGAUAAAAAUAGUUGUAAAUUGUGCGAUGUCAAGAGCAGAUAAAAUGAAAGUCGUUAUCUUUUCUGAUUAAAAAGGAAACUGAUGGUCUUGAAUUUUGGAUAAUUUAGUUCUACUCAACUGUAGUGUAAUUUAUCUUAGUUAGUGCAGACAGAGAUUAUAAUACGAUUUGCAGAGAAGGGCAGAAAGGUGCAAAAAUUAUAAGAGGACGGACAAUUGGGCAGUUGACAUCACCAUAAAUGGUAAAUGAGUUUUUGAUCACUCAUAAUCAAUUAUCCAUUGAAGAUUGAAGGGAAUAUUGCUGAGCAACAAACAGGAAACAAGGGAUUUAGAGGCUGGUGACCAAAUGUACUUGAGGUGAAGAUUUUCUUUAAUCCUAGCAGCAAUUAGAGGGAUUUAAACAUCUAGAGAUUUGUUCUAUGAAGUGAGCUGAGUGAAGGAGAACAUUAGAUCUUACGUACAUUUGGUAUUUUGUCUAGUAGCUAUAGCUGUAUCGCUUGUUUAAGUAUUUAGUAAACUACUGGUAAUUGUUGACGAGAAAUUAAGGUGAUAUUAUAUAUGCUAUCAUUGUUCGAUGAAAAACUUAUAUUACUUUUUUUGUUUUAUCAAAAUUUAUAUCGCAUAAAUAUAGUCGAUGUUUAUGUCAUAAUUAAAGCUCCUUAUUCAUGGAAGCCACAGCACCAAACAAACUAAUAUACACACUCUAAGGGAGCCUAAGUAACGUGCCCUAAAAUAUUAAUUAGUCACCCCAAACACAAUUAACCCAUUUAUAAAUUCCAAGUCUAAAGUUGUUUGGUUUCUGUAUUAUAUAAUAGUUGGUAUUAACAAAAAAGUAUAGCCGAAUUAUUCAAAUGGUAAGUGCAGCGGAUCUCAUAAUCCAAAAAUGAAAUUAUUGGUAAAUAAAUUGAAAAUACUAUAACUGAAAUCAUCACAUUAAAAAAUUAAUGGUAUUACCAACUCUUGAGAAAAAAAUUCAUUAUUUUAACUUUCCAACCUUUCGUGAUGAAAUUUUCUUCUAAUAUGUUAAGAAUGAAAAUAUUAUCGAAGACUAUUAGCAAGGUGAAUAGUAUAGCUGAAUUAUUCAAAUGGUAACAUCAUUUUCUUUCUUUAUGGAGUUAAGAAUAGCCGCGGAUGUUCGAACAAAAUUCUAUGCGCCUGAGCACCUGUGCACAAAAAGAACAUAGGAUUGUUGAAAUUUGAAAACAAACUCAAAAACGAGUAUAAGAAAAUUCAGCAUCGAUGUCUUUUAUCAUUACUUUCAAGUUUUGUUGAAGUUUAUGGAUAAUUGCAACGUAAUUCAUAAACUAACUAAAAAAUUAUUGGUAAUAACUUGAAUGAAUAAUUUAAAAAUACUUUUAUUGAAAUCAUCACACAAAAAAAUAAAAUAAAAUGAAUAGGUUUACUAACUCUUGUAAAAAAAUAAUUAUUGUCCCUUUCCAACUUUUUGUGAUGAAGUUCUUCUAAUAUAUAUAUAUAUAUAUAUAUAUAUAUAUAUAUGUAUUAUAUUAUAUUAAGCAUAGAAAUAUCGUUGAAGACUAUUGGUGACAAAAUUAGAUGAAGUUUCUUCUAUAUAUAUAUAUAUAUAUAUAUAUAUAGGGUGGAAGUUGAAAACUGUGGUUAGGGGGGCCUUGUGCCCGCGUGUAUAUAGUAAAAGAUUAAGAUAAACUUUACUAUAAAUGGCAAUGUAUUAACAUCAUGAAAGACAAAAUAAUUCAAAGAUAUAUAUCUAUAAAUAUGUUCAUCUUUCAAUAAGUUUAUUCAUCUUCAAUAAAAGUAACCAAUUAAACUAAACUUAAACUCGAACCUAAAUAAAGAUAAUUUGUAACAGAAUUAUAAUAAAUGUGUAGGAACUUAGAGGUUCAUAUUGUGUGUGAUUGGACUAUUUAUCAUCGGAGUUAGGAUAUAAAGAACUAAAAGUAGUUAUAUCAUGAUAAUUUGGUAAAUGCUAAUUAGUUUAGGAAUAUUUUUUAAUUUCUAUUGUAAUUUAAUAAAAUAUUUACCUAUUAAUUUUUUUCCUCAAUUUUUUACCCGGACCCGACCCACAUCAGUUUCUCCUAAGUUUUACCCCUUUAUGUAUGUAUAGUAAUUUUCUAAUAGGAGAUAAAUUAAAAAACAUGAAAAACAUACACUCCAAUGCUCCAUUAUAGUGAUUCAUUUUGAUUUUAUAGUAGAUUAAAAAAUUUAUAUUUUUCUAUCUUUUAACUUGAUUCUUAUCAUGUUAAAGUAAAGAAUUCCUUAUUAAAAAUGGACUCAUAUAACCUAAGCAUCUAUCACUGUAUGUUAUUAUUAUUUAAAACAUCUCCAUUUUGUAUCAUUUCCCUCCGGAUGUGACUAACAAUUAGUUCGAACCUUAAAAAAAAAAAACAACGGUUAUGACAGAAAUAAAAAAAGUAAAGAAAAAUGAUAUGCAGUCUACUAGUGAACUCACCUCGACUACAUUAAGAUUUACAUGACCGUAGGUUGAGAUAGAUGGGGUUUAUUGGCAGGGGUGAGUAAGAGAGGCUCUGUGAUAGAGACCGACAUUGAAAAUAUUCCUGUCUUGCUUGCUUGAAUAUCACAAACUAGACUUGAUCAUUCAAGUGCCCCAUUGUUUAUUUUCUCAUUUUCCAUUACAAAGAAAUGUCGACAUGUCAUUGGAGAGGCGAUGCUAAAGGCGUCCGUUGAGAAACAGUUCAAAAAGUUGGCUUCCGAGGAAUUCGCAUUGAAAAACUGAAAGUUGCGGCUUGAAGAACCAGCUAGGCAGCCAUUACAACUAAUUUGGGAAACUAAUUCGCAGUUGCUACACAAGUUUUACUGCAUUGCAUGAUGUCUGAAAUAACAGAGACCACUGCUAGACUGCAUGAAAAUUCAGGUGGGAAGUCUUAUAAAGUCAGACAAAGGCUACCCAGAACCUAUUUGGUGAGUAAGGCUAAAUUGUAUGGCAGGGGAACAGAUCACGAGAAUGUUGUUGAAUCGUUGUUGAGGGAUGACAUAAGAUCUUGUUGAAAUGAACUCAAACUCGUCAGAACAACUUGUCGUGUUUAAGUUGUGAAGAUGAGUGACAUGUCAUUUCAGUUGAAGGAGAUUCCAGAGCUGACAAUUUGACAAUAUCGUACAAGACCAUUAAAUCUCACGUGACUAAUGCACGCCUGUUUUAAGCUUAAACGGCAUUGCUAGCAGUCGUUUAAGUAAGGCUUUAAAGUGGCGCGUGAGGAGCUCGUGACAGGUUGGUUAAGGCUGUUGGAUUUGGAGGGAAAAUUCUGGAUCUGUUACGCCUGCCCAACUGAUAUAUAUACAAGCUGGUUCUGGUGUAAUCUUGUUGGAUCAAGGUGAGAGUGAUAAGGCAGCCAUAGUGAGAGUUAAGCUUUGUGAGUGAUCUCCGUAUUGUGUAUUAUCAUCUCUGUAACCUUGAAGCUUAAUAAAGUUGCUCCUUGAGUUGUUUUCUCUAGUGGAUGUAGGCACCCUCAAAGGUGCUGAACCACUUAAGUUCUUGUGUGUUCUUGUUUCUUUGGGCCGUGUUCUUUGAUCUGAUCGUAGUUCUUGGUUAGCUUAAAUUUGAUUCUUGAGUCUUUGAGUCUGAGUUAGGUCUUGGGGUGUGAUUAAUCUUGUUGAGUACAUAAAGGCACCAAGUCGGCCAUGCUACUGGUUCCGCCUCGGCACGGAUCUUUUCAGCUAUAUGGUACGAGCAGAACACGGGGUUAAACAGGAUCCGACCCGAGAUGAAUGCGACCAGGAAAACAUACCGACCAGAAGUAUACGCCGAGCCGAUACUCAUCUCCAGGAAAGCAGGAACACGAUCUCACAAAAUCGCGGUAGUUGCGCUUCUCCCAGAACGGUUGAAGGACACGCGAGAUCCACGUUUGCCCACAAUCUAACAGUUAGAGUCCCAUGAGGGGCUACCACCACCCGAAAAAGGAGGGAUAAGGGGCAAACGGAAAACGUGGGACAAAGGGCGGCUAUAAAAGAGAAAGACAUCGAAGAAGACAGGGACAGAAAAACUGAGAGAGGGGAAACGCUGCCAAAUUACAACCAGGCCAUUUCCUUACAAAUUUCUUAAAUCCACAUUAUGCUGUUUUCCCGUAAACACCUUGUGCUAACUUAGGCAUCGGAGGGUUUACGCCGGCAAAACCACCGGCAUCUCUGAUCCGUUUUUGCUGAACGCAGGUCUAGUGAGAGAGGGAAGGGCGAUUCCAACCCCAGUGGUUCGAGUGAUAGUUGAUAACACAAACGUUGGUGACAGAAUCUGGUCGGUCCAAGGGCGAGCAGAUUUCAGCAUCAACAAAUCUAGUAAUUAAAGGGUUAAUUUCACAACAGAUCUAAGAAUGGAUUCUCUGCUGUUCCCAUUGUAGGGAUGCCGGGGGUGGGCAAGACAACUCUUGCUCAGCAUGUCUAUUACGACGUUCGACGAACGUGCAAGAUCAUUUUGAUCUGCAAGCGUGGCCUUGUGUCGCUGAAGAUUUUGAUAUCUUAAAGGUAAUGAAAUCAGUCCUAGAGUCCAUUGCUACUGAUCAGCCUGUGGAUGAUAAUGACUUGAAUUUGCUACAAGGGAAAUUGAAGAAACAAUUUUCCGGAAAGAAAUUUUUGCUCGUUUUAGAUGACCCGUGGAAUGACAAUUAUAAUCAUUGGAGGACCUCAGCCGUCCAUUUGAAUCUUGUGCACUGGGCGGGUAGCAAGGUUGUUAUCACUACUCGCAGUAUGAAUGUUGCAACAAUGAUGGCGACUACUUCAAUUUAUCCACUGGAAUAUCUGUCAGAUGAAGAUUAUCUCUGUAUACUUGCCGAAAAAUCCCUAGGAACAAUAGAUUUCAGCAAUCAUCAAUCCUUGAUGGAAAUUGGCAAGAAGCUGGUGAUUAAAUGCUACGGCUUACCUUUGUCCAGCAAAAGCUAUUGGUGGCCUAUUAGGUGGCAAAUAUGACUUGAGUGACUGGGAAGAUGUGCUCAAUAGCGAUAUAUGGAAUUUAUACUCAGACGACGGAGAUGGCAUUUUCCCAUUGCCAGCCCUUAGAUUAUGCUAUCAUUAUCUUACUCCAUGUUUGAAGAAAUGCUUUGUAUCUUGCUCACGUCUCCCUAUGGAUUAUGAAUUUGAUGAAGAGGAGCUUGUUUCAUGAUAGAUGGCUGAAGUUUUUUUGGCUCAUGAUGAGAGUAAUAUGUAAAUGGAAGAUUCAGGUGGUGAGGUUUUCAAGGAGCUACAUUCAAGGUCGCUUCAUCAACAAUGAAGCAACGAUACAUCACGGUUUGUGAUGCAUGGCCUCAUCUACGAUCUUGCUCUUUGAGCUGCUAAAGGACUGUUGGGGGCAAUUACGACACAGCACAAUGAUACGGAACCCAGUCUCAGAAAGAAGCUCCCAGCACAUAGAUAUCAGAGAAGAUAAUAACAUUGAGGAUCACAAGGCACAUGAAAGAAGAAAUUGGACGGUCAGUCUUGUAAUGAAGCUCCUGUACAAAUUAUAGAUUUAGAAUUUUCCAUAGCUUCCUUUUUUCUCCAGUCUCCUUUUGUAUUUUACUCGCACAAAUUGGUAACUUUUAACUCCUAUAUUUUCAGAGAUCGAAAUCUGAGUGAUCAGCUAAAUAAAGAUGUUUGAAAUGAAAACGACUGAGUCAAACAAUUGGUCUACUGUCGCUGUAGCACUGGCCUUCUAGGUGAAUGUACGUGCAGCGUUGAACCGAAUACAAUGAGACAACUGACUAAAGAAGCAAUCUAGUAACAAUCUACGAUCAGUUGAAAGCAAUUAAUCAAUCAGCAAAAUUAAGAAAAUAGCUGAUCAAGAUCAAUACCAGAAAAUUACCUGAAUCGGUAGGUUUGCCUAAAUCCGUGAAGAGAAUUAGCCUCUAGAAAGCUUAAUUGACGAUGGUGAUGACACAAUAUUUACCCAACUCACUACAAAAGAGAAUGUACCACUUAAGACUCUUUCUAAUUCUUACUCUAUCAAAAGAAAAUCAUAUGUAGAAUGGACAAUAGUCACCAGCCUUAUAAAUACACUCUUUGUUUCCAUAAUUUUGAACCUCUUAGUCUUCUACUCUGUUUUGUAUUAACCGCAGUAAUUCGUGCACUAAUUAUGAGGUUGCUCUAUAAUCUUAAUCAAUAAACCACUGACUUGGCAACAAAGAUUGAUACAGGCAGCAAAUGAAAUGAAACUUCAAGUUCACUGACUUGUUUAUAGUAAAAAAAAUUGCAGUCAUGACAACGAAACGGUCAUUAUAAUUAAUGUGCUUUUGCUGGAUCUUAUGUGCUAAUCAGAUAGGCCUAAAAAAUAUGAUGGACAUUGUUGGCCAAGUAUCAUGAUAUCCGGACCGUACAAUCCCAAGUAAAAUCAAGUCAGGUGAUUCAAAUCAUUUUUGGUGAUGUGAGAGCAAAGAGACUGUUAGUCAUUACAUAAUCCAUUAACAGUACCAGUUAUUAAUGAUUGAUCAGCUAAAUUUUUUUCUCAAGUUUGCGUAGUAUCUUUUAUGCUUCCUUUAUGCAAAUUAAAAAAUUUGCUGCGAUUAGCAAGUACUUUUCACAACUUGCAUGAUACUCGGAUGGAAUAAAGUGCUCUUUUCCGGAAGCAUUUGUCAUGGCAUUGAGAUAUCAAAUCGAUUAAUGGACUUGAUUGCAAUUGAUAUCAAAUCCAUUUUCGUUUUCCUAAAUUAAAGAAAUAUGUAUAGGCGGAGAUAUCUUCAGUUAAAAGUACCCACCAAACAAAAAAUUGUUUAAUUUAGAAGGAUUUGAUAGUAAUCGAAUUCGUACUUGUUGGCCAUUAUCAAUUUAAUCUCUUCAGUGAUGUUAUUUUCGGUUAUUUCGAAGUUGUAAUAUUUAAUUAAACUAAUAAUAAUAUACUGCAUUAGUUUGUACUAUAUUGUUCUUACGAAAAUAUCUGUAGCUAUAUCAUUUAUCUCAUUUUUAAGUGUGUUGGUGUGUGUUUAUAAUUUGUCAAGAUGAAAAAAAUCCCAUUAGAUGAUAAAUAUGCAUUAUAUAUAUAUAGUGCGAAUGUCCUCAUUUUUUUUUUAUGUGAACAAGCUUUUAAACCCCGCAGUUUAAGAGAGUUAAUUUUUUAUUCUCUUAAGUCACAUAACUUUAUAGUUCAUUAAAAAACUAACUCUCUUAAACCGUACAGUUUAAAAGCAUGCCUGCAUUACCCACACCUAAGAGUGAUUAUACAUUGAAAUACAAGUUAUGCAACCCAAGAGGGGGGUGAAUUAAGUUUUUAAAACUUAAGCUAAGCAAACCACACAACAAUUCAAUCUAAUGUCUUAAUAAAUUCGAAAAUAAUAAGUUCAAUAAAACACAAUAAUAAAUGAGUAAGGAAAGAGAAAACAAACACAAUGAUUUUUACGUGGUUCGGCAAUCCUUGGUUACGUCCACGCCUCCAAGCAACUCAAGCUUGAGGAUUUCACUAUCCAAACCUUCUAAGACUUCAAAAGCUUACAAUUGACUUCCAAGGUGUCAAUGAACCUUUACAACAAAGAGAUUAUCUCCCAAUCUCUUCACUCAAGUGUCUCACACACUUAAACACUCAUAAUUAAGAUGAGGAAAUGAACAUUACAACAAAAACUCUCUUUAAGAGUAGAUAUACAAAUUGAAGAACAAAGAUGAUUCAAUGUUUUAUGAUUUGCGAAAAUGAGAGCUCAAUAUAUGUUGUGUGCUUUUUGUUUUUGCUUCCUUAGAUUACCAAAAUUGAAUUGGAUUUGAGUUUAUAUAGUUUGAGCUCAAAAACUAGCCGUUAUGCACAUUUUGGUGGUAACUGGCUUACCGUUUAUGGAAUCUGGUUAGCUGCUUUUAUGUUACCGCUACAACAAAAAUUUGAAUUUCAGAGCAUCCGGCAUGCCGCUUUUCAUAUCUGGAUAGCUGCUUUCAAAAUUCGGAUAGCCGCUUUCAAAAUCCGGAUAGCCAUUUAUGUUCCAGAAGCUUACUGCCCAAAAUUCGGUCUUCCGCUUGUAAAAUCCAGUUAGCCGCUUACUACAGUAACUGCUACAGUGAAUUAUUUUCUAAAAUUAUAGUUUUAUCCCAAAAUAUUUCAUAACUGUACUAUGGCCCAAAACGUUAUAAAUUUUGCAAAUAGGUCCAAUUUCAGAAUCUCUAAAUAAUGCUCGUUGUUCCCAAAACUUUAUGAAAUUAUGAUAUGAUGCAAAAUACUAUGAAACUUUUUAAAUAAGUCAUUCUCCAAAAUACGGAUCCCAAAAACAUACACUCACCUCACCAUGUAUACAAGUUGCAAAUGACACCCCAUAUUUCUAAGGCGAGGUGAGCGCUGCCCUCCCCCAUUUUCCCUAAAACUGGGCCCUACUAAGCAUGUUGCAUGCAAGCACAUCUCCGCUUCCCCAAGGAUAAGGCAACCACUACCCCACUAGCCUAGAAGCAAUGAAGUGAAGAGUAACCGCCACUACUCACUUCCCUUGAUGAGAACCUUAACUGCCCACUUAGCUUGUCUCCACUUUUUGUACUCUAAGGCCAUGUUCUCCCACUAGUUGCACCAACAACUACCCAUUCAUGCUAGUUUUUAGGACCCACUUCUAGUGAAUUUCCAACCAACAUGCUCCCCAUUUGACUGCCAAUGCUCGAACACAAGCCGCGUACGUAAUACAAAUGCGUCUUACAUUCGCAUAGUUUGGCCCUUGUGCACGCCCCCAUUUGCUGCAUGGUUGCACGCACCCCUGUACACAUUUGUGCUACUGCCUUGUGCCAUCCUGCAUUCUACCCACUUAGCCUGUGUGCCCUAUACACCCUGCACACUUGCGACAUGUUAGGUGCAUUGUUCGCUCACGCCCUUAUGCAUGCUGUCUCGCGCUCUUUGCCCUUGUUCCACAACGUACGCUUGCUCCUAGCCCGCGCGCCACUCUUGCCUUACUUUUGUGCUUGCCCACAAGCAUGCCUAUUGUUGGGAAAUAGAUUACCACAAGCAGUUGAAAUUAAGUGGAACAAACUCUUUCCCUCUUUGUGUGAUUAAAAUAGGAUGUGUGCUACAAAUAAAUAUGUAGAAAAAUAAAUCAAUAAAUCCAAAGCAAAACCAACCACAAGAGACACCGAUUUUUACGUGAAAAACCCAAAUUGGGAAAAACUAUGGGAUCGUAGUCUGAUAUAAACUUUCACUAUAUCAAUGGAAUUACAACACAAAUUCUUCUCCAUAUAACACUAGAGGCUAACAAUAUUAAAAUUCUCAACAAUCUUAGCUUACAAUAAUAGAUCUAAAAUCUAUUUUCUCCAAUAAGUGGGUAUAUCAAAUAACAACUAUAGAGAGAAUAAAAUACAGAUCAACACCAGUAGAAAUGUAGAGGGUGAUGUCAAGAACUUACCCUCCAAAUUUGGGAUAAAUCGGAGCUAAAAUCACAUUCCGAUCGAUGAAUCAAAUAUUAAAACCCUCAAAGGAAACUUUCUCUCUCGCAAUGUCUUUUCUCUUCGUGAAAUGGCUACAUCUCUCGCGAUUCUUCACUUAUUUCCUUGUUAAUUUCAUCAAAGUCCAAAAGUUUAUAAUAAUUACACAUCAAGUAAAUUAUUUUGGAUUUUAGGAAUUUUGGUCCACCGAAGUGAGAUGGACCUUACAAAUCUCCCCCUCCAUCUCAUUUGAGGGGUACCACCAAGCCCGCUCUCUGCUUACAACUUUUCAACUUCUCCUUGGGCAAUGACUUUGUCAUCAUAUCUGAUGCAUUCUUCGUUGUGUGAGUUUUCUCAAACUACAACUGCUUCUACUCAAGCACAUCUCGUAUCCAAUGAUACCUCACAUCAAUAUGCUUCGACUUCGAAUGAUAUAUUGAAUUCUUCGCGAACUGGAUAGCACUUUGACUAUCACAAUACACAAUGUAGAUGUCUUAUUUAACACCUAGCUCUCACCACAACAAAAAUGGCUUUCUGCAACAAAAAGAUUUUGUUGCCUAAAGUGCCAAUUUUGUUGCCAUAGGCUAUUGCUACAAAAACAAGCUUGUCAGCCAAGUCAUCGACCUAGCAUUGUCGCCCUCUAUGUUUGACAACAUAUCAGAACAUUUCUCGCCCCAGACUUCCUUUCGUAACAAAAUAGAUUUGUUGUAAAGGAGUCUCCAACUUGUUUAAAAAUUUACGCUAAACUGUUUUACGCAACAAAAUUAUUUUGUUUCUAAAGAGUUAUUUACUACAAAACUAUUUUGCUGCUAAAAAAUAAAGUACACUUCAUAAAAGUACAUACCAACAAAGGUGUUUGUUUGCUAAGAUCAUUUUAGGCAACAAAACUGCUUUGUUUCUUUAUGUUGAGCAUUUUACAAAUUUACAAUAAAUAUUUAAAUAUUUUUAUAAACAAAUCAAUUUUUUCAUUAAAAAAUACUACAAUUUUUUGUUUAAUAAUAUCAUGGUAUAAAAGGAAACAAACCAAGUUUGGUGGGAAAAUACAAUUUUUUUCCCUAGCGUGACAAUAAUAAACUAGAAAUAUAUGUUGAGAAAUCUAACAAAAAAAAUCAUUAAUGCCAUUGAAUUAAUUUAAAAGUUAAAGGCCCAUUCAAUAUCCAAGCUAUAUAUAUAUAUAUAGCUGACUUUAAGAAUCACAUAUGAUCUUCAAAUACAAAAGUGAAUUGUCAUCUGUCCCAAAAAUCUAAUGAGCAAAAUAUUUGAACGAUCUCUAAUAAUAACUACUCCAAACUCCAAAUACUUAAAGAUAUGACAUGCACCAACAAUAACCGAAAAGAUCAACUGAUGACUAAUUCAAAAAACUAACAAGUUCAAGAUACUCUAAGGACAUCAUUGAAAUGAGUAAUCAUUGAGUAGCUGAAUUUGUAAAGCGAAAAGAUGUUCCUUGAGAAGAAAAAAAUUGCUGCAUCAUACUCUCAAAUUGGGAUAAUUUGGACUCCAAUUGAUCAAUAGUAUUCUUUUGCUCUUUAAGCUCAACAUCUUGUGAAUCCAAUCUACUUUUUUGUGAAGAUAUAAUACCAUACAAUCUGUCAGCCUCAGAAGUAUCAAUACCACGGGUUGGAGUUGGGUGUGGUCUGUUGCCAAGUCCUCGAAAAUAGCCUGAUUUCUUUCCAACUACUUCACUACAUAUUUCCCUUUGAGUUAGUGGUUCUGCUUCUUCAGGAUUAGUUUGUUGUUGUUGUUGUAGCUCUACCAUUUGACCUUAUACAUAAAGCUUCGCUAGUAAAGGAAGGAAGAAAAAAAAGAAUUUUAUUAAUUAAACAAUUGAAAUUUAAUCCACUGGUCAUGGAAUUAAAUUGUAUUAAGGCAUAAAUUUAAAAAAAAAAACUUGUUGUUAUACUUAUAAAUCUUAUCAUUUGAUAUUUCAAAUAAUAAUGUUAAUUGAAGCAUGAAAGAAAAAUUAAGAAAAAAAACUCAAUGAGUAAAUUUUCAUCAAUAUUAUGUAAGUGAUAAGAAAUAAUAAAAUUAAAGAUUUUAUUUCCAAUAAAGCAUCUUACAUGCUUUGAGUGGGUCACCUCAUUCACCCAACCUUUUGUCUUAUUGAAAUGAGUGACACAGAAUAAUUCUAUUUCUCCAUCAACCAUGUCAUCCUCAAGAUAAUUAACAAAAGGUCUUGAUCCCCCACAAUGGACUUAUGGGAGCUUAGCACGAUUAGCUUUAUUUUUGGUAGAUUGAGUCUACAUUAAAAAAAAAAAUAACAGUAGAAAAUAAGAUACAUAUACAAGCAUAUUGACAACUAGUUGGACAUCUAAAGUUUAUAAUAUAAAUAUCAUUGGAUCUGUAAACUUGUGGAAUUGUAAAUGUUAUGACAAAGCCAAUCCCAAUCAUUUAGACAUAUGCCUGGAUAUGGAUGCUUAAGUGCCUCUUCAAAGGAUGGAUAAUCCAAGUAAUGAUCAUACAUCCAAUGUCUCAUAUCACGAUAUCUCCCACCCAUAAUGUUAUUCACACAUCAACGAACAUGUGGCAAGUUCAAAUCAAUCUUAAACUUUGACUGAAUUUAGAAAAAAAAAUCUUAGUUUAUAAUUUUAAAAAAUAGUACAUGAAGAAUAUUAAGAACCAUAAGUACUCACUAAUAGUCAAUCAAACAAAACUUGCCUCUCUGAUUCUGGAAUCUUGCUCCAUUACUCGUGCUGAAGAUGUGCAAACCUUCUAACCAAAUAGCCACACUCACUUGACAACAUGGAAGAGUACUUAUGACCUACUGGCCUAUUAGUCUCGGGAGAGAUAUAUAGCUUUAUUUUUCCAGAUAAUUGCACAAUGUCAUCCAUUUUUUUCCCAUAUGAGGGGCCACACGUUCUUUUCUUUAUUGGCUGAAUAUCUAUUUUAUAUACAUGUGUGUGUGUGUGUGUGUGUAAAGCAUGUAUUAGUAUAAGAAACAAAAUAUUGUAUAUUCUAUUAAAAAAAUCCUACCAAUUAAACUCUUUAAAUACCAGAUUCUAGAGUUGUAACACCACCUUGCACAAACUCUUGGCUAGGUAUAACAAGCUGAGAUGGGGAAAUUGUAGAUGUGACAACAAUUUUUGCCCUUACACGUUUGGUAACUCUAUGUCCAGGACCCAUCUAGUUAUUAUUAAAAAUAUACAUUAGAGUUUAUUAAUAGCCAAUAUAAAAAUGAAUCAAGAUAACUAUAAUUUUGUCAAAAAAAUUAUAACAUGAAAGAUUUUUUAAUAAAAUUUUCAUAUUCAAUCAAUAAUAACCACUUUACUUGUAUUCUUCAGAAUAUCUCACAGGCACUUAUAAAAAUUUUAACCAUUAAUUCACAUUUUUAAACAAGAACUAACUAAAACUAAACAAGAGAGUAUAACACGAACAAAACAAAAAAGAUAAAAAUAAGUUAAAAGACAACCAUGCAUGAAGGAGUGAAAGGCGACAAGUCAAUUUGAUUGCUCAAGAAUUCCUUAAGAAUACUUAGCUGCAUGAAAGAAAGAUAUCAGAGUUAGAAUAUAAAAGUUAGUAAACCAAUAAAUUAAUUUCAUAUAAAAUAAUAAUACAAGAAAACUUAUAUAUAUAUAUAUAUAUAAUACAACAAAGAAAACAUGAAUGCUUACAUUUGAAGCUUGUAAUAAAGCAUUACACAUGUGAUUACAUGUCAAUAUCGCUAUCAUCAUAAUCCUUAUUUAACUCUUCUUCACUGCUGGAGAAAUAUUCCUCCAUUGUUUCAUCUUCAUCUUCUUCUUCAACAAGUUUGAAAUUAUCUGCAUCAUUAUCUCUUGCCCUUUCAACAUACACAUGUGAUGAAAUUACUUGUGGAUCAACAUUAUUUAUAUUAUACAAUUGUGCAUUAGCGUGUUCAAGUUGUACCGAGAGAACAAAGUCAGAUGACUCAUUUUGCUGAUACACUUGUUUAUUUGCACUCCAACUUCCAUUUUCAUUUUCAUUUAAGCUUUCUUUCUCUUGAACAUCCCACAAACCCCUAUGCUGCACCUUUUCUACAACCUUCCAGCCUACUCCUAACUUUGAUUGAUAGAAGUAAGGUGGUAAUCACGAUUAAUUCUUUUUUUUUCCUAAGAUUAGUGUCAAACCAAUCACACUUAAAUAGAAUUACUCGAUAUCCAAGAAGAUAUAUUAAUUCUAUAACAUUACUGAGUACACCAUAAAAGUCAAUUUCUUCAUUAUCAUGCUCCCUUGGCACCAUUACUCCACUAUUUUGAGUAGUACGAUGCUCAUCUCGACUUGUGACAAGAAAUCGCACUCUAUUUACAAUACAACCAGAAUAACUAAAAACUAUAACAUCUGGUCCACAAGUUAAAGCAUAUAGUUCAUCAUUUAUUGUUAAAGAUCCCUCAUCUCGUAAUUGUCUCAUCUAUAAAGCAUAAAUUAAUUUAUUACAAGCUUGUUAUAAUGGAGUUAAAAAAAACUAAUUAAUUUGACAACUAUAAUUACUUACAUGUGCUGCAAGCCACUUAGGAAAAAGUAAUUGUUGUCUUUUAUUUAAAUUAGCACCACUUUCUCUUUGUAAUAGCCGUUUGUGCUCACUAUAAUUUGAACAAAUAUAUUAUGAUAUGUUAUAUAUAAAUAUAUUUAUAUAAAUUAAAUAAAAUGACUAAUAUAUUUUAUGCUUACUCUAGGUAUUCUUGGACUUCAUCAUAGUUGUUCAAAACAUACCAAUGUGCAAUGUUGAUCUCUCGUUGUGAUAACUCAAUUUGAGAUUUACCAAAAGGUCGAACAUUCUGAGAGAAGACUGAAAGUCCUCUACUCUUUGUCCACCAUCAUCAUUAUGCUCAACACGAUUAAAUUUGGUUUCAAUAGAAUCUAAAUAUAAUGAAAAAAAAGACAAAGAUUCAUUUAUGAUAUAGGCCUCGGCAAUCGAUCCUUCAGGUCGAGCUUUAUUCUUUACAUAGCUCUGAUAUCGGCCUAAAGCGCCCUGUUCAACAACAAAUGAUUAAAUUUAAAAAAGUGACUUGUGAAUGUAAUGUAAAUAUAAUAAAAAUAUUAUAAUCAAAUAAUGUGAUUACCUUUCAAUUGGGUACAUCUAUCUUAAUGCAACAGGACCGACAUAUUUUGCUUCACGUGGUAAGUGCACAGCCAAAUGCAUCAUUAUGUCAAAGAAUGCAGGUGAGAAAUUUUGCUUAAGCUUGCAAAGUAUCAAUACAAUCCCCUCUAAUUUAUCUAACUCACUCUUAUAUAAUGUUUUUUAAUACAGUUGUCUAAAAAAGUUACAAAGUUCAAUAAUGACUGAGCAAAUAUCUUUAUGUAAAUAUAAACGUAUUCCAAUUGGAAGGAUUUAUUGUAACAAAACAUUACAAUCAUGGCUUUUUAAACCUAAUACUUUUGCAUCCUUGAUGUUGACACAAUUGGAUAUAUUUGCAGCAUAACCAUCUGGAAACUUCACUAACUUCAGAAAUUGACAAAAUUCUCUUCUUUCAUUUAAAGUCAGUGUGUAUGAAGCAUGAGGUUUUGAAAGUUUGUUUCCUUCUAGUUUUAGAUGCAACUCUUUCCUUAUGUUCAAAUCCUCUAAGUCAAGCCUUGCUUUAACAAUAUCUUUAGUUUUCCCCUCAAUAUUCAAUAAGGUUCCAACUAAAAUAUCACAUUUAUUUUUCUCAAUAUGCAUAACAUCCAAAAAUGUCUUAUUUUCAACUUGGACCAAUACUCCAACUCAUAAAAUAUGCUCUUCUUUGUCCAAUUUAAAUCAUUUGUACUACGUUUCUGCUUUCUAUCUUUGUUAUUUUCAUUUUUUUCAGGCCUAGCUUCAUUUAUCUUCUCUAAUUGCCUUAGAAUGUCAUCUCCUGAAUACUCCGUAGGUGCUGGAUCAAAUUCAAAAUCACCAUCAUGUUCUCUAUUAGCUCUCCAUGAAUGACCAUACGACAAAUAUCGACGAUGACCCAUGUAACAUAUCUUACUAUUCAACUUUCGCAAAGAUGUUUCUACAUUACAAACCAGGCAAGCCUUAUAACCUUUAGUGCUCCAUCCAGAUAAAUUUCCAUGUGCAGGAAAAUCAUUAAUAGUCCACAUUACUGUAGCAUGCAUACGAAAUGUUUGUCCAGUGGGCACAUCAAAGGUUUCAACACUAUGAUUCCACAACUCUUUUAAUUCAUCUGUUAAUGGCCUUAUGUAAACAUCAAUAUCCUUACCUGGUGUUUUUGGUCCUGGGAUGAGUAGCGACAUCAUCAUGAAUGGAUCUUUCAUGCAUUUCCAUGGUGGUAAAUUACAUGGCAUAAGUACGACUGGCCACAUACUAUAAGAAUUAUGCAUGUCACUAAAAGGAUUGAAGCCAUUUGUUGCAAGAUCCAUCCUGACAUUACGAGGCUCUUGUGCGAACCAAGGAUAUAACCUAUUAAAUUCUUUCCAUGCUUCCCCAUCAGCAGGAUUUCUUAAAAUACCUUCCACAGCAACUCUCUUCUCGUGGUGCCACCUCAUAUCUCUUGCUGUAUGCCGAGAUAUAAAUAAUCUUUGUAACCUUGGUUUUAAAGGGAAAUAACGUAACACUUUUUGCGGUACUUUCUUUUUACUGCCUUCAAACUUAUACCUCGGUUCCCCACAAUGUAGACACUUUUCUAAUGCCUCAUAUUCUUUCCAAAAUAAGCACAAUCAUACUUACAUGCAUGUACGACUUCAUACCCUAAGCCUAAGUCCUUUAGAAUUUUUUUUGCAUCAUAAGUAGUACUUGGUAGUAUUGUGCCUUCUGGGAAUGCCUCUUUCAACAAUUGGAGAAUCAUAUCUGUUGCUUUGUUGCUCAAUCUACUAAGAACUUUUAUAUGCAUUAACUUGACAAUAAAACUCAAAGUAGAUAUCUUGGAACUAGGAAACAAACUUUUCCCAGCCUUUUCUAACAAUCCUGCACACAUUCUAAAUUCUCUAUUAUCAUCAUGUGUUAGGUCAAUAUUCUCUUCAAUAUUUGUCUCCGAAGUGAAUGCAUCCAUUAAUGUUGGCUCACACAUAUCAUGAAUUAAAUUAUACAUUUCAUCAUCAUCCUCUUCAUUGUCAAAUGUAAAGUCACUCCUGCUACUGGGCAUAGAUCCUGCAUUCAUUUGAUUAUUGUCCACAAACUCAGGUUCUUCACCAUGAAAAACCCAUUUUGUAUAGCUUUCUGCAAUGCCAUAUCUUUUUAAGUGGGCUUUGACAAUAUGCAAUGACUUCAAGAAUGCAUUUUGACAUUUUUUACAUGGACAACGAACAAGAUUAUUCUCAUUUACACAUUGCUCAACAACCUUCAUAAAAGACUUGAUACCAUCUAAGUAUUCUUUACAUAAUUUAUUUCGCAAACGCAUCCAACUCCUAUCCAUUGUUCACUGCUAGGUACUAUAAAUUAAUAUAUGUAGGGAACAAAAGCAAGACAAAAAUAAAAGAAUUUUACAUAAUAAUGUGGACAAAUCUUUUAAAAAAAUGAAUUGUACCUGAAAGCUGAAGGUAAUAAAUAGAAUUCAAUUGAUUCUUCAAGUUUUUGUUCUCAGCAAAGACGGAACUCCCAAACAAUUAAGUCGCCUGUGAAAUAGAGUUAAAAAUUCAAAAAAAUAUUGAGAGAAGAUUGAGAAAGAAUAUAACCCGCAAGUUUUAUUUUAUUAUUGCAGUAUAUAAUAAUUCUUUAGAUGAAUUAACAGCAAAUAGAGAUAAAAAUAUCCAUUAUAUUUAAUUUAACAAAUUAAAAAUUGAAACAAAGACCCACUUAAUAAAUAAUUAAAGCAAAACCCACUAAACAAAGUCAAACUCAGCAGGCCAAUAUAUAAAAUAAUACUAAAUUUACUUGAAGAAAUCAAGUGGGGAAGAAACAAUUAUUUACAAAUACCUCGAAAUAGAACUUUUCUUGAGCGGUGCCUUCCAAGUACAACUCUUUAGUAGUUUAAAGCUUGGGCAGAGAGAAGAACUCCAUGGCUGGGCAAAAGAAAGAAGCGAGUGUAAAGUGGAAAUAUUCUAGAAGCAAUAUUUUUAAUUAAGAAAAAUUGGAGAUGGAAACUUUACUUCCGUUGGCGCGCGGUUCAUUAAAUAAAGCACGUGGAAAUAAAAAGCCUCCCACAAAGUCAUGUUGGCUUUUAUAUUAUCUUUAUAUUUUUAUUUAUUUAUUUUAGCCUACGUGUUAUUUUAGUAAUUUUUUAAUUUAUAGAAAUCUCCCCAAUCUUUAUAUAUAGCUGGUUAGGUGUUGUGUUCAAUCAAUAUUCAAUAAUACACUUUCAACUUGUUAAUUGAUUUUUUUUCUUAAUACUAGUUUUAGUACUUUCCAAUAAUAAUUUAUUGAAGAUCUUUUUUAUCCACUAAUAAAUUAUACUUACUAGUAAAAUUGAAUUAAUCCAAUUUACUAACUUGCUAAUACACACACACCCCACUAAGUAAUUUAUUUAGUAGUCUAAUAAAAUUGAUGUAAUUAGUAAUGAUUCUUCAUCCAUUUAAUUUCCUCUUGCUUGUACUGAAUGAUAUUACAUUGAAAAGAAUGUGUUGUUACAAUGUAUCUAAGGGGCUAAUUGUCAUAUUCCUUCAACUUUAUGCCUAUUGAAUCCAAUAGAGAUUAUAAUAAUUAUUUAUCUUAAGAGGGAAAUUUUGAAUAAUGUUAGGGAUCUCAAUAUUUUAAAUCUCAAUUUGUAUCUCUAUUAAUGUCGUAUUCAUUUAUUGAACAGUAUAAUAACAAUUUUACUAGCAAUUAAAUUUAUAGUCUAAUAAAUGAAUAGUACAUAUAGUCAAGUUACAAUUGGGAUCCAAAUUAAUAUUGAGAUCUCUAGUAUUAUCUAAUUUAUAUAUAUGUCUAUAUUGGAAUUAUUAUCAUCAACACUACUAUGACCAUUAUUCAUACUUCAAUUCAUUAUUAUGAUCAAUAUUAUUACUAAUUGUAAUUUUUAUACGCUAUUAUCAUUGAUUUCUUUUUUAAAUAAGUAAAUCAAUGUUUUUCUUACAUUUAAUGUCAUCAUUUUAAAUUUUGUAUAAAAUAUUAUUAUAAACCUUAUUACCUAAAAAGUAAAAAUUUGGAAUCAUAAUUAAAACAAUUUCACAAUAUAUCAAGAUGUGUCAAAAGAGGAAUAUGGUUGCUGACAAGAAAUACUAUACUAAUUAUAGUGAAACAUGAGGAUAUAAUGGUGCCACAUAAUAGUUAUUAAACAUCAUAUAGAACUUAGUGCAAUAGUUUGCUAUUGUCAAUAUUGAAAAAUUUAAUAUUUUUGUUAACCUUUGCGGAACAAAAUUAAUCUCGUUGCAAAAAAUUCUAAAGGAGCACAAAACAAAUUUUCUCGCUAAUCACAACUUUUUACAAUAUUUUAUUUGUUACAACUGAUUCAAGUGUUUGUUGUGGAAAAAUUUUAGCAACGAAACAAAUUUUGCUUUCAUUAAGCUUGUUAGGCAACAAGAACACUUUUGUCGCCAAAAAUAACGUAUGGCAACAAAAUAUUUUGCUGCCAUAUAAUCUAAUUUUCUCACCUAUUCCACAUCAUUAAGAAGAACAAAAUAUGUUUAACUAUAGCGAUAAAGACUAAUUUUUAUUGCAAGACAUAAAUUUUAGCAAUAAAGUAAGUUUUGUUACAAUAGAAUUUCUAGCCAAUAGUGUAUUUUCUUGUAGUGUCUUGUAGAAAAUUCUUCAUCCACAAAGUUUCUUUGCAACUUUCGGUGAUUGCAAUAUACUCUGCUUCUGUGGUAAACAAAGCAACACAGCUGAAGUCUGGACUACCAUGAAACUGCUCCCCAUGCAAAUGUGAGCAAAUAUCCCAAUAGGGACUUUCUGGAAUCAACAUCUCCUGUCAUAUUUGCAUCAGUGUACACUUCUAACACAGGUUUGUUACCACCAAAACAUAAACAUGCCUUGGAAGUGCCUCUGAGAUAUCUGAGAAUCUACUUUACUACUGUCCAGUAUUCUUUGCUUGGAUUAAAGAGAAAUCGGCUGACUACACUAACUGCACGUGCAAUAUCUGGUCUUGUACAAACCAUGACGCACAUCAAACUACCAACUGCUGAAGCAUAAGGAACUCUUCUCAUCUCUUGCUUCUCUUUCUCACUUAUAGGACAAUGCUCGGAACUAAGAUUGAAAUGGCCUACAAGUGGAGAACAAAUAGAUUUUCCCUUAUUCAUGUUAAAUCUUUCAAGAACCUUUUCAACAUAUGCUUCCUGAGAUAACCAUAAUUUCCCAGUCUUUCUAUCACGGGAAAUUUUCAUGCCAAGAAUCUGUUUUCCCGAUCCCAAGUCGUUCAUUACAAAAGACUUACUAAACUCUCUCUUGAGAUUGUUAAUCUUACUAGCAUCCUUGCCAAUAAUCAACAUGUCAUCCACAUAAAGCAAAAGAAUAAUAAAAUCAUUAUUACCAAACUUCUUCACAAAAACACAAUGGUCAGACAUAGUCUUGCUGAAACCAUGAUUCUCUAUAAAAGAAUCAAACUUUUUAUACCACUAUCUUGGUGCCUGUUUCAGCCUAUACAAACUUUUCUUCAAUUUGCACACAAGUUCUUCUUUACCUUUGACACUGAACCCUUCAGGUUACUCUAUAUAUAUUUCUUCCUCUAAGUCACCGUGUAAGAAAGUUGUCUUUAAGUCGAGUUGUUCAAUUUCCAAAUCCAAGCUGGUUGCUAAUCUCAGAACUACUCGGAUAGAAGACAUCUUCACCAUAGGAGAAAUAUUUCCUCAAAAUCAACAUAUUUCUUCUGACCGAAACCCUUUAACACCAAUCUAGCCUUGUACCGCUAUUGUGAGUUAUUUUCAGUCUCAACCUAUAAACUCAUUUGUUCUUCAGUGCCAUCUUUCCCUUAGGCAGCUUCACUAAAUCAUAAGUGUGAUUUUCAUUCAAGGAUCCCAUCUCUUCUUGCAUGACUUUAACUCACUCACUUUUGUGCUGAUGAGAUAUAGCUUCUUCAAAACAUUCUGGCUCUCCUCUGUCUAUAAGCAUCACAUACUCAUGUGGAGGAUAUCUGGUGGAAAGUCGUCAUUCUCUGGUGGAAAGUCGUCAUUCUUUAGUGAACCUUCUCAAUUCUGACUCAACUGGUGGUGCUAGUGAUUCUGGAGGUGCUUGCUCAACUAGUUCUGCUGGACCAUCAUCAUUAUCCUCUCCAGUUCCCCCAUGAUCAUCAUGAACAACAAGUGUAGAAAUUGAAGUUGGAAUAAUAUGAAUCUUUGGAGAUGACUGAGACUCAUCGUUUUUCUCUUCAUCACUAACUGUCUGAUCUUCAAGAAAUACAACAUCUCUAUUUCUUAUUAGUUUUCUUGCCACUGGAUCCCAUAAUAUGUACCCAAAUUCUUCAUGUCCAUAGCCUAAGAAAAUACAUUCCUUAGCUUUAUCAUCAAGCUUCGAUCUCUCAUCUUUAGGGAUGUGAACAUAUGCUUUGUACCCAAACACUCUCAAGUGUUUAUAAGAAACAUCUUUACCAGUCCAAACUCUCUCAAGUACAUCUCCUUCUAAUAGAACUGAAGGAGAAUGGUUAAUCAAAUCAACUGCAGUACGCAUAGCCUCUGCCUAGAAUGAUUUAGGAAACUUGGCAUUAGAAAGCAUACAUCUGAUUAUUUCUUCAAUUGUUUUAUUCAUCCUUUCUACAGCACUAUUCUGCUGAGGGAUUUUUGGUACAGUCUUCUUAAGUCUGAUUCCAUGGGAUCUGCAAUAUUGCUCAAAUGGUCCUCUGUACUUACUACCAUUAUUUGCCCUAACACAUUUUAAUUUUCUUCAUGUCCCUCUCUCAACAUAAGUAUGGAAGAACUUAAACAUAUCAAGCACCUGAUCUUUAGAUUUCAAAGCAAAAGCCUACACUUUCCUUGAAUAGUCAUCAAUAAAAGUUACAAAGUAAAGUGCACCUCCUAUUGAUCUACUUUGUAUUAUACAAACAUUGGUAUAAAUCAAAUCAAUGAUUUACGACUUUUUAGAUAGAGAAAAGCUUUCAAAAGCUACUCUGUGUGUCUUCCCAGCUAAACAAUGAACACAAGUCUUGAGGGACGUACCUGUAAAACUUGGUAGAAAUCUUUUUCUAGCAAGAGUUUUUAACCCUUUCUCACUGAUGUGACCAAGCCUUUUAUGCCAUGUCUCAAUGUCAGAAUCUUUUACAGCCACAUUCACAUUUUCUUUCUUGAUUUUGGCUUCUAUUACGUAGAGAGUGUUCAUUUUAUUUCCUUUAGCUAGCACUAGAGAACCUUUGGUGAGCUUUUAUUUUCCUUCACCAAAUUGAUUAGUAUAACCAUCAUCAUCAAGUUUUCCGUGGAGAUCAAAUUAAGACGAAUAUAUGGUACAUGUCAAACAUCUUUAAGGAGUAACUUACAACCAACACUAGUUUCCAAGCAAAUAUCUCCCAUGCCCAAAAUCUUAGAUGCCCCCUCAUUUCACAUCCGAACAUGGCCAUAAUCACCAUUAACAUAGAAUGUGAAGUAAUCACGAUGUGCAGUAACAUGAAACGAAACACCCGAAACAAUCACUGUUAUGGCAAGUGAGAUUUAUAGAGUUAUCAUAAAAAACAAUACCCAUAUCACCAUCAACUACAAUUGCAGUAUUCUCCUUGUCAUUUUUCUGACCAUCGCCUUUUUCUUUUGCCUGUUCUCUUUUCCAUAAUCUACACUCUCUUUUAACAUGACCCAUUUUCUGACAGUGAAAGCACUUCAUGUUUCUCCUCUAGGACUUAGAUCUUCCUCUAGGAUUAUCAUUAUUCUGCUGACGGAAAUUUCUACUUUGACUUCUCCCCCAUCUUUCUUGGUUAUGAAACAAGUGCAGCUGACUUAAAGGGAAUUACUUCAACAAUAUUUCUUCGAGAUUCUUUAUUUCGCAGUCUAUCUGUAACCAUAUCCAAGGUUAAUUUAUCAUUCGGCACUGAAUUAUUCACUGACACCACUAAUAUUUCCCAUUUGUCAGGCAAAGAACUAAGCAAUAACAGUGCUUGUAACUCAUCAUCUAGAAUGAUCUUCAUAGUAGUCAACUUAUCAACCAAGCCCUGAAACUCACUAAUGUGUUCAGUUAUACUACGACCCUCCUUAUAUUUCAAGUUGACAAGCCUUUUCAUCAGAUUGGCUUUAUUUUGUGCAGUUGGCUGCUCAUAAAUUUUUUCUAAUUUUCUCCAAAGAACAUCAACCUUAGAUUCUUUUGAGACAUGAUGGUACACACUCUUAUCAUUCCAUGACCUAAUAGUACCCACAACCUUCUGGUUCAAUUGAACCCAUUUCUUAUCAUCUAUAUCAGCAGGUUUAGCUUCAUCACCUUUAAUAGGUUCAUGUAAGUUUUUCAUGUAGAGCAAAUCUUCCAUUCUAGACUUCCAAAUACCAUAAUUCCACAACUUCAAUUUAAUCAUGAAGGUCGAAAACUCCUCCAUCUCAACCACACAAGUAAUAAAAACACACAACCUGACUCUGAUACCACUCUAUUGGGAAAGGGACUACCACAAGCAGCUAAAAUUAAGCGGAACAAAACUCUUUCUCUUUUUGUGUGAUUAAAAUAGGAUGUGUACCACAAAUAAAUAUGUAGAAAAGUAAAUCAAUAAAUCCAAAGUAAAAACCAACCACAAGAGACACCGAUUUGUACGUGAAAAACCUAAAGUGGGAAAAAUCGUAGGACUGUAGUCCGAUAUAAACUUCCAUUAUAUCAAUGAGAUUACAACAUAAAUUCUUCUCCAGAUAACACUAGAGGUUAACAAUAUCAAGAUUCUCAAUAAUCUUGACUUACAAUAAUAGAUCUGAAAUCUAUUUCUCCAAUAAGUAAAUAUAUCAAAUAAUAGUUAUAACGAGAAUAAAAUACAGAUCAACACUAGUAGAAAUGUAAAGAGUGAUGUCAAGAACUUACCCUCCAAAUUUGGGAUAAAUCAGAGCUAAAAUCACCUUUCAAUCGUUAAAUUAAAUAUUGAAAUCCCCAAAGGAAACUUUCUGUCUCACAGCGUCUUUUUUCUUCGCGAAAGGGCUACAGUUCUCGCGAUUCUUCACUUAUUUCCUUUAUAUAUUUUUUGAUUAAUUUCAUCCAACUCCAAAAGUUUGCAAUAAUUACACAUCAAGCAAAUUAUUUUGGACUUUAGGCAUUUUGGUCCAGCGAAGUGAGAUGGACCCUACACCUAUGUUGCUGCCAUGGCUUGACACAAGGCCUCAAGCUAAGCCUUCGCAUUGGCUCUUAUUACUUACAGCGGUGAUAAAACUCCCUAACUAGAAAAGCCUAACGUCUCGUCGACUGAGUAACUAAGUCUGUCAUAACCUCCCCCUUACAUAGCCAUAAUAAAGCAUGUGCUUCUUUUUCCUUAGCAUAUGCCAGCAUGCCAACAUUAGGUUCACUAUGCACCCGUUGUGACAUCUUUAAGUCCCUCAUAUGUUUUUCCCAUAUAAAACCAUUUGCUACCCGCAACAUGAUCAAAUACCAAUAGCUUCUCCACCAGUCAUCUUGCCUAGGGAUGGAAAUGGGCAUCGCCCGCAUCGGUUUGCUAUUGUCAAACUCGUACUUGCACAAAAUUUAAAUUACCAAACCCGCACUCGCACUUGCUGUGGGUUUUAAGUUUUUAAGAAAAUCCACCCGUUGUGGGUUUUUACAAUUACCAAAUCUGUAAUGGUACCCAACGGAUUUUUUGUGGGUUCUUACAUUUAAAAUCACAAAUGUUUAAUAUGUAAAUUUAUAUUGAUAACCUAAAAUUCCACAUAACAUACUUAAUUCUAAAUUUAAUCAACAUAAAUAGAAAAUUAAAAUUUCAACAUUAAUCCAAUACAAAUUCUCAAAUUUAAGAAUGAAAUAUAUAAAUCCAUAUAAAAAAAACACACACAAAUGCUAUGAAAAAUUCAUAAGUGUGUGGCUGUGGUUCAUGGGUGAAAGGGGAAUGGGUGUGCGGCUACUGCUCACGGGUGAAAGGGGAAUAGUUUGGAAAGUUAGGUUUUGCGACUAUUGCUCACAAGUAAAAAUGAAAUAGUUUGGGUUUCCUUUAGGUUAAGUUAUGAGUUGCAACUUACGCACACCACACGUGAUAUGCUUACACUUUAUAUUUAUUUAAUUUAUAUAUUUUUUGAUUUAAUUAUUUUUUCAAUUAAAAUUUUUGAAAAAUGAAUUAUUUUAAGAUUUAAAAGUGAUUUAAAAAAUUAAAAAUUAAUUUUAGUGUGUAGUGAAUUUUUAUAAAAUUCUCUUUUGGUUUUUCAAAAUUAUCUUGAAAAUUGUUAUUUUAAUUAUCAGUUGUUAUAUAUACACAAUUAAAAAUAGUAUAUACACAAGUUUAUAAACAUAUAAAUAAAUUUUAUUCAAUAUUAUAUCUAUUUCAGUCAUUUAAAUACUUAUAACAUUUUAACAGUAAAAUUUACCAAAUACAUACGACUGCUUUUAAAACUCAUAGUAUUUCAUAAAUAAAUAUUACUAAAUAAUUUAAUUGAUUCUCUUCACAAUUGAUUAUUUAUACAAAAUAACUAAUAAAAAUUAUUUUAAAAAUUAUAAUAUUACUAAACUGACCUUUAAUAUACAAUUAAAUCCAACUGAUGUCUAGGAGGCCUUUAUAAAAGAUGUACAAUUAAUUAAAAAGUUUAUACAUUUUUUUUUAGAUAAAAAAUAAGAUUCUUCCUUGCAAAAGAUAGUUUAUAAAAUAUUUUAUAAUUUUUCAGUAGUAUUAUUUAAAAAAUCUUCUAUAAACAUGUUUUUUAUUUCUUUUUCAACACUCACAUGUUUAAGUCGUAACCAUCCAUUAAAGAUAAAUAUCGAUCUAUUUGUAUUUAAUUAUUAACAAUUAAAUGUACCUUGAUUGGACUAUGACAAUGAUACGUUGCCUGCACAGCAUUCACGUAACCCUUUUUUUUUUUUUUUUAUCAUUUUCUUUGUACAGUUUCGUUAUUCAAACUCCAUCAAAUAAAUCAAAUUCAUAAUAUAUAAUAUCUUCCUUAAAUUUUAUUUCAAUCAACUGUAUAUACAUGUUUUGUUGCCCAUAAAUUUCGAAGUAAAUAUUAUGUCUCUAGGCACUGUUUUAGCACUGGGAAUAAAACAAAAUUAUCAAUGAGGUUGUCAGUUAUUGGAUAAGGCUGCAGUCCUAGUCCAUCACUAGAAUUUGAAAUUUGGUUGCAGUGGAUUACAAAAAUAUUUGGGAUUUUACGAUUGGGGUUAAGUAACCUAUCUUUAAUAAAUGUUUAAGUUUAACAUCACAUGUUCACUAAACAAAUCUUAACAAAUGGGCUGGUUUUUAUCCAAUUGUUCCUGCUACACUUGGCGACUUUAGAAUACGUUUCUUGUCCAAUCAAUUUUGAUUACUCGCGGUUAUCCGCAAUUAGUAGCUUUUUGGUGUACAAUUUAAAAUCUAAAAAAAUCCGGAGGAGUUUUAAAAUAAUAGGAUUUAAUAAUAUUAUAAAAUUUUAAUUUUUUUAAAAUUUUCAACACUUUAAAAUUUUAAAUUAGAAAAUUUCUAUUGGCCAUAAUAUAACCAGACCCCUACUCUUGUUUAUACAUUUUUACUGCUCGUUUUCUAUGACUUUUCAAAUGUUGAAUAGGGUUUCUUCUAAUAUGAAAACUCUUUGAAGUACAUCUUUAAUGGUUUGUAGCUUGCGUGGGCAUACAUUUUCAAUAAUUAAAGAAAUUAUGUUUGUUCAAAGAAAUUCUUGUCUAAUUUUAUCUAAUAAAUUGUUACUUAGCUAAUUAAAAAUGUUAAAUUGCUAAAAAUCCUAAUACUCUCAAAUAUGUCGUAAUCAAGGUAAGAUGACAUAUUAUUAUUUUCUUUUACACUAUGACAAUCAAUAAGAAUUUUUUUAGUUGACGUGUCUAUUUUUUCUUUCAUGUCUUAAUUGUAUCAUGCCAAAUUUGAAUCACUUUAGACUCAAUUCAUUUAUUAGUUGUGUUAAAACUUUUUCAAAUACUAAUACUCGUAAAUGAUCGAUUCACCCAUUUAAUAUAAUUUUAAUAUUUACUACUAAAAUCCCUUAUUUUAAAAGUUUUUACUGUAUUUUAAAAUUAUUUAUUGUAUGUACAAAUAUUUGUAGUACUAAAUACCCUAACUCUAAUCAAUUUUAUUUUUAAAUUUAUUUCAAUAAUUUUUAGGGAAAAUAUUGUUAUAUAACCAAAGUUAGAGAAAAUGGUCAUAUAGAUCCCCAUGUUUUAUAUAAGGGACAACAAAACACUCUUUUAACUAUAAUAUUCUUUGUAAAUAGUAACUAAAAAAAUUGAUUUUAAAAUUUUUUUAUAAAUAGAAAAUAUACAAAUAUAUUUUUUAAUAUAUACACUAAGUUUUAAAAUGUAAAUUAUCAUAUUUAUUCUAAUAAUAUAUUUGUAUUUAAUAUAAAAAAAUUAAAUAAAUCUUUAGGUUAAAUAUAUUUUACAAUUAAUAAAAUACAUUUCAUGUAUUAAUAAUAUGAAGAUUAUUUUAUAUUAUAUUGAAAAGAAUUUAAAUUUUUAUAUGUUUAUAUUUUAUAUUCUGUUUUCGUUUAUUAUAAAACUUAGUUUAAUAUAAUAUAAGAUUGUAAAGGAUUAAAAUAUUUUUUAAAUAUUAAAAUUAUUUUAAAAGGUAUAUAUUGUCAUUCAUUUUAAUAUUAUAUUUUCAUGUAUUAUAAAACAUUGGAAUUAAUUUCUUUAAAUUAAUAGAGCCAAAUGAUAUUAUAAUUAAAAGAGGUAUCGGUGUCUUUUAUUGAAAAUUUGAGGAGUUUACAUGACCGUUCUCUAAUUUUUAAAGUAUGAUGAAUAUAUAACAAAAUUUUAUUGAAAUGAAACGUAAAUGAGUAUAACAAGAAUACGUGAAUUGUUAAUCGUAUUGAAAACUCUAAAUUCAAACUUGAUAAUUGUCAAUCUAAAUGCUAACUUAUUUAAUAAUUAGGUCGAUUUUUAAUUAUUAUAAAUUUAUUAUUUCGUGUCAAGUUCCUAUCAAAUUCGUCCAUCAUGUCAAAAGUUGUUACCUCAAAUAAAAAUAAGUAAAUACAUUUAGGAACAUGUCACGUCUUUCUAUUUUCCCAUCGACAAAAAAUCUGAUGAGAAAUUUUUUCACCAACUUUGAUAUUGUCUUAUAUCCACUAUGUUUCCCAAAUCAUAUUUUUAUCUUGAUUCCAACUCUUGGUUAUUUUACUAUAUAUAAAAAAAAAAAAAGAGAAAAAAACUCUGGAUUAUUUUAAUAGACAAACAAUCUUGAAUGUAGAUAAUAAGAAAUUAACAAUGCUAUCCCGCGAAUUUCACCCUCUAAUCAACAAGUGCAUCCUCAAUAUUAAAAUUUGCACGUUUGCUUAGAGAAUACUUAAAAAGAAAAAAAAAUAAAUUGAAAUUAAAUAUUGAUGGUCAAAUUUGGACCAUGAAGCUAAAUUAUUGCUUAAUAACAAUCCAAUAAUUGCACAAAAAAUUAGAAAUUUUAGUACCAUCAUUUAAAAUAGAUUUUCCGUUUAUCGAAUCAAAAACCUGUACAAAUACUAUAUUAAUUUUUUAGAUAGUAAAUAAAUUUUUGGGUUUAUAUUUAGAAAACAAUUUAAAAAGAGAAAAUUAUUAAUAUUGUUAUUAAUAAGUUUUAUCGAUUAUUUUUUGUUAUACAUCACCAAACGUAUUUUAAGACAUAAUAUCAAUUAUCUACAAGAUCAUCAUAAACAAUUUAUUUUCUCUAUAAUUAUUAAUGAGGUCAGAAUUAUAAAUCAUUGAACAAAAUCAGGAAAUAUCCCACGUGGAAUUUAUUAAAAAACCAGAAAUUAAAAUAUUUAAAUAUUAUUGAAUCGUGCUUGGAAACUCAGUCUACACGCUGUCUCCUUCCAUGCAUAAAAUUCAAAGUCAGUUGAAGUUUCUAAUGUCCAGGUUCAAAUAUACCCCCAACAUUGUACAAAACUACAGCUAACAUAUAUUGGUACAACCGUAAAUUAGGCGAACGAAGAUGAGGAUAUUUUCGCCACAAAAAAACCUCACCGGUUUCCAUCUCUGGCUCUUUCUCCAUUUUCAUGUGUUAAAUGUCGCCCUUCAAAGUACAACGGUCCAAUUUUCUCUCUGACUUUCUUUUUUAUUUAUUUAUUUUCUUAUUCUGUUUCUUUUUUUUUUCAAUUAAUUUCUCUCCGAACAAACAAAACCCUUAAAACCCCCAUUUGAAUUAAUUUAUUCGAAAAUUUUAAAUUAAAAGUAAGAGAGGAGGUCGAGUUGGAGUUAGAGGUAGACGAAGAGAAAGAGAAGGUCCAAAACGACAGACAUGAUGAUUGAAACGGCAAUGGAGAUUCUGGUACCAUCGUGGUGGGAGAUUCAAGUGACGGUGGCUGCGUCGCUGUGCGUGAUCGCCUCCUAUUGGUUUUUCUUUUCUAAAACCGGAGAUUUCGGCGUUGACCGAUCGCAGCUUGUUGAGAAUUCUUCAAUUAGUGCUAUUGAUGAUAAAGACAAGGUCAAAGUAAUUUUAUUUUUUCACCUUUUUUUUCUGUUUACUUUUAAUCUUUUUGACGCUGCUGAGUUUUGAUAUAAAUGAUGAGAAUAUUUGAAGUGUUAACUUUUUUCGAGGGAUUAGCUUUGUCUGAGUGUUGAAAGAUUGAUGAAAAUGGGCCAAAAAAAAUUGAGGUGAAUUUGAUGCUUGUAUAUGAUUAGGCAAUUGGGUAGAAUAAUGAAAAGGAGUCUUUGAUUAUUUGUUAAUAGAGAAUUAUGAAUGUUCCAUUAAUUAAUAACCUCCUCUGCAAGGAAGAUUCUUGACAAUUCUAGGAGCAUGUUUGGGGUUUGAGGUACUGUGGCUUUUUAUCCGAAAGUUGCUGUUGGUUGGAAUCAGCAACUGCAAGUACAAUUUAAUUUUGGUUUGGAUAUAUUUUUUGGACUCAAGGUGCAAAGACAUUUCAUUUUUUCUACUUUAUUUUAUAGAAUAGGAAAAUUGUAAUAAAUUCAGUUUAUUUAAAAAUUAUUUAUUUUUUCUUAUAUGUAAGUUAAUUAUGAAAUGCUAUUCUAUUUCUUUUCUAGAAUACCCGAUAUUUUCUUUUCGAUGCCAAAGUGUUAAAUUUUCAUAGAGCUUAGAUCUUUGUAUCAGUAACGUGAUGGUUAUCAAUUCAUUUUGGAUAGCGGCUGUCCUCUGUUUGUUUCAUAUUUUAUACGAUUGAUAGUGCUUUUUUGAAGGAAAAUAAAUUGAGAAAGUUUCUUCCUCUUUAUUUUUUUUUUAGGGUCACUGAUCUAGUAUGUUAUUAUAGCUCCCAACUAUGAAUGAAAGUUGGGGGAAGUUUGAUCUUUGCAGAAUAAAUCAAGAAAGGGAACAUUAUUGGAUUUAUUUUUAUAUGUGCAUAUACAUUACAAUGGUCCGGAGAUUGAUACAAAUCAUCUCAUUAUUCUUUGUGGAAAAUUCUUUAGUGGAUUUUGCUUCUGUUAUCAUUUAGUUUUGGUUUAAUUUAGGUUUAUGAAAUUCAAAAAAGGUUUACGAAAAAAGAAUACACCGUCUAGGGCUUUGAUAGGUUAGUGGUUGAUAAAUAUUAUCUCUCAAGUAAAUCUGGAUAUUACCAAACUCAUAUGCCACUGUGCUUUCAAAGUUAAGCAUAAACAUAACAGCUGCAAACAUACACUAAGGCUUGUUUCAGUUUAGAAAUUGGAGGGAGGCUCGUGAUAAAUUUCCUUUCUUUCAAGGGAUAUAUCUAAUGAAUUUUAACACAUCAGGGUUGAGUUUUAUAAAGUUGUAAUGUAUAGGUGGUCGGUGAUAUUUACCCAAAUAUGAAUUGUAUUUUUAAUUUUAUGUAAUACCUGUGUGAUCUUGUAUGUGAUUGUGCAGCUUGGUGUCUAAUUCACUACAAUUAGGGAAUCUUUUUCUCUUUGAGCUUUGGUUAUUCAUUAUUUGUUUGAUUCCUAUCUUUAUAAUUUCCAUGCUGUGUAAUGUGAUUGAUGCAUGAAAAGUGACAGUUGUCUUUCAUGUUUAAUAAUAUAUUUUGGUUUUUGGUUGCCAAAAAACACAGGAAAGGGAAAGUUAUUGAUUUCUGUGUAUUACCAAUUUUGUAAUUUGGGGCCAAAAUCGUAACUAAAUUGGCCAAGUAUAUUUGUUUGUCUUAGUUUAGACCAUAGUUAUUACAAGACUCUAUGAAAUAGUGUGCUUCACUUUUUAUAGAAAGAGAAUGAAGGACAAAUCUCAAGAUAUUGGUUAGCAAGCAGAUAACAGAAUUUCUGUUCUUUCUUGCACGCGAAAAAUUUUAAGUUUGAGGCUUUACAAUCAUCUUCUUCAAUGCAGCGUGUUAUUUUUUCUUGGUUUUGCAAGUCAAGACCACAUUGCUGAAGCUGUUGAGUUUUACAUAGUCCUUUAACUUCAAGAUUGGAAUUCCAGUUUGCUGUAAUAGGCUACUCUGCGUGGCACUUGUUUCAUCCAGUAAUUUUCCACUUCUUUGACAUGCAGUUCUUCACUUAUUUUGUAGAUGGUCCAGUUUAAAGGAGACCCUCAAACCAAUUCUGCAUAUUUAAUUAAGGUAUCUUUUCUUUUUGAUCUUGUUUAUGCUUUAAUCUGGUAUAUGUGAAGCUGUAAAUGAAUUCAAUCAUCUGCAAGUUUUCAUAGGAUUAAAUAUUAUGUCUUGACCAAUGUUAUGGAAUCUCCUUUGGUUUGACAACAAGAUUUUGUUUGCCCUGUUUUUCAGUUGGAAUUGUUGGCAGCUAAGAAUCUCAUUGGUGCAAACUUAAAUGGCACAUCAGAUCCAUAUGCCAUCAUUACUUGUGGUUCAGAAAAACGAUUCAGGUUAUUUGAUCUAUCUUCUGCUUGUUCACAUUUUUCUUAAUAGGUGAUUAUUUCCAACUAAUUCGUUGAAUUUCUUUCACGAUUAGAUCUUUCAGUUCCUCAGGUUAUUAUUGUUAGAUUUCGGUGCCAUCACCAAUUUGCAUUUAUAUUUAAUUGUUAUUUGGGAACAUGAGAGAGUAUAACUGUACACUGAGGGUUUUNNNNNNNNNNNNNNNNNNNNNNNNNNNNNNNNNNNNNNNNNNNNNNNNNNNNNNNNNNNNNNNNNNNNNNNNNNNNNNNNNNNNNNNNNNNNNNNNNNNNUGCAUGCUUAAUAUAAGCUCCUCAAGUUACUUGAGAAUGAAACUUCCUGCUUGAUGUUAUACUUGAUCUGUUUGCAUCUUUAGAAAUGAAUGUGGGCAAAAGGUUCAUUUAUUAGUGGAGUGCAUGAAUAUGAAUUGUGUGCUAUUAUGUGAUUUUAAAAAAGGGAUGGGACAGUUGAAUAUUAAAAAGAAUUUGUUAGUUGAUCAAAAUCGGGAAUUGCAACUAAUUUAUUUAAGUUUUAAAUGGUAAAAUACUUUCACACUUUAGUAAAUGUCCUUUUAUUUUCUUGUGGUAAAUGUUUGGUUAGUUUUGUACUGUAUAGUUCUAACUUUAUUGUGCCUGCAGUUAUAAAAUUUCUGCUUGUGUUGUUGGUGCAGUUCAAUGGUCCCUGGUUCCAGAUAUCCAAUGUGGGGAGAGGAGUUUAAUUUUUCUGUUGAUGAGCUUCCUGUUCAGGUUCCUGUUAUGAUUCGCCAUUUUUGUUACUGUUUCUUGUUUAGGUUAAUUAUUGAUUGACUUGGUGUUUUCAGUUGCUGAAUGAUGGAGAUCAAUGUCGUGAGUCUAGUUCUGGUAAAGAUGUUUAAUGUAUAAUAGUACAAUUUAUCAAAUGCCACUAAGAGACAGCAUGAUUCUGAGCUGACUGCAUAGCCCUCGGUUUAUGCCUCGCAUGUAAAAGCUUGGCCAAUAAGUAAAAGUUUUGUUCUUUGAGAAUUUAUGCAUGCACUUGUGGUCUAAUCUCAUAAAUAUUAUUGGCAGUUCUUUGUUUCUCUUAAGACACGUACAAAAUAUUUAAAUUGUUUUGUUUAUUGUCAUUUAGUGCCCAAAAUGAGUUUGUUCCGUUACCUGAUGCAUUGAUCAAAUCCUUGGACCUAACCCAUUUUGUUUAAACGGUAUUUGAAGUAACUGGUGAAAGAAAUCUCUUCCUUUUAUAAUAUUUAUAUUUCCUUGAUGGUCCAUAAUUGUUAUAUCAGCGUGUCUCUUUUUGUGCAGUUGAUUUGUGAUUAAAAUCAACUUUUUCAUAGUGACUUGGCGCUGACUAUUGUAGUUAUGAAUGAUAUACUGAUAUGGUGUGAUGUUGUAGGGGUGGUUGGAUAGGUUUUGUAUGGAUUAUUUCGCUGCCCUUUUAUUUUUUCCUUUUGAUUUUCUUUGUGGACAACAGGUUCACUUUUGUAUUUGGUUUCUUUCUUCAAUCAAUGUAUAAUUCUCAAUUUUUUCCUAAAAUAGAAAAUCUGAUGUGUAGCGAGAGAUCCUGUGAAUUUAUACUCUUACGUAGUGAGCCAAUGAGAUGUUUUAUGGAUUUUUUUUUUUAAUUUUUGGUUGUUUCAUUCUAUAUACUAAUAGCUUUCUCUACUGCCCUGACAGAUUAUUGUUACAAUUUAUGAUUGGGAUAUAAUUUGGAAAAGUACUGUUCUUGGUUCAGUGAUUGUAACAGUUGAAAGUGAAGGCCAAACUGGUGCAGUGUGGUAUACUUUAGAUAGCCCGUCUGGGCAGGUAGUCCUCUUUUGUAAAUUGUGUAAUGUUAUUUUACUAUUUUCAUUACUUUGUUGUCGUUUUCAGUUUUCCUCAUUUUAUGUAAUAACCAACGAAAAUACCAUUUUAUCAGGUGUGUCUACAUAUUAAAACAAUUAAACUGCCUGUAAAUGCUUCCAGGUAUCUUUUGGUUCAUUUUUUUUGGUCCUUUUUUGCUUUUGUUUGUACUGUUUUCAUCUGUAUACAAUAUUUAGACCCCUACACUAAAACAUUGCCCUGUCACCGUGUAGACAGUUUUUUUUUCUUCUUUAAUUAAUCUCUGCUAGAACUUCUACCAUGAGGAAUUCUGGAAUUAUAAUUUUCUUUAAUCUUUUCAAUGUUAGGGUUGGUCAAUAAUUUUAUAACUCGUUUUAAGAAAUGUUUUCAAGAAUAUUUUCAUUGGGUGAUCUCUUGCUUCACCCUGUACAGAAAACAGUGUUUUGAAUAUUUUCUUGAUGGUUGCUAUUUUGGUGUUUUAGCAUUGGAAAGAGUAAAGGAGUGUCUGGGAUGAUUGGUUAGAAUUAGAAAGUGUAUAAAGGGGUUUUUAAAAAGGAUAAAGAGUAAAGGAGUGUUGAAAAAGGAUAAAGAUGGUUCUUUGUAUGGUUUCUCGAACUUUUCCUAUGUCUUAGAUCCUGUGUAUCUGUGUCUUUUCCUAUAAUUAUCUGAGCAGGCAAUAGCAUUGUUCUAUUUCUGAUAUUGUGUCUGACCUUGGGGUCAAGUUCUGGACAUUUCUGUUAUCUCUUGCAUCCUAUCUACAAGGUCAUCUUGAGUUUUUGGGAGAGGGAGAGAGAUUUCUGCAUUUGUAGUUGAGAAUGUGGUUUUUUGUCAACUUUUUUUUUUCUUAAUCUUCUGUAUUUAUGUUUUUUUUUUUCCCUAAAAGUAUCUGGGCAGGCAGUGACAAUGUUCAAUUUCAGAUAUUGUGUCUGGACUUGGUUUCAAGUUCUGGACAUUUCUGUUGUAUCUUGGACCCUAUCUACAAGGGGCAAUCUGGAGUUUUUCAGGAGAGGGAGAGAUAUUUCUGUAUUUAUAGUUGAAAAUGUGGUUUGUUUGUACUUUGUUCAAUAUUAUUCUGUACUGAUAGCAAACUUUUAAUUGACCUAUCUUAAAAUUUGUUUAUUUAUUUAUCAACUUCUUAUACACGAUAAAUAAGAUUAUGUCACAUUGUUUUCCCUUUUAAAUCUGUAUGAUACAGAAUGACUUGAUUACCUAUUCACUGCAAAAUUUGGUGGACUUCUGUUGUUAUCAUUGUAAUUGCUCUCAAAAGUAUGACAGAGUAUUAUCCACUGGCAGGGUAAUGAAUGGAUAUGCAGGAGCCAAUGCUCGAAGAAGGGCUUCUUUGGAUAAACAAGGGCCAACGGUGGUGCAUCAAAAACCAGGGCCUCUGCAAACAAUAUUUAAUCUCCUUCCAGAUGAGGUCAGUUGCACAGCAGUCAUGACUUGGUAGAAUUAUUUACCUACUCAGCUUUAGCAUUUAAAACCCUUGGAUUAUGGAUAUGAAUGAAUCCUUAAUUUAGUUAUUCUGCUUACAGUUUGUGGAAUUAAGUUACUCUUGUGUAAUUGAGAGGUCAUUCUUGUAUCACGGCCGUAUGUAUGUCUCUGCAUGGCACAUAUGCUUCCAUUCUAAUGCCUUUUCAAGGCAGAUGAAGGUUAGUUGGUAUUUCUUUAACCAUUUGCUAAGUUAUUUUUAACUGUUUUUUUUCUCUUAAGAAUAUUCUGAUAGUAUUUACGGCAUGCCCAUGAAGAAUCUUACUAAUUGAUUGGUAGUUGCAUGUUUUAAUGGCGUUUUGUUUGCUUUUGGCAGGUGAUUAUACCAAUUGGAGAUAUUGAUGAGGUAAUUUCUUUCAAUACUUUUUCUUUUGAAGAUAUCUAAUAGAAAAUAUUUUUUAUCCAGUGCCUACUGCCUACGGUGUGAUAAAUGAUAUGAAGUGCUUAUAUACAAAGUUUCUUUAUGUAGAUACAGAGGAGCCAGCAUGCAUUCAUUAAUCCUGCUAUAACAAUUAUUCUCCGGAUGGGUGCUGGUGGGCAUGGUGUACCUCCUUUGGGAAGUCCAGAUGGUGAGUAGCAAUUUCUUUUUUUGACAAUGCUUAAAAGGUUUGUAUAUACAUUUUUUCUUUCUUUGUUUUCCUUCAAAAUUUUCCGUAUCUGGCAGAGAAUCAUGCUUUGGGCUUGCACUUUUGAUUCUCAGCAUUUUUUCAAUUGAGUCAGCAUGCUAGUGAUAAAAUAUUUGCAAGCUUUUGAGUGCUGAUUUGGUUGAUGUAUAUGUGUGUUAUAAUCUGAAAUAUAGAUCUACUUUUAUGAUGUCACUUCUGUGUAUUGGAAUUGCUUUUUUUUUUUUUUUGGGUGGAUGAUGCCUUAAUUUGGUUGGUUAUUCAUAGCAAAUAAGCAUCUUCAUCCUGUGAUUGAUGUGUAUCAACUCUAUGUUUGACAAAUUUCUGUUUGGUAGUUUUCGCUAAAAGAUGGAAUAACACCAUUGCAGUCACAAGUGUGGGGAGAUUAUAGUUCCUUUCUGUGAGGAGUUUGGAGAUGCUAGUGUAGCAUCUAUGUUUGACAUAUUUUGCAUAGCACAGAAUUGUUUUUCAUUUUUCUGCUUCCUCAGCGGACAGCUGGUCCACUCCUUGUAAUGAUUCUUCAUCAUUAAUAUAACAUACAGUUUCUUAUAAAAAAAAAAGAGUUUGGAAAUGCUAGCGUCAGUAAGAAUGUUUACCGAAUAUCAAAGAUAGAGGAGAAAAUUAGACAUAGAGGAUAAAUUAGACACUUUUCAACUUUGUCAAAUUCGAGGAGUGAUUUAAACGAUGGAUAGAUAAUCUUCAUUUUAUCUAUUCAUUUCUUUAUUUCUUUCAUUCAAUUCUUAUAAUGAAAUUAUUCUAAGAAUUGUAUGAUUCUUGUAGUGUGUUACCUACCAUACAGGCACAUUAGAGGUUUACAGAGUUCAUUUUCAAAGUAUAUAAAGGAUAUACUGUCGAUUUUGAUCCACUGGACCGGUUGGUCUCAAGUUUGAAAUUGAUAUAUUCAGGUUUUGUAUUUUGCAAGGGAGAAAGAUAUUUUGUUAGAAAAACUGUUGAUUGUUGGUAAAAUAUAUUGUUACAUAGCAGAGUAAGGGUAUUUGUUAUUGCAGAUUCAUGGUUAAAUAUUGUUUUUAUGACAUGUAGAUAUUUAGCUUGUUUAUCGUCAAUUCAAAGUGUCUUAUGCUACAUCUGGAGUUAUAUUUAUUGAAACUUCUCCAUUUUAAUGGUUCUUUCCCUUUUGACUUUGAAGUGCUUGUUCAAACUGGAGUGGAUUAUAGGUGCUUUAUCAGAUGUGUUGACGAAGCUUUACUUUUGUGGGAGUAAUUUCAAUUGCAAACUUUGCCCUGAUUUUUAACAUGUUUUAUUUCAGCUUGCAAAUAGUAAUGAAUCAUGUCAUAGGAUUCACUUAGUAGACUUGAGUGCAUGAAGAUUCUGAAAAAGUGCCCCACUCAGUUAGAAUCUUGAUUGCAUGUAAGGUUCACCCUAAUUAUGAAUUUAGCUAACUUUCCUGUUACUUCCUUUUUUAAUUAGUUUUGUUUGUAUAAGAAUGUGUUUGAUUUCAAUAAUUGUGGUGUGGUAUUUGUGUGUCCUGAUGCAAGUUUGUAAACUGUUUCACUCUUCUUAAGUUCGAACUAUCCUUGCUUGAUAUGCUAGCAUUACAUAAUGCUGCCUCUGAAUAAUUAUUUUUCAUUGCUUUCCCUUAGGGCUUCAGUGGUUGCUCUGUAAAAAAAAUUCUGAGUCUGAUGUGCAGAUUGAUAUUUCGAUUUAAAUGAAAAGUUACAUUUAAAUACACCAGCUCUCACUUUAGAAAUUUAUGGAGUAUUCUCUGAAAAAUGCCCUUUUUAAGGUUACUGUUAUGGUUGUGUUUCAAAUGUCAUGUCGGAGUAAAACACUAGGUCAAUUUCUUGUUUGUUGAAAAUCAUGCACUUCUAUGAUGACUGGAGUGCAUUGUAAUAUAUUUGAAUAUGGACUUCCAUUUAAAACAUCUAAUUAUUGUACGAACUAAUAUCCAGUGUAUUGGCUUUCCUUGAUGGGUUUUAUUAUUACUUUUGUGUUCUGUUUAGGUUAUUGAAUGUGUUUUUUUAGAAUAGUGGAACAUCAAGUGUGAUUUGGAUGCAUUUUCAGUUUGAUCUGAGUUGUUGAGGUUUCUUUUUGGCCUUUAUCUUUCAUUUUCAGGUAGGGUCAGAUAUAAAUUUGCAUCAUUUUGGAACAGGAAUCAUGCCUUGAGACAAUUGCAACGUACUGCAAAGAACUAUCAUACAAUGUUAGAGGCUGAGAAGAAGGUUCGUUCCUAUUGCUUCAUGAAUCAUUGUGUCUGUAACUUUUAUCAUUAUUUACCUUUACAACUCUAAUCUUGGUUAUCAACCGUAUGGAUAAAAUGGUCAUUGUUUAAAAUUGUAAAGAGUUCUGACACAAAUCUCCAAGUGGUACUGAACUCCAUAAUGACUAUGGAAAUAAGUAGAUUCACAUAGUUCUUUCCAACUUGUUGAAGUUAAAAUAUGAAUGCAUGGGGUUUUAUUGUCUGGUAUUUACUAAGAGUCUUAUCAUCAAUGAGCUGUCUUUCUGAGUUCUUGAUUUAGCAAAAUAGGACUCUUAUACUGGUUUAUUAGUAAUACAAUACUUCCGGUUUAUUAGUGAUAUAAUACAGAAACAAUGUAGAUAUUAUAUUUCCUCUCUGUUGUCUAUAUGUCUCUUUUUCUCUAUUGCUGCUACUAAAACAUCUCACACACUUCUCAUGUGGCAGGAUGUACUCCUUUACUGGAGUUCAUUCACUAACAAAUCUUUUGUUGAGAAUAAAACAUACAUAUUAAAAAAAAAAACGUACAUAGUAUGAGCACAACUAUUAAUUAAUCUAAACUGCUAAGUAGUCAUGGCUUUGUCCACACAUUUUUAAGAUGCCCACAUUUAAUUAUCGCCAUAGAAAGUAGAGGUGUUCAGAAUCCAAUCCAAUCUGCUCAAUCCGUCUGAUCCACAGAAAUCCGAUCCGUAAAAGUCCAAUUCGUGGAUUGGAUUGGAUUGAAAAUUUGAAAACCCGCAAUCGGUGGAUUGAAUAUGGAUUUAUUUUUGUGAAUCUGUAAAAAUCCGCGAAUCCGCGAAAAAUAAAAAAUAUUUAUUUAAUAAAAAAUUAAACUUAUAAAUAUGACAUUAUACUUACUAAUAAAUAAAUAAAUCAAAAUUUAGUUACAUUAACACCAUAUUAUGUCUUAUCUGAUAAUAAAAUAAAAUAAAAAUAAUUAAAUAAAUAAAAAUAGCUUCCUAAGUAGUUAAUUUUCAUGUACUGAUUUAAACAAAUGAGAUUUUUUUCUUUUUGGUGUGUUAUAUUUUGAAACUCUAAAUGUAUUUUCUAACUUUAUUUAAACAAUUAAUUAAUUUAAAUCUUAUUUAAUUUUGAAUUUUGAUUGGUAGUAAAAUCAUUUUUGUAUUAAUUUUUUAUUUAAUUAGUUUGUGGAUAGGACAUGAUUAAAAAUUUUUAGCCCACAAACCAAUCCACAAAAUUGUAGAUUGGAUAUGGAUUGGGCCAAUUCCACAUCUGAUCCGCAAACGUUUGGAUUGGAUUUUGAUUGAAUUUCACCAAUCUGUGGAUUAGAUUGGAUUAAAAAUUUAUAAUCUGCAAAAUUGUGGAUCAGAUAUGGAUUGAUGUCCAAUCCACAAAAUCCAAUCCGUGAACACCCUAAUAGAAAGGCCAAAGUUCAACCAUUGUGUUCUAUUUUAGAAGUUAAAGCCAGUCUCUUUAAGUGCUGUUACUAACAUUGAAGGAAUUUUCUAUCCUGUUGUGUCAGGCAUUGAUGGUUGUCUUUCUUGUUGGAGUUGAUAGUUUUUUCAGUUUUGCUGAAACUUUUGAUAUCCGAGCUGCUACACUUACUUUGGGCAUAUGUCCUGACAAGAUACAUCUAAUCCGUUUGAAACGGGAUUUGGAUCAGAUCUUGGAUAUGUAUUUUGCUGAACUUUUUCUCUGAAUUGUAUGAUUUAUUGAAGAAAAAAGUUAAUUCGAUCUGCUUGCUGCUGUAUAGGAGAAGGCAGAAUCAGCGUUGCGUGCACAUAGUAGCUCCAUUGGAGGUAGUAGAAGGCAGGCUAAGAUUGUGGAAGAAACAGUCACCAAACCUGAAAAGCUUCAACCAUUUAUCAAAGAAGAGGUUCUUGUUGGUAUAUACAAUGUAUGCAUCAUCUUUUUUGUUCUUUCAUGGUCUAUGAAUUUUAUAGUUGUGUUAUUACCAUUAUAGAAUGCAUUAAUGUAUUUUGCAGGAUGUUUUCCCGUGCACAGCGGAACAGUUCUUUACUUUAUUGUUUAGUGAUGAUUCUAAGUUCACAAAUGAGUAUCGCGCAGCUAGAAAGGAUUCUAAUCUUGUUGUAAGUCCAAGUCCAUUUUUUGAAAUCAUAGACCCUAGAAAAUUAUUUCUUCCUUUUGUAUUCUCUAUAUUUUAUCAAUGUAGUUUUCUUUGCCAUAAAGAAAAAGAACAAAAGAGCUUCUCAUGGUAAUGCAUUUAUGAUUUAAGGAAUAUCCAUGUUGAUAUGUUAAAAAGGAUUAUGAGCUAAAUCUUUGAAGGAUGAAAAAGUACCUUCAACAUGGUGCUGAUUAUAAGUACCUAAAUUGGACAUGGAAGUUUAUAUGUUGCAUACCUGGUUUAGGCGUUGCAGCCAUUGGAAUGAGAAGGAUAAUUAAAACAUACGUUAAAUUAUAGAAAAGAAGAUUAUUAAAUUCUGGUUUUUGAUUGUUUGGAAAGGAUAUUUCCCAUUUUUCUUGUAUAUCGUUUGCAGUUAGGAUUUGCACAUUCUAGAGUUAAGGCUUAUAAGAGGCAUUAGGACUAAUGCUGAGCUGGCAGUGCUCUCCAUGAUGUCCAGGACAAUGGUUCCUCGAAAACCAAAUUAUGGAGGAAACAACAUUAUGUAUUUUCUGAUGUAGCACUUGGAAAUUUGUUUGGUUAGCACUGAGUAUUGCUUCUGUUGUCUCUAAUUAUCCUGUGUACACUGUAUGCAUUACUUGUGAAGUUGAGACGAUUAUAUUGGCCCAAUUUCUUGUUGAAUGGGCAAAUAUUGCCUCAAAAGGACUGCUCUUGUCCAUCCAAAUAGAGCUUCUGUUUGGGUUUGGGGGUUGAUAAGGGUCCUGCUAAGCAGUUUUGUUUCUGAUGAUUAUCCAUAUGGUUCACUUAUCCUUCCAUUUCCAUGUGCUUUUCCAUCUUAGAAGAAGAUUUUAUUUCUGUAGUCUGAAUGUUGGUUGGUUGAUAUAGAAAUAUUUGCUUACUAUCUCUUGCUCUAUCCAGAUGGGACAGUGGCAUGCUGCAGAUGAAUACGAUGGUCAAGUAAGAGAGGUCGCAUUUAGAUCUCUCUGUAAGAGUCCCAUCUAUCCGCGUGACACAGCCAUGACGGAGUCUCAGCAUGCAGUUUUAUCACCAGAUAAGAAAAUAUUUGUAAGGCUAUCUCUCUCAUUGCCUUAAAUUUGGCAACAUUGAUAAUGUGCUUGCAAUUUUUUUUCUUAUUUAUUAUCUAAUAGUUUAAAAAAAUUCUCUGUUAUUAUUUCUGUCUUAUUAUCUUCAAAUGGUACCUUGCUUGUUAAAAACUGACUUCAAUGAUUUUUUCUUGUAAAUUUUCGAUUAAACAUGUUUUUUCUUUUAGGUUUUUGAGACAGUCCAACAGGCACAUGACGUUCCAUUCGGGUCUUACUUUGAGGUAUGAAAUAUGUUUCUAUUUGGACAUCAUACUUUUGGUUCACAUUUCUUAUUAGGUGUCAAUGUUAAUUCAAUUAAACAAGACAAGUUAUUUCGUUUUAUUUUAUUAUGUUCAAAAAAUAAAUAAGUAGAACGUCUGAUAUAUUUAAAAUUUGUAUGGUCAUCAUUACUUUGUUUCUGUGCUAAGAUAGGUGAACCAGCAUUUUCCAAAAUAUUUUAGAAUAACGUACUUUCUGGUUGUAUUUCCUUGCUUAGAGGGUUGUAACCUGUAAGAGAAAUAUUCCACUUUGUUAAUGCAAUGUAAUUGUUCUGCUGUAUCAGAUUCAUGGUCGAUGGCAUUUGGAGACCAUUGCUGAAAAUUCCUCUACUAUUGAUAUUAAAGUGGGUAAGUUUUGGUUUGAUGUUCAUCUCUUUGACCAUCUUUUCCCAUUGCUGAGAUGAUUUUUCAUGCCCUAAUAAUGGUUGAAACAAGCUUGCAUCAAGAAUUGUCAUGGCAUCCUGUGAGGAUACAGAAGCAUGUAUAUUAAUGCCGAAGGUGUUAAAUCUUACUGUUGCAUUGCAUUGAACCUGUGGGUCAAAAUAUUGAGCAACUCCAACCUUGCUUUUCUUUUUUAAUUCUAGUGCUUGGAAUUUACUGUUUCUGCAGUAUCUGCAGGUGCCCAUUUUAAGAAAUGGUGUGUCAUACAAUUCAAAAUCAAGACAGGUGCUGUUAACAAGGUUGGUACUCUGAUUGUACAAUUUUCCUUUUAAUCUUUGUUUUAUUACAAUGAAAAAUGAACUCCAUAAUUUUUGAAAUAUGAAUGAAUUUAGUAAGCAAUGAAUUCUUUUGUUCUAUGCCAGUACAAGAAAGAAGUUGAGCUGAUGUUAGAAACGGCACGUUCAUAUAUCAAGAUAUGUACUUCCGGUGGCGAGACUAACAACCAAUCGUCCACUCCAUCUGUAACUCCAGAUUGUAACUAGUUGUGCAACUGUAUGAGAUCCAGUAAUUAAUGUUGUAGCAGUCCCCAUUUUUGAAUGUAUAAUACAUGCACACACACACACACACCCAUAUAUAUAUAUAUAUAUACACAGCCCGAGGUCCCUCGUGAUGGUGAUAGUGUCGUCAUCUUACCUUGUGCGCUGAUGGAGUUAUUCACUGUGUAAUGGGGAUUUUCAUUUUUUUCCCCCUCAUAAUUUAACUAGAUUUCUCCUCUAUCGUAGCGGCAAUCCCAGCUGAGAAGAUUAAGUUUGUUUUGAUCCGAUGUAAAUAGAAGGUAAGUUUUCAAAUACUAGGUGUUCUAUCACAAAUUUGAGACAUGCUAUUACAAAAGUGGAUUACUAAUAUUUUGUAACUACUAUUGCCUUGUAUGUAUGUAUAUUGUCCAUCUAUCACAUCCUCAUUUUUCAGAAACCGAGUUGCCUGCCACACUUCGGCACCUUGUGGUUAACAUAUCUCUUGAAAGAAUUAUAUUUUGGAGCUGUGAAAAUCAUAAAGGUUUACCUGGUGAGUGCAUAAGCUCCACCAUCUUCAAGAGUAAACAAUUUGGUAGUGUGAUCAUCUUUUUGUCUUUCCCCAAAGGAGGAACGGCGUAUAAGUUGUGAGAAACUAGAGGCUUUGCCCAACGGCUUGCACAAUCUGACCUCUCUUGAACAUUUAGCACUGGAAAAUCUAAUAUUGGCAUGUUUCCCCGGAGGAUGGCUUUCUCUGCCAACUUUGAUUCACUCGAGCUUCAGGAUCUGGAGAUUCGCAAAGCACUGUUCGAGUGGGAUUGCACAGAUUCGGCUAUCUCAGACGACUUGUAAUCCGCAGAGUAUGUGAGGAUGUGGGGUUCAUAUCCAGUAGAGGAGAAAGGAACGAGGAUUCCUUCCUCUCUGGCUGAACUGGUGAUUUCCAACUUUCAAAUCUGAAACGCCUGAUUGUUCGAAGCUUAAGUAUAUUUUAGGAGGGCCUCCCCACCUCACUUCUGCAAAUAUUUAUCUGGAAAAGAUAUAUAUGUAGAAAGGAUGGAGAACAAUAUUGGCACUUCAUGGCGGGGAAAUUGUGUGGGAUAUACCUAUUCCCCUUAAAAUAUCCAAAAUAUUCAUUAAAUUAGGGUGGGGCUAUUUGAACCCACCAAACUACUCAUUAAAUUUACUUUUAAAAAUAAUUUUUUUAUUAAAAUACCUUAAAUUAAAUUACAAUUAUGGACAUUAAAAUAUAAUAAAAAGGAAAAAGAAAAAACAGAAUUUUUACUUUUUAAACUCGCCUUUACAUUCACCAUAAUUUUGUUAAACUCUAAUUAUAUUUUCCUCAAAUCCUAAUAAACUAGAGGUGUAAUUUUUCUUGGAAACCACAUAUUUUUGUUAAUUAGGCUCAUGUGAUUAGAUUUAGGAUAAUAAAAUUGGUGGUUACAUCUUUGUUUGCGCUUAACAGUGGCCAACAAUCAAUGACAAGUAGUGUUGUUGAAAAACUUCUCUAAACAACUUCUAUGCACUUCAUCUCCUGUCGCCAUCAAAAGUUGCAGCGAAAUAUUUAUUUGAAAAUACCAAAGAAAUUGCCACUCAUAUAAUUUCUUGACAACCAAACGAGGUAUUUGAUCGAUGAAGAACCAUGAAAACAUCCUUAUCGAUUUCCCUUUGAAGCUUCUCAUCCCGUCUUCAUUUGAAAAUACCAAAGAAAUUGCUUUCAAAACCAUGCCCCCUGCUUCAAAGAUUUAGAUCAAGCAAGUUCUAAAGUCAUUGUAUGGUCUCGAAAUUGAGAAGGUAAGGACACUGAAUAUGCAGGGGAAGAAGGAAAAAAGAGAGGGCCUCUUGGUUGCUUGGCCAAAUUACAAGAAAGCCUACAUGACUCUGAAGAAGCCAAUAUCUUUGCCUUUGACAUCCCUUUUUUAGAGCCUAAGGGAUCUUAAAUAAAUGGAAAUUUAAAUUAUGUGACAUUCCGUUGAAGAGAUUGUCUUUACACAUUUUAAGCAAUAAUCAGCAACAUUGAUCUUUUUCGAAUUUUCUAAAAACUAGAGUAUGACAACAGGAGUAAUUAAAAAAAAAGAAGAUAAAUAGUGUUGUAGACGGCGAUAAAGCGAUUCUUAUUUUUGCCAUAAAGCAAUUCUUUUUUAUGUUGGUGAUUACUGCAGAAGCAAUGAUAGAUAUUCUUUGUUUGUUGCCUCCAUGAAGAAUUUGUAUAAUUUACAUCAUGAAUCAAAGGUUGAGACAUUGUUUUUUUUUUUUUUUUUUAAUAAUAGAAGGGUCAGACAUUGUUGAAUGGUGUAAAAUAUGAUAAAAAAGGUUUAGUAGUUACUAAUUGUGCUAUAAUAAAUUUCUUUUUGAAAAAAAAAAAGAAGAAAGAUGAAUAUGUGCUGUAACUAUUUUUUUAGAAUCAUAUUCAUAAAGAAAAUCUUCAGUAUAAUGGAAAAAAAUAAAUAAACAUUUGUUAAGGGUUUAUAAAUCAAUUUAAUGGGUUUAAUAAGUAAAAACGGUAUUAUUAUAAAAUAAAAUGGGUUUAAUGAGGGUAUAUUGGGUAUUUAAGUAAGUUCAUUGAGUAAAAUUUAAAAUUUUAAAAUUUAAAUGUGGGUUUAUUUAGUAAAUGGCUUUAGUGAGUAGUUUAGUAGGUUCAAAUAGUCUCACCCCUUAAAUUAUUACUCUUAAAUUUUACACAUAUACAAUUAAAAAAAUCAGGAAAAGAGUACGAAAAUAUCCUCAAUUAAGUCAUGUAACAAAUCGAGUAAUUGAACCACAACCAAUUAAGUUUUCUAAAUAAUUCUUGACUUCUUUCAUGUAAGUUGGGUAACGACUUGAGGAUACUCAACCUCAAUUGAACCACGAUGACUAAAUCCCUAGAUUUUUUUUUUACUUCUUUAAUAAAGUCGGAUAACGAGUGGAGUAAAUUCGAUCUUAAUUGAACCAUGAUCAAUUAAGUCUCCUGAAAAAUUCUCAACUUCUUUAACAAGGUCAGAGUUGAGUAUACUCAACUUCAGUUGAACCACAACCAAUUAAGUCCUUGAAAAAUUCUCGAUUUCUUUCAUGGAAGUCUAGUGAUGAGUUGGGUAUACUCGACCUCAACUGAAUCAUAACCAAUUAAGUCCCUAAAAAUUUUUUGACUUCUUUCAUAGAAGUUGGGUAAUGAGUUGAGUAUAUUUGACUUCAAUUGUACGAUGACCAAUUAAGCCCUCUAAAAAAUUCGAGACGUUUUCAUGGAAGUCCGGUAAUCCUAGACUUCAUUUGUAUCAAUAAGUAAUCAUCUUCCUGCUCAACUAUAUAGUCGACUUAAUCAACUCUUUUCCUUCACUACUUGCUCAACUAAAUACUCGAUCUACCCAACUUCGUACUCGACUUCUUUCCGGAAUCAUUUUUUAAUCAUCCAAAACUUAAGUUGAAUAUUUCGGUCUUAAAUCCUUAUAUUUUAUGCAACCGUGUGUGCUUAUUUGUGCAAGCACUAAAAUGAAUAAUCUACUAUUACAAACUCAUAAAUUUUAAGCAAAUAUACUUGUAAUGAAAUCAAAUAAAAUUUUAAGUACAUAAAAUGUUUAAAUUUCAAACAUACCUUAUCCACCACUUGAUAAUCCACUUGAUAAUGUGUUGGAGGUAAGAGAUGAAAUGAUGAGAGGAGAGAAAACUGUGAGAGAGGAAGAAUUGUGAGGUGUGAGAAAGUGUUUGAAAUGGUGAGGUGAGGAAAUGUAGAUAGAUAGUAUUUUGUACUUUUUCCUCUUUCUUCGGGGCAUAUGUAUGCAAUGGGGUAGAAAUUUGGUACUUAGGGGCAAAUGGGGCGUGUUCAAAUUAAAAACCCCUUCAUAGCCAAUGUGGUACGGAGAAGUCAAACUUAUAUAGGGGAUGGAAUUGGAAAGCUAACAUAAUUUCUCAUCAAACAAUUAUACGAUAAAAUAACCUUAACUUUCAAGUUAUAAUUGUAAGUGUUUAAUAAAUACUGUAGAGCUAGAACUCCUACAUAGAUGUGGUUCACUUGUUUCCUUUCCUCAAUUAUUUUUUGUUUUGUUAAAUUUUUUAUAUAAAUUUUAAGAUAAAAAUAGUUGUAAAUUGUGCAAUGUCAAGAGCAGAUAAAAUGAAAGUCGUUAUCUUUUCUGAUUAAAAAGGAAACUGAUGGUCUUGAAUUUUGGAUAAUUUAGUUCUACUCAACUAUAGUGUAAUUUACCUCAGUUAGUGCAGACAGAGAUUAUAAUACGAUUUGCAAAGAAGGGCAGAAAGGUGCAAAAAGGAUAAGAGGACGGACAAUUGGGCAGUUGACAUCACCAUAAAUGGUAAAUGAGUUUUUGAUUACUCAUAAUCAAUUAUCCAUUGAAGGGAAUAUUGCUGAGCAACAAACAAGAAACAGGGGAUUUAGAGGCCGAUGACCAAAUGUACUUGAGGUGAAGAUUUCUUUAAUCCUAGCAGCAAUUAGAGGGAUUUAAACAUCUAGAGAUGUGUUCUAUGAAGUGAGCUGAGUGCAGGAAAACAUUAGAUCUUACGUACAUUUGGUAUUUUGUCUAGUAGCUAUAGCUGUAUCGUUUGUUUAAGUAUUUAGUAAACUACUGGUAAUUGUUGACGAGAAAUUAAGGUGAUAUUAUAUAUGCUAUCAUUGUUCGAUGAAAAACUUAUAUUACUUUUAUUGUUUUAUCAAAAUUUGUAUCGCAUAAAUAUAGUCGAUGUUUAUGUCAUAAUUAAAGCUCCUUAUUCAUGGAAGCCACAGCACCAAACAAACUAAUAUACACACACUAAGGGAGACUAAGUAACGUGCCCUACAAUAUUAAUUAGUCACCCCAAACACAAUUAACCCAUUUAUAAAUUCCAAGUCUAAAGUUGUUUGGUUUCUGUAUUAUAUAAUAGUUGGUAUUAACAAAAAAGUAUAGCCGAAUUAUUCAAAUGGUAAGUGCAGCGGAUCUCAUAAUCCAAAAAUGAAAUUAUUGGUAAAUAAAUUGAAAAUACUAUAACUGAAAUCAUCACAUUAAAAUAUUAAUGGUAUUACCAACUCUUGAGAAAAAAUUCAUUAUUUUAACUUUCCAACCUUUCGUGAUGAAAUUUUCUUCUAAUAUGUUAAGAAUGAAAAUAUUAUCGAAGACUAUUAGCAAGGUGAAUAGUAUAGCUGAAUUAUUCAAAUGGUAACAUCAUUUUCUUUCUUUAUGGAGUUAAGAAUAGCCGCGGAUGUUCGAACAAAACUCUAUGCGCCUGAGCACCUGUGCACAAAAAGAACAUAGGAUUGUUGAAAUUUGAAAACACACUCAAAGGGGAGUAUAAGAAAAUUCAGCAUCGAUGUCUUUUAUCAUUACUUUCAAGUUUUGUUGAAGUUUAUGGAUAAUUACAACGUAAUUCAUAAACUAACUAAAAAAUUAUUGGCAAUAACUUGAAUGAAUAAUUUAAAAAUACUUUUAUUGAAAUCAUCACACAAAAAAAAAAAAAAUGAAUAGGUUUACUAACUCUUGUAAAAAAAUAAUUAUUGUCCCUUUCCAACUUUUUGUGAUGAAGUUCUUCUAAUAUAUAUAUAUAUAUAUGUAUAUAUAUAUGAAUGUAUUAUAUUAUAUUAAGCAUAGAAAUAUCGUUGAAGACUAUUGGUGACAAAAUUAGAUGAAGUUUCUUAUAUAUACAUACAUACAUAUAUAUAGUGUGGAAGUUGAAAACUGUGGUUAGGGGGGCCUUGUGCCCGCGUGUAUAUAGUAAAAGAUUAAGAUAAACUUUACUAUAAAUGGCAAUGUAUUAACAUCAUGAAAGACAAAAUAAUUCAAAGAUAUAUAUCUAUAAAUAUGUUCAUCUUUCAAUAAGUUUAUUCAUCUUCAAUAAAAGUAACCAAUUAAACUAAACUUAAACUCGAACCUAAAUAAAGAUAAUUUGUAACAGAAUUAUAAUAAAUGUGUAGGAACUUAGAGGUUCAAUAUUGUGUGUGAUCGGACUAUUUAUCAUCGGAGUUAGGAUAUAAAGAACUAAAAGUAUUUAUAUCAUGAUAAUUUGGUAAAUGCUAAUUAGUUUAGGAAUAUUUUUUUAAUUUCUAUUGUAAUUUAGUAAAAUAUUUACCUAUUAAUUUUUUUCCUCAAUUUUUUACCGGGACACAACCCACCUCGAUUUCUCCUAAGUUUCACCCCUUUAUAUAUGUAUAGUAAUUUUCUAAUAGGAGAUAAAUUAAAAAAAAAACAUGAAAAACAUACACUCCAAUGCUCCAUUGUAGUGUUUCAUUUUGAUUUUAUAGUAUAUUAAAAAAUUUAUAUUUUUUUAUCUUUUAACUUGAUUCUUAUCAUGUUAAAGUAAAGAAUUCCUUAUUAAAAAUGGACUCAUAUAACCUAAGCAUCUAUCACUGUAUGUUAUUAUUAUUUAAAACAUCUCCAUUUUGUAUCAUUUCCCUCCGGAUGUGACUAACAAUUAGUUGGAACCUUAAAAAAAAAAAGGUUAUGACAGAAAUAAAAAAAAUAAAGAAAAAUGAUAUGCAGUCUACUAGUGAACUCACCUCGACUACAUUAAGAUUUACAUGACCGUAGGUUGAGAUAGAUGGGGUUUAUUGGCAGGGGUGAGUAAGAGAGGCUCUGUGAUAGAGACCGACAUUGAAAAUAUUCCUGUCUUGCUUGCUUGAAUAUCACAAACUAGACUUGAUCAUUCAAGUGCCCCACUGUUUAUUUUCUCAUUUUCCAUUACAAAGAAAUGUCGACAUGUCAUUGGAGAGGCGAUGCUAAAGGCGUCCGUUGAGAAACAGUUCAAAAAGUUGGCUUCCGAGGAAUUCGCAUUGAAAAACUGAAAGUUGCGGCUUGAAGAACCAGCUAGGCAGCCAUUACAACUAAUUUGGGAAACUAAUUCGCAGUUGCUACACAAGUUUUACUGCAUUGCAUGAUGUCUGAAAUAACAGAGACCACUGCUAGACUGCAUGAAAAUUCAGGUGGGAAGUCUUAUAAAGUCAGACAAAGGCUACCCAGAACCUAUUUGGUGAGUAAGGCCAAAUUGUAUGGCAGGGGAACAGAUCACGAGAAUAUUGUUGAAUCGUUGUUGAGGGAUGACAUAAGAUCUUGUUGAAAUGAACUCAAACUCGUCAGAACAACUUGUCGUGUUUAAGUUGUGAAGAUGAGUGACAUGUCAUUUCAGUUGAACGGGAUUCCAGAGCUGACAAUUUGACAAUAUCGUACAAGACCAUUAAAUCUCACGUGACUAAUGCACGCCUGUUUUAACCUUAAACGGCAUUGCUAGCAGUCGUUUAAGGAAGGCUUUAAAGUGGCGCGUGAGGAGCUCGUGACAGGUUGGUUAAGGCUGUUGGAUUUGGAGGGAAAAUUCUGGAUCUGUUACGCCUGCCCAACUGAUAUAUAUACAAGCUGGUUCUGGUGUAAUCUUGUUGGAUCAAGGUGAGAGUGAUAAGGCAGCCAUAGUGAGAGUUAAGCUUUGUGAGUGAUCUCCGUAUUGUGUAUUAUCAUCUCUGUAACCUUGAAGCUUAAUAAAGUUGCUCCUUGAGUUGUUUUCUCCAGUGGAUGUAGGCACCCUCAAAGGUGCUGAACCACUUAAGUUCUUGUGUGUUCUUGUUUCUUUGGGCCGUGUUCUUUGAUCUGAUCGUAGUUCUUGGUUAGCUUAAGUUUGAUUCUUGAGUCUUUGAGUCUGAGUUAGGUCUUGGGGUGUGAUUAAUCUAGUAAUUAAAGGGCUAAUUUCACAACAGAUCUAAGAAUGGAUUCUCUGCUGUUCCCAUUGUAGGGAUGCCGGGGGUGGGCAAGACAACUCUUGCUCAGCAUGUCUAUUACGACGUUCGACGAACGUGCAAGAUCAUUUUGAUCUGCAAGCGUGGCCUUGUGUCGCUGAAGAUUUUGAUAUCUUAAAGGUAAUGAAAUCAGUCCUAGAGUCCAUUGCUACUGAUCAGCCUGUGGAUGAUAAUGACUUGAAUUUGCUACAAGGGAAAUUGAAGAAACAAUUUUCCGGAAAGAAAUUUUUGCUCGUUUUAGAUGACCCGUGGAAUGACAAUUAUAAUCAUUGGAGGACCUCAGCCGUCCAUUUGAAUCUUGUGCACUGGGCGGGUAGCAAGGUUGUUAUCACUACUCGCAGUAUGAAUGUUGCAACAAUGAUGGCGACUACUUCAAUUUAUCCACUGGAAUAUCUGUCAGAUGAAGAUUAUCUCUGUAUACUUGCCGAAAAAUCCCUAGGAACAAUAGAUUUCAGCAAUCAUCAAUCCUUGAUGGAAAUUGGCAAGAAGCUGGUGAUUAAAUGCUACGGCUUACCUUUGUCAGCAAAAGCUAUUGGUGGCCUAUUAGGUGGCAAAUAUGACUUGAGUGACUGGGAAGAUGUGCUCAAUAGCGAUAUAUGGAAUUUAUACUCAGACGACGGAGAUGGCAUUUUCCCAUUGCCAGCCCUUAGAUUAUGCUAUCAUUAUCUUACUCCAUGUUUGAAGAAAUGCUUCGUAUCUUGCUCACGUCUCCCUAUGGAUUAUGAAUUUGAUGAAGAGGAGCUUGUUUCAUGAUAGAUGGCUGAAGUUUUUUUGGCUCAUGAUGAGAGUAAUAUGUAAAUGGAAGAUUCAGGUGGUGAGGUUUUCAAGGAGCUACAUUCAAGGUCGCUUCAUCAACAAAGAAGCAACGAUACAUCACGGUUUGUGAUGCAUGGCCUCAUCUACGAUCUUGCUCUUUGAGCUGCUAAAGGACUGUUGGGGGCAAUUACGACACAGCACAAUGAUACGGAACCCAGUCUCAGAAAGAAGCUCCCAGCACAUAGAUAUCAGAGAAGAUAAUAACAUUGAGGAUCACAAGGCAUAUGAAAGAAGAAAUUGGACGGUCAGUCUUGUAAUGAAGCUCCUGUACAAAUUAUAGAUUUAGAAUUUUCCAUAGCUUCCUUUUUUCUCCAGUCUCCUUUUGUAUUUUACUCGCAAAAAUUGGUAACUUUUAACUCCUAUAUUUUCAGAGAUCGAAAUCUGAGUGAUCAGCUAAAUAAAGAUGUUUGAAAUGAAAACGACUGAGUCAAACAAUUGGUCUACUGUCGCUGUAGCACUGGCCUUCUAGGUGAAUGUACGUGCAGCGUUGAACCGAAUACAAUGAGACAACUGACUAAAGAAGCAAUCUAGUAACAAUCUACGAUCAGUUGAAAGCAAUUAAUCAAUCAGCAAAAUUAAGAAAAUAGCUGAUCAAGAUCAAUACCAGAAAAUUACCUGAAUCGGUAGGUUUGCCUAAAUCCGUGAAGAGAAUUAGCCUCUAGAAAGCUUAAUUGACGAUGGUGAUGACGCAAUAUUUACCCAACUCACUACAAAAGAGAAUGUACCACUUAAGACUCUUUCUAAUUCUUACUCUAUCAAAAGAAAAUCAUAUGUAGAAUGGACAAUAGUCACCAGCCUUAUAAAUACACUCUUUGUUUCCAUAAUUUUGAACCUCUUAGUCUUCUACUCUGUUUUGUAUUAACCGCAGUAAUUCGUGCACUAAUUAUGAGGUUGCUCUAUAAUCUUAAUCAAUAAACCACUGACUUGGCAACAAAGAUUGAUACAGGCAGCAAAUGAAAUGAAACUUCAAGUUCACUGACUUGUUUAUAGUAAAAAAAAUUGCAGUCAUGACAACGAAACGGUCAUUAUAAUUAAUGUGCUUUUGCUGGAUCUUAUGUGCUAAUCAGAUAGGCCUAAAAAUUAUGAUGGACAUUGUUGGCCAAGUAUCAUGAUAUCCGGACCGUACAAUCCCAAGUAAAAUCAAGUCAGGUGAUUCAAAUCAUUUGUGGUGAUGUGAGAGCAAAGAGACUGUUAGUCAUUACAUAAUCCAUUAACAGUACCAGUUAUUAAUGAUUGAUCAGCUAAAUUUUUUUCUCAAGUUUGCGUAGUAUCUUUUAUGCUUCCUUUAUGCAAAUUAAAAAAUUUGCUGCGAUUAGCAAGUACUUUUCACAACUUGCAUGAUACUCGGAUGGAAUAAAGUGCUCUUUUCCGGAAGCACUUGUCAUGGCAUUGAGAUAUCAAAUCGAUUAAUGGACUUGAUUGCAAUUGAUAUCAAAUCCAUUUUCGUUUUCCUAAAUUAAAGAAAUAUGUAUAGGCGGAGAUAUCUUCAGUUAAAGUACCCACCAAACAAAAAAUUGUUUAAUUUAGAAGGAUUUGAUAGUAAUCGAAUUCGUACUUGUUGGCCAUUAUCAAUUUAAUCUCUUCAGUGAUGUUAUUUUCGGUUAUUUCGAAGUUGUAAUAUUUAAUUAAACUAAUAAUAAUAUACUGCAUUAGUUUGUACUAUAUUGUUCUUACAAAAAUAUCUGUAGCUAUAUCAUUUAUCUCAUUUUUAAGUGUGUCGGUGUGUGUUUAUAAUUUGUCAAGAUGAAAAAAAUCCCAUUAGAUGAUAAAUAUGCAUUAUAUAUAUAUAGUGCGAAUGUCCUCAUUUUUUUUUUUAUGUGAACAAGCUUUUAAACCCCGCAGUUUAAGAGAGUUAAUUUUUUAUUCUCUUAAGUCACAUAACUUUAUAGUUCAUUAAAAAACUAACUCUCUUAAACCGUACAGUUUAAAAGCAUGCCUGCAUUACCCACACCUAAGAGUGAUUAUACAUUGAAAUACAAGUUAUGCAACCCAAGAGGGGGGUGAAUUAAGUUUUUAAAACUUAAGCUAAGCAAACCACACAACAAUUCAAUCUAAUGUCUUAAUAAAUUCGAAAAUAAUAAGUUCAAUCAAACACAAUAAUAAAUGAGUAAGGAAAGAGAAAACAAACACAAUGAUUUUUACGUGGUUCGGCAAUCCUUGCUUACGUCCACGCCUCCAAGCAACUCAAGCUUGAGGAUUUCACUAUCCAAACCUUCUAAGACUUCAAAAGCUUACAAUUGACUUCCAAGGUGUCAAUGAACCUUUACAACAAAGAGAUUAUCUCCCAAUCUCUUCACUCAAGUGUCUCACACACUUAAACACUCAUAAUUAAGAUGAGGAAAUGAACAUUACAACAAAAACUCUCUUUAAGAGUAGAUAUACAAAUUGAAGAACAAAGAUGAUUCAAUGUUUUAUGAUUUGCGAAAAUGAGAGCUCAAUAUAUGUUGUGUGCUUUUUGUUUUUGCUUCCUUAGAUUACCAAAAUUGAAUUGGAUUUGAGUUUAUAUAGUUUGAGCUCAAAAACUAGCCGUUAUGCACAUUUUGGUGGUAACCGGCUUACCGUUUAUGGAAUCUGGUUAGCUGCUUUUAUGUUACCGCUACAACAAAAAUUUGAAUUUCAGAGCAUCCGGCAUGCCGCUUUUCAUAUCUGGAUAGCUGCUUUCAAAAUUCGGAUAGCCGCUUUCAAAAUCCGGAUAGCCAUUUAUGUUCCAGAAGCUUACUGCCCAAAAUUCGGUCUUCCGCUUGUAAAAUCCAGUUAGCCGCUUACUACAGUAACUGCUACAGUGAACUAUUUUCUAAAAUUAUAGUUUUAUCCCAAAAUAUUUCAUAACUGUACUAUGGCCCAAAACGUUAUAAAUUUUGCAAAUAGGUCAAAUUUCAGAAUCUCUAAAUAAUGCUCGUUGUUCCCAAAACUUUAUGAAAUUAUGAUAUGAUGCAAAAUACUAUGAAACUUUUUAAAUAAGUCAUUCUCCAAAAUACGGAUCCCAAAAACAUACACUCACCUCACCAUGUAUACAAGUUGCAAAUGACACCCCAUAUUUCUAAGGCGAGGUGAGCGGUGCCCUCCCCCAUUUUCCCUAAAACUGGGCCCUACUAAGCAUGUUGCAUGCAAGCACAUCUCCGCUUCCCCAAGGAUAAGGCAACCACUACCCCACUAGCCUAGAAGCAAUGAAGUGAAGAGUAACCGCCACUACUCACUUCCCUUGAUGAGAACCUUAACUACCCACUUAGCUUGUCUCCACUUUUUGUACUCUAAGGCCAUGUUCUCCCACUAGUUGCACCAACAACUACCCAUUCAUGCUAGUUUUUAGGACCCACUUCUAGUGAAUUUCCAACCAACAUGCUCCCCAUUUGACUGCCAAUGCUCGAACACAGGCCGCGUACGUAAUACAAAUGCGUCUUACAUUCGCAUAGUUUGGCCCUUGUGCACGCCCCCAUUUGCUGCAUGGUUGCGCGCGCCCCUGUACACAUUUGUGCUACUGCCUUGUGCCAUCCUGCAUUCUACCCACUUAGCCUGUGUGCCCUAUACACCCUGCACACUUGUGACAUGUUAGGUGCAUUGUUCGCUCACGCCUUUACGCAUGCUGUCUCGUGCUCUUUGCCCUUGUUCCACAACAUACGCUUGCUCCUAGCCCGCGCACCACUCUUGCCUUACUUUUGUGCUUGCCCACAAGCAUGCCUAUUGUUGGGAAAUAGAUUACCACAAGCAGUUGAAAUUAAGUGGAACAAACUCUUUCCCUCUUUGUGUGAUUAAAAUAGGAUGUGUGCUACAAUAAAUAUGUAGAAAAAUAAAUUAAUAAAUCCAAAGCAAAACUAACCACAAGAGACACCGAUUUUUACGUGAAAAACCCAAAUUGGGAAAAACUAUGGGAUCGUAGUCCGAUAUAAACUUUCACUGUAUCAAUGGAAUUACAACACAAAUUCUUCUCCAUAUAACACUAGAGGCUAACAAUAUUAAAAUUCUCAACAAUCUUAGCUUACAAUAAUAGAUCUAAAAUCUAUUUUCUCCAAUAAGUGGGUAUAUCAAAUAACAACUAUAGAGAGAAUAAAAUACAGAUCAACACCAGUAGAAAUGUAGAGGGUGAUGUCAAGAACUUACCCUCCAAAUUUGGGAUAAAUCGGAGCUAAAAUCACCUUCCGAUCGAUGAAUCAAAUAUUAAAACCCUCAAAGGAAACUUUCUCUCUCGCAAUGUCUUUUCUCUUCGUGAAAUGGCUACCUCUCUCGCGAUUCUUCACUUAUUUCCUUGUUAAUUUCAUCAAAGUCCAAAAGUUUAUAAUAAUUACACAUCAAGUAAAUUAUUUUGGAUUUUAGGAAUUUUGGUCCACCGAAGUGAGAUGGACCUUACAAAUCUCCCCCUCCAUCUCAUCUGAGGGGUACCACCAAGCCCGCUCUCUGCUUACAACUUUUCAACUUCUCCUUGGGCAAUGACUUUGUCAUCAUAUCUGAUGCAUUCUUCGUUGUGUGAGUUUUCUCAAACUACAACUGCUUCUACUCAAGCACAUCUCGUAUCCAAUGAUACCUCACAUCAAUAUGCUUCGACUUCGAAUGAUAUAUUGAAUUCUUCGCGAACUGGAUAGCACUUUGACUAUCACAAUACACAAUGUAGAUGUCUUAUUUAACACCUAGCUCUCACCACAACAAAAAUGGCUUUCUGCAACAAAAAGAUUUUGUUGCCUAAAGUGCCAAUUUUGUUGCCAUAGGCUAUUGCUACAAAAACAAGCUUGUCAGCCAAGUCAUCGGCCUAGCAUUGUCGCCCUCUAUGUUUGACAACAUAUCAGAACAUUUCUCGGCCCAGACUUCCUUUCGUAACAAAAUAGAUUUGUUGUAAAGGAGUCUCCAACUUGUUUAAAAAUUUACGCUAAACUGUUUUACGCAACAAAAUUAUUUUGUUUCUAAAGAGUUAUUUACUACAAAACUAUUUUGCUACUAAGAAAUAAAGUACACUUCAUAAAAGUACAUACCAACAAAGGUGUUUGUUUGCUAAGAUCAUUUUAGGCAACAAAACUGCUUUGUUUCUUUAUGUUGAGCAUUUUACAAAUUUACAAUAAAUAUUUAAAUAUUUUUAUAAACAAAUCAAUUUUUUCAUUAAAAAAUACUACAAUUUUUUGUUUAAUAAUAUCAUGGUAUAAAAGGAAACAAACCAAGUUUGGUGGGAAAAUACCAAUUUUUUUCCCUAGCGUGACAAUAAUAAACUAGAAAUAUAUGUUGAGAAAUCUAACAAAAAAAAUCAUUAAUGCCAUUGAAUUAAUUUAAAAGUUAAAGGCCCAUUCAAUAUCCAAGCUAUAUAUAUAUAUAUAGUUGACUUUAAGAAUCACAUAUGAUCUUCAAAUACAAAAGUGAAUUGUCAUCUGUCCCAAAAAUCUAAUGAGCAAAAUAUUUGAACGAUCUCUAAUAAUAACUACUCCAAACUCCAAAUACUUAAAGAUAUGACAUGCACCAGCAAUAACCGAAAAGAUCAACUGAUGACUAAUUCAAAAAACUAACAAGUUCAAGAUACUCUAAGGACAUCAUUGAAAUGAGUAAUCAUUGAGUAGCUGAAUUUGUAAAGCGAAAAGAUGUUCCUUGAGAAGAAAAAAAUUACUGCAUCAUACUCUCAAAUUGGGACAAUUUGGACUCCAAUUGAUCAAUAGAAUUCUUUUGCUCUUUAAGCUCAACAUCUUGUGAAUCCAAUCUACUUUUUUGUGAAGAUAUAAUACCAUACAAUCUGUCAGCCUCAGAAGUAUCAAUACCAUGGGUUGGAGUUGGGUGUGGUCUGUUGCCAAGUCCUCGAAAAUAGCCUGAUUUCUUUCCAAGUACUUCACUACAUAUUUCCCUUUGAGUUAGUGGUUCUGCUUCUUCAGGAUUAGUUUGUUGUUGUUGUUGUAGCUCUACCAUUUGACCUUAUACAUAAAGCUUCGCUAGUAAAGGAAGGAAGAAAAAAAAGAAUUUUAUUAAUUAAACAAUUGAAAUUUAAUCCACUGGUCAUGGAAUUAAAUUGUAUUAAGGCAUAAAUUAAAAAAAAAAACUUGUUGUUAUACUUAUAAAUCUUAUCAUUUGAUAUUUCAAAUAAUAAUGUUAAUUGAAGCAUGAAAGAAAAAUUAAGAAAAAAAACUCAAUGAGUAAAUUUUCAUCAAUAUUAUGUAAGUGAUAAGAAAUAAUAAAAUUAAAGAUUUUAUUUCCAAUAAAGCAUCUUACAUGCUUUGAGUGGGUCACCUCAUUCACCCAACCUUUUGUCUUAUUGAAAUGAGUGACACAGAAUAAUUCUAUUUCUCCAUCAACCAUGUCAUCCUCAAGAUAAUUAACAAAAGGUCUUGAUCCCAGCUUAGCACGAUUAGCUUUAUUUUUGGUAGAUUGAGUCUACAUUAAAAAAAAAAAUAACAGUAGAAAAUAAGAUACAUAUACAAGCAUAUUGACAACUAGUUGGACAUCUAAAGUUUAUAAUAUAAAUAUCAUUGGAUCUGUAAACUUGUGGAAUUGUAAAUGUUAUGACAAAGCCAAUCCCAAUCAUUUAGACAUAUGCCUGGAUAUGGAUGCUUAAGUGCCUCUUCAAAGGAUGGAUAAUCCAAGUAAUGAUCAUACAUCCAAUGUCUCAUAUCACGAUAUCUCCCACCCAUAAUGUUAUUCACACAUCAACGAACAUGUGGCAAGUUCAAAUCAAUCUUAAACUUUGACUGAAUUUAGAAAAAAAAAAUCUUAGUUUAUAAUUUUAAAAAAUAGUACAUGAAGAAUAUUAAGAACCAUAAGUACUUACUAAUAGUCAAUCAAACAAAACUUGCCUCUCUGAUUCUGGAAUCUUGCUCCAUUACUCGUGCUGAAGAUAUGCAAACCUUCUAACCAAAUAGCCACACUCACUUGACAACAUGGAAGAGUACUUAUGACCUACUGGCCUAUUAGUCUCGGGAGAGAUAUAUAGCUUUAUUUUUCCAGAUAAUUGCACAAUGUCAUCCAUUUUUUUCCCAUAUGAGGGGCCACGCGUUCUUUUCUUUAUUGGCUGAAUAUCUAUUUUAUAUACAUGUGUGUGUGUGUGUGUGUGUGUGUGUGUGUGUGUAAAGCAUGUAUUAGUAUAAGAAACAAAAUAUUGUAUAUUCUAUUAAAAAAAUCCUACCAAUUAAACUCUUUAAAUACCAGAUUCUAGAGUUGUAACACCACCUUGCACAAACUCUUGGCUAGGUAUAACAAGCUGAGAUGGGGGAAUUGUAGAUGUGACAACAGUUUCUGCCCUUACACGUUUGGUAACUCUAUGUCCAGGACCCAUCUAGUUAUUAUUAAAAAUAUACAUUAGAGUUUAUUAAUAGCCAAUAUAAAAAUGAAUCAAGAUAACUAUAAUUUUGUCAAAAAAAUUAUAACAUGAAAGAUUUUUUAAUAAAAUUUUCAUAUUCAAUCAAUAAUAACCACUUUACUUGUAUUCUUCAGAAUAUCUCACAGGCACUUAUAAAAAUUUUAACCAUUAAUUCACAUUUUUAAACAAGAACUAACUAAAACUAAACAAGAGAGUAUAACACGAACAAAACAAAAAAGAUAAAAAUAAGUUAAAAGACAACCAUGCAUGAAGGAGUGAAAGGCGACAAGUCAAUUUGAUUGCUCAAGAAUUCCUUAAGAAUACUUAGCUGCAUGAAAGAAAGAUAUCAGAGUUAGAAUAUAAAAGUUAGUAAACCAAUAAAUUAAUUUCAUAUAAAAUAAUAAUACAAGAAAACUUAUAUAUAUAUAUAUAUAAUACAACAAAGAAAACAUGAAUGCUUACAUUUGAAGCUUGUAAUAAAGCAUUACACAUGUGAUUACAUGUCAAUAUCGCUAUCAUCAUAAUCCUUAUUUAACUCUUCUUCACUGCUGGAGAAAUAUUCCUCCAUUGUUUCAUCUUCAUCUUCUUAUUCAACAAGUUUGAAAUUAUCUGCAUCAUUAUCUCUUGCCCUUUCAACAUACACAUGUGAUGAAAUUACUUGUGGAUCAACAUUAUUUAUAUUAUACAAUUGUGCAUUAGCGUGUUCAAGUUGUACCGAGAGAACAAAGUCAGAUGACUCAUUUUGCUGAUACACUUGUUUAUUUGCACUCCAACUUCCAUUUUCAUUUUCAUUUAAGCUUUCUUUCUCUUGAACAUCCCACAAACCCCUAUGCUGCACCUUUUCUACAACCUUCCAGCCUACUCCUAACUUUGAUUGAUAGAAGUAAGGUGGUAAUCACGAUUAAUUCUUUUUUUUUUCCUAAGAUUAGUGUCAAACCAAUCACACUUAAAUAGAAUUACUCGAUAUCCAAGAAGAUAUAUUAAUUCUAUAACAUUACUGAGUACACCAUAAAAGUCAAUUUCUUCAUUAUCAUGCUCCCUUGGCACCAUUACUCCACUAUUUUGAGUAGUACGAUGCUCAUCUCGACUUGUGACAAGAAAUCGCACUCUAUUUACAAUACAACCAGAAUAACUAAAAACUAUAACAUCUGGUCCACAAGUUAAAGCAUAUAGUUCAUCAUUUAUUGUUAAAGAUCCCUCAUCUCGUAAUUGUCUCAUCUAUAAAGCAUAAAUUAAUUUAUUACAAGCUUGUUAUAAUGGAGUUAAAAAAAACUAAUUAAUUUGACAACUAUAAUUACUUACAUGUGCUGCAAGCCACUUAGGAAAAAGUAAUUGUUGUCUUUUAUUUAAAUUAGCACCACUUUCUCUUUGUAAUAGCCGUUUGUGCUCACUAUAAUUUUAACAAAUAUAUUAUGAUAUGUUAUAUAUAAAUAUAUUUAUAUAAAUUAAAUAAAAUGACUAAUAUAUUUUAUGCUUACUCUAGGUAUUCUUGGACUUCAUCAUAGUUGUUCAAAACAUACCAAUGUGCAAUGUUGAUCUCUCGUUGUGAUAACUCAAUUUGAGCUUUACCAAAAGGUCGAACAUUCUGAGAGAAGACUGAAAGUCCUCUACUCUUUGUCCACCAUCAUCAUUCUGCUCAACACGAUUAAAUUUGGUUUCAAUAGAAUCUAAAUAUAAUGAAAAAAAAGACAACGAUUCAUUUAUGAUAUAGGCCUCGGCAAUCGAUCCUUCAGGUCGAGCUUUAUUCUUUACAUAGCUCUGAUAUCGGCCUAAAGCGCCCUGUUCAACAACAAAUGAUUAAAUUUAAAAAAGUGACUUGUGAAUGUAAUGUAAAUAUAAUAAAAAUAUUAUAAUCAAAUAAUGUGAUUACCUUUCAAUUGGGUACAUCUAUCUUAAUGCAACAGGACCGACAUAUUUUGCUUCACGUGGUAAGUGCACAGCCAAAUGCAUCAUUAUGUCAAAGAAUGCAGGUGAGAAAAUUUGCUUAAGCUUGCAAAGUAUCAAUACAAUCCCCUCUAAUUUAUCUAACUCACUCUUAUAUAAUGUUUUUUAAUACAGUUGUCUAAAAAAGUUACAAAGUUCAAUAAUGACUGAGCAAAUAUCUUUAUGUAAAUAUAAACGUAUUCCAAUUGGAAGGAUUUAUUAUAACAAAACAUGACAAUCAUGGCAUUUUAAACCUAAUACUUUUGCAUCCUUGAUGUUGACACAAUUGGAUAUAUUUGCAGCAUAACCAUCCGGAAACUUCACUAACUUCAGAAAUUGACAAAAUUCUCUUCUUUCAUUUAAAGUCAGUGUGUAUGAAGCAUGAGGUUUUAAAAGUUUGUUUCCUUCUAGUUUUAGAUGCAACUCUUUCCUUAUGUUCAAAUCCUCUAAGUCAAGCCUUGCUUUAACAAUAUCUUUAGUUUUCCCCUCAAUAUUCAAUAAGGUUCCAACUAAAAUAUCACAUUUAUUUUUCUCAAUAUGCAUAACAUCAAAAAAUGUCUUAUUUUCAACUUGGACCAAUACUCCAACUCAUAAAAUAUGCUCUUCUUUGUCCAAUUUAAAUCAUUUGUACUACGUUUCCGCUUUCUAUCUUUGUUAUUUUCAUUUUUUUCAGGCCUAGCUUCAUUUAUCUUCUCUAAUUGCCUUAGAAUGUCAUCUCCUGAAUACUCCGUAGGUGCUGGAUCAAAUUCAAAAUCACCAUCAUGUUCUCUAUUAGCUCUCCAUGAAUGACCAUACGACAAAUAUCGACGAUGACCCAUGUAACAUAUCUUACUAUUCAACUUUCGCAAAGAUGUUUCUACAUUACAAACCAGGCAAGCCUUAUAACCUUUAGUGCUCCAUCCAGAUAAAUUUCCAUGUGCAGGAAAAUCAUUAAUAGUCCACAUUACUGUAGCAUGCAUACGAAAUGUUUGUCCAGUGGGCACAUCAAAGGUUUCAACACUAUGAUUCCACAACUCUUUUAAUUCAUCUGUUAAUGGCCUUAUGUAAACAUCAAUAUCCUUACCUGGUGUUUUUGGUCCUGGGAUGAGUAGCGACAUCAUCAUGAAUGGAUCUUUCAUGCAUUUCCAUGGUGGUAAAUUACAUGGCACAAGUACGACUGGCCACAUACUAUAAGAAUUAUGCAUGUCACUAAAAGGAUUGAAGCCAUUUGUUGCAAGAUCCAUCCUGACAUUACGAGGCUCUUGUGCGAACCAAGGAUAUAACCUAUUAAAUUCUUUCCAUGCUUCCCCAUCAGCAGGAUUUCUUAAAAUACCUUCCACAGCAACUCUCUUCUCGUGGUGCCACCUCAUAUCUCUUGCUGUAUGCCGAGAUAUAAAUAAUCUUUGUAACCUUGGUUUUAAAGGGAAAUAACGUAACACUUUUUGCGGUACUUUCUUUUUACUGCCUUCAAACUUAUACCUCGGUUCCCCACAAUGUAGACACUUUUCUAAUGCCUCAUAUUCUUUCCAAAAUAAGCACAAUCAUACUUACAUGCAUGUACGACUUCAUACCCUAAGCCUAAGUCCUUUAGCAUUUUUUUUGCAUCAUAAGUAGUACUUGGUAGUAUUGUGCCUUCUGGGAAUGCCUCUUUUAACAAUUGGAGAAUCAUAUCUAUUGUUUUGUUGCUCAAUCUACUAAGAACUUUUAUAUGCAUUAACUUGACAAUAAAACUCAAAGUAGAUAUCUUGGAACUAGGAAACAAACUUUUCCCAGCCUUUUCUAACAAUCCUGCACACAUUCUAAAUUCUCUAUUAUCAUCAUGUGUUAGGUCAAUAUUCUCUUCAAUAUUUGUCUCCGAAGUGAAUGCAUCCAUUAACGUUGGCUCACACAUAUCAUGAAUUAAAUUAUACAUUUCAUCAUCAUCCUCUUCAUUGUCAAAUGUAAAGUCACUCCUGCUACUGGGCAUAGAUCCUGCAUUCAUUUGAUUAUUGUCCACAAACUCAGGUUCUUCACCAUGAAAAACCCAUUUUGUAUAGCUUUCUGCAAUGCCAAAUCUUUUUAAGUGGGCUUUGACAAUAUGCAAUGACUUCAAGAAUGCAUUUUGACAUUUUUUACAUGGACAACGAACAAGAUUAUUCUCAUUUACACAUUGCUCAGCAACCUUCAUAAAAGACUUGAUACCAUCUAAGUAUUCUUUACAUAAUUUAUUUCGCAAACACAUCCAACUCCUAUCCAUUGUUCACUGCUAGGUACUAUAAAUUAAUAUAUGUAGGGAACAAAAGCAAGACAAAAACAAAAGAAUUUUACAUAAUAAUGUGGACAAAUCUUUUUAAAAAAUGAAUUGUACCUGAAAGCUGAAGGUAAUAAAUAGAAUUCAAUUGAUUCUUCAAGUUUUUGUUCUCAGCAAAGACGAAACUCCCAAACAAUUAAGUCGCCUGUGAAAUAGAGUUAAAAAUUCAAAAAAAUAUUGAGAGAAGAUUGAGAAAGAAUAUAACCCGCAAGUUUUAUUUUAUUAUUGCAGUAUAUAAUAAUUCUUUAGAUGAAUUAACAGCAAAUAGAGAUCAAAAUAUCCAUUAUAUUUAAUUUAACAAAUUAAAAAUUGAAACAAAGACCCACUUAAUAAAUAAUUAAAGCAAAACCCACUAAACAAAGUCAAACUCAGCAGGCCAAUAUAUAAAAUAAUACUAAAUUUACUUGAAGAAAUCAAGUGGGGAAGAAACAAUUAUUUACAAAUACCUCGAAAUAGAACUUUUCUUGAGCGGUGCCUUCCAAGUACAACUCUUUAGUAGUUUAAAGCUUGGGCAGAGAGAAGAACUCCAUGGCUGGGCAAAAGAAAGAAGCGAGUGUAAAGUGGAAAUAUUCUAGAAGCAAUAUUUUUAAUUAAGAAAAAUUGGAGAUGGAAACUUUACUUCCGUUGGCGCGCGGUUCAUUAAAUAAAGCACGUGGAAAUAAAAAGCCUCCCACAAAGUCAUGUUGGCUUUUAUAUUAUCUUUAUAUUUUUAUUUAUUAAUUUUAGCCUACGUGUUAUUUUAGUAAUUUUUUAAUUUAUAGAAAUCUCCCCAAUCUUUAUAUAUAGCUGGUUAGGUGUUGUGUUCAAUCAAUAUUCAAUAAUACACUUUCAACUUGUUAAUUGAUUUUUUUUCUUAAUAUUAGUUUUAGUACUUUCCAAUAAUAAUUUAUUGAAGAUCUUUUUUAUCCACUAAUAAAUUAUACUUACUAGUAAAAUUGAAUUAAUCCAAUUUACUAACUUGCUAAUACACACACACCCCACUAAGUAAUUUAUUUAGUAGUCUAAUAAAAUUGAUGUAAUUAGUAAUGAUUCUUCAUCCAUUUAAUUUCCUCUUGCUUGUACUGAAUGAUAUUACAUUGAAAAGAAUGUGUUGUUACAAUGUAUCUAAAGGGCUAAUUGUCAUAUUCCUUCAACUUUAUGCCUAUUGAAUCCAAUAGAGAUUAUAAUAAUUAUUUAUCUUAAGAGGGAAAUUUUGAAUAAUGUUAGGGAUCUCAAUAUUUUAAAUCUCAAUUUGUAUCUCUAUUAAUGUCGUAUUCAUUUAUUGAACAGUAUAAUAACAAUUUUACUAGCAAUUAAAUUUAUAAUCUAAUAAAUGAAUAGUACAUAUAGUCAAGUUACAAUUGGGAUCCAAAUUAAUAUUGAGAUCUCUAGUAUUAUCUAAUUUAUAUAUAUGUCUAUAUUGGAAUUAUUAUCAUCAACACUACUAUGACCAUUAUUCAUACUUCAAUUCAUUAUUAUGAUCAAUAUUAUUACUAAUCAUAAUUUUUAUACGCUAUUAUCAUUGAUUUCUUUUUUAAAUAAGUAAAUCAAUGUUUUUCUUACAUUUAAUGUCAUCAUUUUAAAUUUUGUAUAAAAUAUUAUUAUAAACCUUAUUACCUAAAAAGUAAAAAUUUGGAAUCAUAAUUAAAACAAUUUCACAAUAUAUCAAGAUGUGUCAAAAGAGGAAUAUGGUUGCUGACAAGAAAUACUAUACUAAUUAUAGUGAAACAUGAGGAUAUAAUGGUGCCACAUAAUAGUUAUUAAACAUCAUAUAGAACUUAGUGCAAUAGUUUGCUAUUGUCAAUAUUGAAAAAUUUAAUAUUUUUGUUAACCUUUGCGGAACAAAAUUAAUCUCGUUGCAAAAAAUUCUAAAGGAGCACAAAACAAAUUUUCUCGCUAAUCACAACUUUUUAUAAUAUUUUAUUUAUUGCAACUGAUUCAAGUGUUUGUUGUGGAAAAAUUUUAGCAACGAAACAAAUUUUGCUUUCAUUAAGCUUGUUAGGCAACAAGAACACUUUUGUCGCCAAAAAUAACGUAUGGCAACAAAAUAUUUUGCUGCCAUAUAAUCUAAUUUUCUCACCUAUUCCACAUCAUUAAGAAGAACAAAAUAUGUUUAACUAUAGCGAUAAAGACUAAUUUUUAUUGCAAGACAUAAAUUUUAGCAAUAAAGUAAGUUUUGUUACAAUAGAAUUUCUAGCCAAUAGUGUAUUUUCUUGUAGUGUCUUGUAGAAAAUUCUUCAUCCACAAAGUUUCUUUGCAACUUUCGGUGAUUGCAAUAUACUCUGCUUCUGUGGUAAACAAAGCAACACAGCUGAAGUCUGGACUACCAUGAAACUGCUCCCCAUGCAAAUGUGAGCAAAUAUCCCAAUAGGGACUUUCUGGAAUCAACAUCUCCUGUCAUAUUUGCAUCAGUGUACACUUCUAACACAGGUUUGUUACCACCAAAACAUAAACAUGCCUUGGAAGUGCCUCUGAGAUAUCUGAGAAUCUACUUUACUACUGUCCAGUAUUCUUUGCUCGGAUUAAAGAGAAAUCGGCUGACUACACUAACUGCACGUGCAAUAUCUGGUCUUGUACAAACCAUGACGCAAAUCAAACUACCAACUGCUGAAGCAUAAGGAACUCUUCUCAUCUCUUGCUUCUCUUUCUCACUUAUAGGACAAUGCUCGGAACUAAGAUUGAAAUGGCCUACAAGUGGAGAACAAAUAGAUAUUCCCUUAUUCAUGUUAAAUCUUUCAAGAACCUUUUCAACAUAUGCUUCCUGAGAUAACCAUAAUUUUCCAGUCUUUCUAUCACGGGAAAUUUUCAUGCCAAGAAUCUGUUUUCCCGAUCCCAAGUCGUUCAUUACAAAAGACUUACUAAACUCUCUCUUGAGAUUGUUAAUCUUACUAGCAUCCUUGCCAAUAAUCAACAUGUCAUCCACAUAAAGCAAAAGAAUAAUAAAAUCAUUAUUACCAAACUUCUUCACAAAAACACAAUGGUCAGACAUAGUUUGCUGAAACCAUGAUUCUCUAUAAAAGAAUCAAACUUUUUAUACCACUAUCUUGGUGCCUGUUUCAGCCUAUACAAACUUUUCUUCAAUUUGCACACAAGUUCUUCUUUACCUUUGACACUGAACCCUUCAGGUUGCUCUAUAUAUAUUUCUUCCUCUAAGUCACCAUGUAAGAAAGUUGUCUUUAAGUCGAGUUGUUCAAUUUCCAAAUCCAAGCUGGUUGCUAAUCCCAGAACUACUCGGAUAGAAGACAUCUUCACCAUAGGAGAAAUAUUUCCUCAAAAUCAACAUCUUUCUUCUGACCGAAACCCUUUAACACCAAUCUAGCCUUGUACCGCUGUUGUGAGUUAUUUUCAGUCUCAACCUAUAAACUCAUUUGUUCUUCAGUGCCAUCUUUCCCUUAGGCAGCUUCACUAAAUCAUAAGUGUGAUUUUCAUUCAAGGAUCCCAUCUCUUCUUACAUGACUUUAACUCACUCACUUUUGUGCUGAUGAGAUAUAGCUUCUUCAAAACAUUCUGGCUCUCCUCUGUCUAUAAGCAUCACAUACUCAUGUGGAGGAUAGCUGGUGGAAAGUCGUCAUUCUCUGGUGGAAAGUCGUCAUUCUCUAGUGAACCUUCUCAAUUCUGACUCAACUGGUGGUGCUAGUGAUUCUGGAGGUGCUUGCUCAACUGGUUCUGCUGGACCAUCAUCAUUAUCCUCUCCAGUUCCCCCAUGAUCAUCAUGAACAACAAGUGUAGAAAUUGAAGUUGGAAUAAUAUGAAUCUUUGGAGAUGACUGAGACUCAUCGUUUUUCUCUUUAUCACUAACUAUCUGAUCUUCAAGAAAUACAACAUCUCUACUUCUUAUUAGUUUUCUUGCCACUGGAUCCCAUAAUCUGUACCCAAAUUCUUCAUGUCCAUAGCCUAAGAAAAUACAUUCCUUAGCUUUAUCAUCAAGCUUCGAUCUCUCAUCUUUAGGGAUGUGAACAUAUGCUUUGUACCCAAACACUCUCAAGUGUUUAUAAGAAACAUCUUUACCAGUCCAAACUCUCUCAAGUACAUCUCCUUCUAAUAGAACUGAAGGAGAAAGGUUAAUUAAAUCAACUGCAAUACACAUAGCCUCUGCCUGGAAUGAUUUAGGAAACUUGGCAUUAGAAAGCAUACAUCUGAUCAGUUCUUCAAUUUUUUUAUUCAUCCUUUCUACAGCACUAUUCUGCUGAGGGAUUUUUGGUACAGUCUUCUUAAGUCUGAUUCCAUGGGAUCUGCAAUAUUGCUCAAAUGGUCCUCUGUACUCACUACCAUUAUUUGCCCUAACACAUUUUAAUUUUCUUCAUGUCCCUCUCUCAACAUAAGUAUGGAAGAACUUAAACAUAUCAAGCACCUGAUCUUUAGAUUUCAAAGCAAAAGCCUACACUUUCCUUGAAUAAUCAUCAAUAAAAGUUACAAAGUAAAGUGCACCUCCUAUUGAUUUACUUUGUAUUAUACAAACAUCAGUAUAAAUCAAAUCAAUGAUUUACGACUUUUUAGAUGGAGAAAAGCUUUUAAAAGCUACUCUGUGUGUCUUCCUAGCUAAACAAUGAACACAAGUCUUGAGGGACGUACCUGUAAAACUUGGUAGAAAUCUUUUUCUAGCAAGAGUUUUUAACCCUUUCUCACUGAUGUGACCAAGCCUUUUAUGCCAUGUCUCAAUGUCAGAAUCUUUUACAGCCACAUUCACAUUUUCUUUCUUGAUUUUGGCUUCUAUUACGUAGAGAGUGUUCAUUUUAUUUCCUUUAGCUAACACUAGAGAACCUUUGGUGAGCUUUUAUUUUCCUUCACCAAAUUGAUUAGUAUAACCAUCAUCAUCAAGUUUUCCGUGGAGAUCAAAUUAAGACGAAUAUAUGGUACAUGUCAAACAUCUUUAAGGAGUAACUUACAACCAACACUAGUUUCCAAGCAAAUAUCUCCCAUGCCCAAAAUCUUAGAUGCCCCCUCAUUUCACAUCCGAACAUGGCCAUAAUCACCAUUAACAUAGAAUGUGAAGUAAUCACGAUGUGCAGUAACAUGAAACGAAGCACCCGAAACAAUCACUGUUAUGGCAAGUGAGAUUUAUAGAGUUAUCAUAAAAAACAAUACCCAUAUCACCAUCAACUACAAUUGCAGUAUUCUCCUUGUCAGUUUUCUGACCAUCGCCUUUUUCUUUUGCAUGUUCUCUUUUCCAUAAUCUACACUCUCUUUUAACAUGACCCAUUUUCUGACAGUGAAAGCACUUCAUGUUUCUCCUCUAGGACUUAGAUCUUCCUCUAGGAUUAUCAUUAUUCUGCUGACGGAAAUUUCUACUUUGACUUCUCCCCCAUCUUUCUUGGUUAUGAAACAAGUGCAGCUGACUUAAAGGGAAUUACUUCAACAAUAUUUCUUCGAGAUUCUUUAUUUCGCAGUCUAUCUGUAACCAUAUCCAAGGUUAAUUUAUCAUUCGGCGCUGAAUUAUUCACUGACACCACUAAUAUCUCCCAUUUGUCAGGCAAAGAACUAAGCAAUAACAGUGCUUGUAACUCAUCACCUAGAAUGAUCUUCAUAGUAGUCAACUUAUCAACCAAGCCCUGAAACUCACUAAUGUGUUCAGUUAUACUACGACCCUCCUUAUAUUUCAAGUUGACAAGCCUUUUCAUCAGAUUGGCUUUAUUUUGUGCUGUUGGCUGCUCAUAAAUUGUUUCUAAUUUUCUCCAAAGAACAUCAGCCUUAGAUUCUUUUGAGACAUGAUGGUACACACUCUUAUCAAUCCAUGACCUAAUAGUACCCACGACCUUCUGGUUCAAUUGAACCCAUUUCUUAUCAUCUAUAUCAGCAGGUUUAGCUUCAUCACCUUUAAUAGGUUCAUGUAAGUUUUUCAUGUAGAGCAAAUCUUCCAUUCUAGACUUCCAAAUACCAUAAUUCCACAACUUCAAUUUAAUCAUUAAGGUCGAAAACUCCCCCAUCUCAACCACACAAGUAAUAAAAACACACAACCUGACUCUGAUACCACUCUAUUGGGAAAGGGACUACCACAAGCAGCUAAAAUUAAGCGGAACAAAACUCUUUCUCUUUUUGUGUGAUUAAAAUAGGAUGUGUACCACAAAUAAAUAUGUAGAAAAGUAAAUCAAUAAAUCCAAAGUAAAAACCAACCACAAGAGAUACCGAUUUGUAUGUGAAAAACCUAAAGUGGGAAAAAUCGUGGGACCGUAGUCCGAUAUAAACUUCCAUUAUAUCAAUGAGAUUACAACACAAAUUCUUCUCCAGAUAACACUAGAGGUUAACAAUAUCAAGAUUCUCAACAAUCUUGACUUACAAUAAUAGAUCUGAAAUCUAUUUCUCCAAUAAGUAAAUAUAUCAAAUAAUAGUUAUAACGAGAAUAAAAUACAGAUCAACACUAGUAGAAAUGUAAAGAGUGAUGUCAAGAACUUACCCUCCAAAUUUGGGAUAAAUCGGAGCUAAAAUCACCUUUCAAUCGUUAAAUUAAAUAUUGAAAUCCCCAAAGGAAACUUUCUGUCUCACAGCGUCUUUUUUCUUCGCGAAAGGGCUACAGUUCUCGCGAUUCUUCACUUAUUUCCUUUAUAUAUUUUCUGAUUAAUUUCAUCCAACUCCAAAAGUUUGCAAUAAUUACACAUCAAGCAAAUUAUUUUGGACUUUAGGCAUUUUGGUCCACCGAAGUGAGAUGGACCCUACACCUAUGUUGCUGCCAUGGCUUGACACAAGGCCUCAAGCUAAGCCUUCGCAUUGGCUCUUAUUACUUACAGCGGUGAUAAAACUCCCUAACUAGAAAAGCCUAACGUCUCGUUGACUGAGUAACUAAGUCUGUCAUAACCUCCCCCUUACAUAGCCAUAAUAAAGCAUGUGCUUCUUUUUCCUUAGCAUAUGCCAGCAUGCCAACAUUAGGUUCACUAUGCACCCGUUGUGACAUCUUUAAGUCCCUCAUAUGUUUUUCCCAUAUAAAACCAUUUGCUACCCGCAACAUGAUCAAAUACCAAUAGCUUCUCCACCAGUCAUCUUGCCUAGGGAUGGAAAUGGGCAUCGCUCGCAUCGGUUUGCUAUUGUCAAACUCGUACUUGCACAAAAUUUAAAUUACCAAACCCGCACUCGCACUUGCUGUGGGUUUUAAGUUUUUAAGAAAAUCCACCCGUUGUGGGUUUUUACAAUUACCAAAUCUGUAAUGGUACCCAACGGAUUUUUUGUGGGUUCUUACAUUUAAAAUCACAAAUGUUUAAUAUGUAAAUUUAUAUUGAUAACUUAAAAUUCCACAUAACAUACUUAAUUCUAAAUUUAAUCAACAUAAAUAGAAAAUUAAAAUUUCAACAUUAAUCCAAUACAAAUUCUCAAAUUUAAGAAUGAAAUAUAUAAAUCCAUAUAAAAAAAAACACACACAAAUGCUAUGAAAAAUUCAUAAGUGUGUGGCUGUGGUUCAUGGGUGAAAGGGGAAUGGGUGUGCGGCUACUGCUCACGGGUGAAAGGGGAAUAGUUUGGAAAGUUAGGUUUUGCGACUACUGCUCACAAGUGAAAAUGAAAUAAUUUGGGUUUCCUUUAGGUUAAGUUAUGAGUUGCAACUUACGCACACCACACGUGAUAUGCUUACACUUUAUAUUUAUUUAAUUUAUAUAUUUUUAGAUUUAAUUAUUUUUUCAAUUAAAAUUUUUGAAAAAUGAAUUAUUUUAAGAUUUAAAAGUGAUUUAAAAAAUUAAAAAUUAAUUUUAGUGUGUAGUGAAUUUUUAUAAAAUUCUCUUUUGGUUUUUCAAAAUUAUCUUGAAAAUUGUUAUUUUAAUUAUCAGUUGUUAUAUAUACACAAUUAAAAAUAGUAUAUACACAAGUUUAUAAACAUAUAAAUAAAUUUUAUUCAAUAUUAUGUCUAUUUCAGUCAUUUAAAUACUUAUAACAUUUUAACAGUAAAAUUUACCAAAUACAUACGAUUGCUUUUAAAACUCAUAGUAUUUCAUAAAUAAAUAUUACUAAAUAAUUUAAUUGAUUCUCUUCACAAUUGAUUAUUUAUACAAAAUAACUAAUAAAAAUUAUUUUAAAAAUUAUAAUAUUACUAAACUGGCCUUUAAUAUACAAUUAAAUCCAACUGAUGUCUAGGAGGCCUUUAUAAAAGAUGUACAAUUAAUUAAAAAGUUUAUACAUUUUUUUUAGAUAAAAAAUAAGAUUCUUCCUUGCAAAAGAUAGUUUAUAAAAUAUUUUAUAAUUUUUCAGUAGUAUUAUUUAAAAAAUCUUCUAUAAACAUGUUUUUUAUUUCUUUUUCAACACUCACAUGUUUAAGUCGUAACCAUCCAUUAAAGAUAAAUAUCGAUCUAUUUGUAUUUAAUUAUUAACAAUUAAAUGUACCUUGAUUGGACUAUGACAAUGAUACGUUGCCUGCACAGCAUUCACGUAACCCUUUUUUUUUUUUUUUUAUCAUUUUCUUUGUACAGUUUCGUUAUUCAAACUCCAUCAAAUAAAUCAAAUUCAUAAUAUAUAAUAUCUUCCUUAAAUUUUAUUUCAAUCAACUGUAUAUACAUGUUUUGUUGCCCAUAAAUUUCGAAGUAAAUAUUAUGUCUCUAGGCACUUGUUUUUAGCACUGGGAAUAAAAACNNNNNNNNNNNNNNNNNNNNNNNNNNNNNNNNNNNNNNNNNNNNNNNNNNNNNNNNNNNNNNNNNNNNNNNNNNNNNNNNNNNNNNNNNNNNNNNNNNNNNNNNNNNNNNNNNNNNNNNNNNNNNNNNNNNNNNNNNNNNNNNNNNNNNNNNNNNNNNNNNNNNNNNNNNNNNNNNNNNNNNNNNNNNNNNNNNNNNNNNNNNNNNNNNNNNNNNNNNNNNNNNNNNNNNNNNNNNNNNNNNNNNNNNNNNNNNNNNNNNNNNNNNNNNNNNNNNNNNNNNNNNNNNNNNNNNNNNNNNNNNNNNNNNNNNNNNNNNNNNNNNNNNNNNNNNNNNNNNNNNNNNNNNNNNNNNNNNNNNNNNNNNNNNNNNNNNNNNNNNNNNNNNNNNNNNNNNNNNNNNNNNNNNNNNNNNNNNNNNNNNNNNNNNNNNNNNNNNNNNNNNNNNNNNNNNNNNNNNNNNNNNNNNNNNNNNNNNNNNNNNNNNNNNNNNNNNNNNNNNNNNNNNNNNNNNNNNNNNNNNNNNNNNNNNNNNNNNNNNNNNNNNNNNNNNNNNNNNNNNNNNNNNNNNNNNNNNNNNNNNNNNNNNNNNNNNNNNNNNNNNNNNNNNNNNNNNNNNNNNNNNNNNNNNNNNNNNNNNNNNNNNNNNNNNNNNNNNNNNNNNNNNNNNNNNNNNNNNNNNNNNNNNNNNNNNNNNNNNNNNNNNNNNNNNNNNNNNNNNNNNNNNNNNNNNNNNNNNNNNNNNNNNNNNNNNNNNNNNNNNNNNNNNNNNNNNNNNNNNNNNNNNNNNNNNNNNNNNNNNNNNNNNNNNNNNNNNNNNNNNNNNNNNNNNNNNNNNNNNNNNNNNNNNNNNNNNNNNNNNNNNNNNNNNNNNNNNNNNNNNNNNNNNNNNNNNNNNNNNNNNNNNNNNNNNNNNNNNNNNNNNNNNNNNNNNNNNNNNNNNNNNNNNNNNNNNNNNNNNNNNNNNNNNNNNNNNNNNNNNNNNNNNNNNNNNNNNNNNNNNNNNNNNNNNNNNNNNNNNNNNNNNNNNNNNNNNNNNNNNNNNNNNNNNNNNNNNNNNNNNNNNNNNNNNNNNNNNNNNNNNNNNNNNNNNNNNNNNNNNNNNNNNNNNNNNNNNNNNNNNNNNNNNNNNNNNNNNNNNNNNNNNNNNNNNNNNNNNNNNNNNNNNNNNNNNNNNNNNNNNNNNNNNNNNNNNNNNNNNNNNNNNNNNNNNNNNNNNNNNNNNNNNNNNNNNNNNNNNNNNNNNNNNNNNNNNNNNNNNNNNNNNNNNNNNNNNNNNNNNNNNNNNNNNNNNNNNNNNNNNNNNNNNNNNNNNNNNNNNNNNNNNNNNNNNNNNNNNNNNNNNNNNNNNNNNNNNNNNNNNNNNNNNNNNNNNNNNNNNNNNNNNNNNNNNNNNNNNNNNNNNNNNNNNNNNNNNNNNNNNNNNNNNNNNNNNNNNNNNNNNNNNNNNNNNNNNNNNNNNNNNNNNNNNNNNNNNNNNNNNNNNNNNNNNNNNNNNNNNNNNNNNNNNNNNNNNNNNNNNNNNNNNNNNNNNNNNNNNNNNNNNNNNNNNNNNNNNNNNNNNNNNNNNNNNNNNNNNNNNNNNNNNNNNNNNNNNNNNNNNNNNNNNNNNNNNNNNNNNNNNNNNNNNNNNNNNNNNNNNNNNNNNNNNNNNNNNNNNNNNNNNNNNNNNNNNNNNNNNNNNNNCGCAACUAAAAUCCCUUAUUUUAAAUGUUUUUACUGUAUUUUAAAAUUAUUUAUUGUAUGUACAAAUAUUUGUAGUACUAAAUACCCUAACUCUAAUCAAUUUUAUUUUUAAAUUUAUUUCAAUAAUUUUUAGGGAAAAUUAUUGUUAUAUAACCAAAGUUAGAGAAAAUGGUCAUAUAGAUCCCCAUGUUUUAUAUAAGGGACAACAAAACACUCUUUUAACUAUAAUAUUCUUUGUAAAUAGUAACUAAAAAAUUGAUUUUAAAAUUUUUUAAUAAAUAGAAAAUAUACAAAUAUAUUUUUUAAUAUAUACACUAAGUUUUAAAAUGUAAAUUAUUAUACUUAUUCUAAUAAUAUAUUUGUAUUUAUUAUAAAAAAUUAAAUAAAUCUUUAGGUUAAAUAUAUUUUACAAUUAAUAAAAUAUAUUUCAUGUAUUAAUAAUAUGAAAAUUAUUUUAUAUUAUAUUGAAAAGAAUUUAAAUUUUUAUAUGUUUAUAUUAUGUUUUCGUUUAUUAUAAAACUUAGUUGAUUGUAAAGGAUUAAAAUAUUUUUUAAAUAUUAAAAUUAUUUUAAAAUGUAUAUAUUGUCAUUCAUUUUAAUAUUAUAUUUUCAUGUAUUAUAAAACAUUGGAAUUAAUUUCUUUAAAUUAAUAGUGCCAAAUGAUAUUAUAAUCAAAAGAGAUAUCAGGAUCUUUUAUUGAAAAUUUGAGGAGUUUACAUGACCGUUCCCUAAUUUUUAAAGUAUGAUGAAUAUAUAACAAAAUUUUAUUGAAAUGAAACGUAAAUGAGUAUAAUAAGAAUAAGUGAAUUGUUAAUCGUAUUGAAAACUCUAAAUUCACACUUGAUAAUUGUCAAUCUAAAGCUAACUUAUUUAAUAAUUAGGUCGAUUUUUAAUUAUUAUUAAUUUAUUAUUUCGUGUCAAGUUCCUAUCAAAUUCGUCCAUCAUGUCAAAAGUUGUUACCUCAAAUAAAAAUAAUUAAAUACAUUUAGGAACAUGUCACAUCUUUCUAUUUUCCCAUCGACAAAAAAUCUGAUGAGAAAAUUUUCCACCAACUUUGAUAUUGUCUUAUAUCCACUAUGUUUCCCAAAUCAUAUUUUUAUCUUGAUUCCAACUCUUGGUUAUUUUACUAUAUAUAAAAAAAAAAGAGAGAAAAAAACUCUGGAUUAUUUUAAUAGACAAACAAUCUUGAAUAUAGAUAAUAAGAAAUUAACAAUGUUAUCCCGCGAAUUUCACCCUCUAAUCAACAAGUGCAUCCUCAAUAUUAAAAUUUGCACGUUUGCUUAGAGAAUACUUAAAAAGAAAAAAAAAAUUGAAAUUAAAUAUUGAUGGUCAAAUUUGGACCAUGAAGCUAAAUUAUUGCUUAAUAACAAUCCAAUAAUUGCACAAAAAAUUAGAAAUUUUAGUACCAUCAUUUAAAAUAGAUUUUCCGUUUAUCGAAUCAAAAACCUGUACAAAUACUAUAUUAAUUUUUUAGAUAGUAAAUAAAUUUUUGGGUUUAUAUUUAGAAAACAAUUUAAAAAGAGAAAAUUAUUAAUAUUGUUAUUAAUAAGUUUUAUCGAUUAUUUUUUGUUAUACAUCACCACACGUAUUUUAAGACAUAAUAUCAAUUAUCUACAAGAUCAUCAUAAACAAUUUAUUUUCUCUAUAAUUAUUAAUGAGGUCAGAAUUAUAAAUCAUUGAACAAAAUCAGGAAAUAUCCCACGUGGAAUUUAUUAAAAAACCAGAAAUUAAAAUAUUUAAAUAUUAUUGAAUCGUGCUUGGAAACUCAGUCUACACGCCGUCUCCUUCCAUGCAUAAAAUUCAAAGUCAGUUGAAGUUUCUAAUGUCCAGGUUCAAAUAUACCCCCAACAUUGUACAAAACUACAGCUAACAUAUAUUGGUACAACCGUAAAUUAGGCGAACGAAGAUGAGGAUAUUUUCGCCACAAAAAAACCUCACCGGUUUCCAUCUCUGGCUCUUUCUCCAUUUUCAUGUGUUAAAUGUCGCCCUUCAAAGUACAACGGUCCAAUUUUCUCUCUGACUUUCUUUUUUAUUUAUUUAUUUUCUUAUUCUGUUUCUUUUUUUUUUCAAUUAAUUUCUCUCCGAACAAACAAAACCCUUAAAACCCCCAUUUGAAUUAAUUUAUUCGAAAAUUUUAAAUUAAAAGUAAGAGAGGAGGUCGAGUUGGAGUUAGAGGUAGACGAAGAGAAAGAGAAAGAGAAAGAGAAGGUCCAAAACGACAGACAUGAUGAUUGAAACGGCAAUGGAGAUUCUGGUACCAUCGUGGUGGGAGAUUCAAGUGACGGUGGCUGCGUCGCUGUGCGUGAUCGCCUCCUAUUGGUUUUUCUUUUCUAAAACCGGAGAUUUCGGCGUUGACCGAUCGCAGCUUGUUGAGAAUUCUUCAAUUAGUGCUAUUGAUGAUAAAGACAAGGUCAAAGUAAUUUUAUUUUUUCACCUUUUUUUUCUGUUUACUUUUAAUCUUUUUGACGCUGCUGAGUUUUGAUAUAAAUGAUGAGAAUAUUUGAAGUGUUAACUUUUUUCGAGGGAUUAGCUUUGUCUGAGUGUUGAAAGAUUGAUGAAAAUGGGCCAAAAAAAAUUGAGGUGAAUUUGAUGCUUGUAUAUGAUUAGGCAAUUGGGUAGAAUAAUGAAAAGGAGUCUUUGAUUAUUUGUUAAUAGAGAAUUAUGAAUGUUCCAUUAAUUAAUAACCUCCUCUGCAAGGAAGAUUCUUGACAAUUCUAGGAGCAUGUUUGGGGUUUGAGGUACUGUGGCUUUUUAUCCGAAAGUUGCUGUUGGUUGGAAUCAGCAACUGCAAGUACAAUUUAAUUUUAGUUUGGAUAUAUUUUUUGGACUCAAGGUGCAAAGACAUUUCAUUUUUUCUACUUUAUUUUAUAGAAUAGGAAAAUUGUAAUAAAUUCAGUUUAUUUAAAAAUUAUUUAUUUUUUCUUAUAUGUAAGUUAAUUAUGAAAUGCUAUUCUAUUUCUUUUCUAGAAUACCCGAUAUUUUCUUUUCGAUGCCAAAGUGUUAAAUUUUCAUAGAGCUUAGAUCUUUGUAUCAGUAACGUGAUGGUUAUCAAUUCAUUUUGGAUAGCGGCUGUCCUCUGUUUGUUUCAUAUUUUAUACGAUUGAUAGUGCUUUUUUGAAGGAAAAUAAAUUGAGAAAGUUUCUUCCUCUUUAUUUUUUUUUUAGGGUCACUGAUCUAGUAUGUUAUUAUAGCUCCCAACUAUGAAUGAAAGUUGGGGGAAGUUUGAUCUUUGCAGAAUAAAUCAAGAAAGGGAACAUUAUUGGAUUUAUUUUUAUAUGUGCAUAUACAUUACAAUGGUCCGGAGAUUGAUACAAAUCAUCUCAUUAUUCUUUGUGGAAAAUUCUUUAGUGGAUUUUGCUUCUGUUAUCAUUUAGUUUUGGUUUAAUUUAGGUUUAUGAAAUUCAAAAAAGGUUUACGAAAAAAGAAUACACCGUCUAGGGCUUUGAUAGGUUAGUGGUUGAUAAAUAUUAUCUCUCAAGUAAAUCUGGAUAUUACCAAACUCAUAUGCCACUGUGCUUUCAAAGUUAAGCAUAAACAUAACAGCUGCAAACAUACACUAAGGCUUGUUUCAGUUUAGAAAUUGGAGGGAGGCUCGUGAUAAAUUUCCUUUCUUUCAAGGGAUAUAUCUAAUGAAUUUUAACACAUCAGGGUUGAGUUUUAUAAAGUUGUAAUGUAUAGGUGGUCGGUGAUAUUUACCCAAAUAUGAAUUGUAUUUUUAAUUUUAUGUAAUACCUGUGUGAUCUUGUAUGUGAUUGUGCAGCUUGGUGUCUAAUUCACUACAAUUAGGGAAUCUUUUUCUCUUUGAGCUUUGGUUAUUCAUUAUUUGUUUGAUUCCUAUCUUUAUAAUUUCCAUGCUGUGUAAUGUGAUUGAUGCAUGAAAAGUGACAGUUGUCUUUCAUGUUUAAUAAUAUAUUUUGGUUUUUGGUUGCCAAAAAACACAGGAAAGGGAAAGUUAUUGAUUUCUGUGUAUUACCAAUUUUGUAAUUUGGGGCCAAAAUCGUAACUAAAUUGGCCAAGUAUAUUUGUUUGUCUUAGUUUAGACCAUAGUUAUUACAAGACUCUAUGAAAUAGUGUGCUUCACUUUUUAUAGAAAGAGAAUGAAGGACAAAUCUCAAGAUAUUGGUUAGCAAGCAGAUAACAGAAUUUCUGUUCUUUCUUGCACGCGAAAAAUUUUAAGUUUGAGGCUUUACAAUCAUCUUCUUCAAUGCAGCGUGUUAUUUUUUCUUGGUUUUGCAAGUCAAGACCACAUUGCUGAAGCUGUUGAGUUUUACAUUGUCCUUUAACUUCAAGAUUGGAAUUCCAGUUUGCUGUAAUAGGCUACUCUGCGUGGCACUUGUUUCAUCCAGUAAUUUUCCACUUCUUUGACAUGCAGUUCUUCACUUAUUUUGUAGAUGGUCCAGUUUAAAGGAGACCCUCAAACCAAUUCUGCAUAUUUAAUUAAGGUAUCUUUUCUUUUUGAUCUUGUUUAUGCUUUAAUCUGGUAUAUGUGAAGCUGUAAAUGAAUUCAAUCAUCUGCAAGUUUUCAUAGGAUUAAAUAUUAUGUCUUGACCAAUGUUAUGGAAUCUCCUUUGGUUUGAGAACAAGAUUUUGUUUGCCCUGUUUUUCAGUUGGAAUUGUUGGCAGCUAAGAAUCUCAUUGGUGCAAACUUAAAUGGCACAUCAGAUCCAUAUGCCAUCAUUACUUGUGGUUCAGAAAAACGAUUCAGGUUAUUUGAUCUAUCUUCUGCUUGUUCACAUUUUUCUUAAUAGGUGAUUAUUUCCAACUGAUUCGUUGAAUUUCUUUCACGAUUAGAUCUUUCAGUUCCUCAGGUUAUUAUUGUUAGAUUUCGGUGCCAUCACCAAUUUGCAUUUAUAUUUAAUUGUUAUUUGGGAACAUGAGAGAGUAUAACUGUACAAUGAGGGUUUUAAGAAAUUGUGGUACCAUUUAGACUGAAAGUUGGGUAACUUGAUCCUGAAGAUUUAAUGAAGGUAUAUGGCUAGGCUUUUGUGUUUUAUUUUAUUAUGCAUGUUUAAUAUAAGCUCCUCAAGUUACUUGGGAAUGUUCCUGCUUGAUUUCAUACUUGAUCUGUUUGCAUCUUUAGAAAUGAAUGGGGGCAAACGUUUCAUUUAUUAAUGGAGUGCAUGAAUAUGAAUUGUGUGCUAGUAUGUGAUUUUUAAAUAAGAGAUGGGACAGUUGAAUAUUAAAAAGAACUUGUUAGUUGAUCAAAAUCAGGAAUUGCAACUAAUUUAUUUACGUUUUAAAUGGUAAAAUACUUUCAUGCUUUAGUAAAUGUCCUCUUAUUUUCUUGUGAUAAAUGUUUGGUUGGUUUUAUACUGUGUAGUUCUAACUUUAUUGUGCCUGCAGUUAUAAAAUUUCUUCUUGUGUUGUUGGUGCAGUUCAAUGGUCCCUGGUUCCAGAAAUCCAAUGUGGGGAGAGGAGUUUAAUUUUUCUGUUGAUGAGCUUCCUGUUCAGGUUCCUGUUAUGAUUCACCAUUUUUACUACUGUUUCUUGUUUGGGUUAAUUAUUGAUUGACUUAGUGGUUUCAGUUGCUGAAUGAUGGAGAUCAUUGUUGUGAGUCUAGUUCUGGUAAAGAUGUUUAAUGUAUAAUAGUACAAUUUAUCAAAUGCCACUAAGAGACAGUGUGAUUCUGAGCUGACUGCAUGGCCCUCGGUUUAUGCCUUGCAUGUAAAAGCUUGGCCAAUAAGUAAAAGUUUUGUUCUUUGAGAAUUUAUGCAUGCACUUGUGGUCUAAUCUCAUAAAUAUUAUUGGCAGAUCCUUGUUUCUCUUAAGACACAUUCAAAAUAUUUUAAUUGUUUUGUUUAUUGUCAUUUAGUGCCCAAAAUGAGUUUGUUCCGUUACCUGAUGCAUUGAUCAGAUCCUUGGACCUAACCCAUUUUGUUUAAAUGAUAUUUAAAGUUACUGGUGAAAGUAAUCUCUUCCUUUUAUAAUAUUUAUAUUUCCUUGAUGGUCCAUAAUUGUCUAUAUCAGCGUGUCUCUUUUUGUGCAGUUGAUUUGUGAUUAAAAUCAACUUUUUCAAAUUGAUUUGGCGCUGACUAUUGUAGUUAUGAAUGACAUACUGAUAUGGUGUGAUGUUGUAGGGGUGGUUGGAUAGGUUUUGUAUGGAUUAUUUCCCUGCCCUUAUAUUUUUGUCCUUUUGAUUUUCUUUGUGGACAACAGGUUCACUUUUGUAUUUGGUUACUUUCUUCAAUCAAUGUAUAAUUGUCAAUUUUUUCCUAAAAUAGAAAAUCCGAUGUGUAGCGAGAGAUCCUGUGAAUUUUUUUUUUGGUUGUUUCAUUCAAUAUACUAAUAGCUUUAUCUACUGCCCUGACAGAUUAUUGUUACAAUUUAUGACUGGGAUAUAAUUUGGAAAAGUACUGUUCUUGGUUCAGUGACUGUGACAGUUGAAAGUGAAGGCCAAACUGGUGCAGUGUGGUAUACUUUAGAUAGCCCGUCUGGGCAGGUAGUCCUCUUUUGUAAAUUGUGUAAUGUUAUUUUAGUAUUUUCAUUAUUUGUUGUCCUUUUCAGUUUUGCUCAUUUUAUGUAAUAACCAACCAAAAUACCAUUUUAUCAGGUGUGUCUACAUAUUAAAACAAUUAAACUGCCUGUAAAUGCUUCCAGGUAUCUUUUGAUUCAUUUUUUUGUCCUUUUUGCUUUUGUUUGUACUGUUUUUCAUUUGUAUACAAUAUUUAGACCCCUACACUAAAACAUUGGCCUGUCAUUGUGUAGACAGUUUUUUCUUCUUUAAUUAAUCUCUGCUAGAACUUCUACCAUAAGGAAUUCUGGAAUUAUAAUUUUCUUUUAAUCUUUUACAUGUUGGGGUUGGUCAAUAAUGUUAUAACUCAUUUUAAGAAAUCUUUUCAAGAAUGUUUUCAUGGGUGAUCUCUUGCUUCGCCCUGUACGGUAAACAGUGUUUUGAAUAUUUCUUGAUGGUUGCUAUUUUGGUGGUUUAGCGUUGGAAAGAGUAAAGGAGUGUCUGGGAUGAUUAGUUAGAAUUAGAAAGUGUAUAAAGGAAUGUUUAAAAAGGAUAAAGAGCGAAGGAGGGUUGAAAAAUGAUAAAGAGGGUUCUUUGUAUGGUUUCUUGAACUUUUCCUAUGUCUUAGAUCCUGUGCAUCUGUGUCUUUUCCUAUAAUUAUCUGAGCAGGCAAUAGCAUUGAUAUAUUUCUGAUAUUGUGUCUGACCUUGGGGUCAAGUUCUGGACAUUUCUGUUUUCUCUUGCAUCCUAUCUACAAGGGGGAAUCUGGAGUUUUUGGGAGAGGAAGUGAGAUUUCUGCAUUUAUAGUUAAAAAUGUGGUUUUUUUGUCAAUAUUAUUUUUUCUUGGAUCCUCUGUAUUUAUGCUUUUUUUUCCCCUAAAAGUAUCUGAGCAGGGCAGUGACAAUGUUCUAUUUCAGAUAUUGUGUCUGGACUUGGUUUCAAGUUAAGGACAUUUCUGUUAUAUCUUGGACCCCAUCUACAAGGGGCAAUCUGGAGUUUUUCGGGAGAGGGAGAGAUAUUUCUGUAUUUAUAGUUGAAAAUGUGGUUUGUUUGUACUUUGUUCAAUAUUAUUCUGCACCGAUAGCAAACUUUUAAUUGACCUAUCUUAAAAUUUAAUUAUUUAUUUAUCAACUUCUUGUGCACGAUAAAUAAGAUUAUGUCACAUUGUUUUCCCUUUUAAAUCUGUAUGAUACAGAAUUAUCUGAUUGCCCAUUCACUGCAAAAUUUGGUGGACCUCUGUUGUUACCAUUGUAAUUGCUCUCAAAAGUAUGACAGAGUAGUAUUCACUGGCAGGGUAAUGAAUGGAUAUGCAGGAGCCAAUGCUCGAAGAAGGGCUUCCUUGGAUAAACAAGGGCCAACAGUGGUUCAUCAAAAACCAGGGCCUCUGCAAACAAUAUUUAAUCUCCUUCCAGACGAGGUCAGUUGCACAGCAGUCAUGACUUGGUAGAAUUAUUUACCUCCUCAGCUUAUAGCAUUUGAAACCUUUGGAUUAUGGAUAUGAAUGAAUCCUUAAUUUAGUGAUUCUGCUUACAGCUUGUGGAACAUAGUUACUCUUGUGCACUUGAGAGGUCAUUCUUGUAUCACGGCCGUAUGUAUGUCUCUGCAUGGCACAUAUGCUUCCAUUCUAAUGUCUUUUCAAAGCAGAUGAAGGUUAGUUGGUAUUUCUUUUAUGCCAUUUGCUAAGUUAUUUUUAACUGUUUUUUUUUUCUCUUAAGAAUAUUCUGAUAGUAUUUACGGCAUACCCAUGAAGAAUCUUACUAAUUGAUUGGGCAUGAUUGGUAGUUGCAUGUUUUAAUGCCGUUUUGUUUUCUUUUGGCAGGUGAUUAUACCAAUUGGAGAUAUUGAUGAGGUAAUUUCUUUCAAUCUUUUUCUUUUGAAGAUAUCUGUCAGAAAAUAUUUUUUUAUCCAGUGCCUACUGCCUACGGUGUGAUAAAUGAUAUGAAGUGCUUAUAUAAAAAGUUUCUUUAUGUAGAUACGGAGGAGCCAGCAUGCAUUCAUUAAUCCUGCUAUAACAAUUAUUCUCCGGAUGGGUGCUGGUGGGCAUGGCGUACCUCCUUUGGGAAGUCCAGAUGGUGAGUGGCAAUUUCCUUUUUUGACAAUGCUUAAAAGGUUUGUCUAUACAUUUUUUUUUUAAUUUGUUUUCCUUCAAAUUUUUUCCAUAUCUGGAAGAGAAUCAUGCUUUGGGCUUGCACUUUUGAUUCUCAGCAUUUUUUCAAUUGAGUCAGCAUGCUAGUGAUAAAAUAUGUGCAAGCUUUUGAGUGCUGAUUUGGUUGAUGUAUUUGUGUGUUAUAAUCUGAAACAUAGAUCUACUUUUAUGAUGUCACUUCUGUGUACUGGAAUCACCUUUUUUGGUUGGGGGGGGGGGGGGUGUGGAUGAUGCGUUAGUUUGGUUAGUUAGUCAUAGCAAAUAAGCAUCUUCAUUCUGUGAUUGAUGGGGAUCAACCCUAUGUUUGACAAAUUUCUGUUUUGGAAUUUUCCCUAAAAAAAGGAAUAACACCAUUGCAGUUAAAAGUUUGGGGAGAAUAUAGUUCCUUUCCGGGAGGAGGUUGGAGAUGCUAGUGUCCCAUCUAUCUUUGACAUAUUUUGUAUAGCACAGAAUUUUUUUUUCACUUUUCUGCUUUCUCAGUGGACAGCUGGUCCACUCCUUGUAAUGAUUCUUCAUCAUUAAUAUAACAUACAGUUUCUUAUUCAAAAAAAAAGAAAGAAAAGAAAGAGAGUUUGGAGAUGCUAGCUGCAGUAAGAAUGUUUACUGAAUAUUAAAGAUAGAGGAGAAAAUUAGACAUAGAGGAUAAAUUAGACACUUUUCAACUUUGUCAAAUUCAAGGAGUAAUUUAAAUGAUGGGUAGAUAAUCUUCAUUUUAUCUAUUCAUUUCUUUGUUUCUUUUUUCUUUUUAAAACAUUUUUCAGCUGGUCCAUACUUGUUCUCUUUGGAAGUUUCGUGAGUGUAUACUCAAUUAUCUACUUUAUGUUUGAUAGAGGAAUAGGAAUGGAAGAGCAGAGUGUGGGAGGAUUCAAAGGAUUUAGCUUAAAAGUAAAGAGUUUUUUUCUUCAUUAAAUUCUUAUAAUGAAAUUAUUCGAAGAAUUGUAUGAUUGUUGUAGUGUGUUACCUACCAUACAGGCACGUUAGAGGUUUACUGAGUUCAUUUUCAAAGUAUAUAAAGGAUAUACUGUUGAUUUUGAUCCACUGGACAGGUUGGUCUCAAGUUUGAAAUGAUAUAUUCAGGUUUUGUAUUUUGCAAGGGAGAGAGAUAUUUUGUUAGAAAAACUGUUGAUUGUUGGUAAAAUAUAGUGUUACAUAGCAGAGUAAGGGUAUUUGUUAUUUCAGAUUCAUGGUUAAAUCUUGUUUUUAUGACAUGUCGAUAUUUAGCUUGUUCUUCGUCAAUUUAAAGUGUCUUAUGCUAUAUCUGGAUUUAUAUUUAUUGAAACUUCUCCAUUUUAAUGGUUUUUUCCCUUUUGACUUUGAAGUGCUUGUUCAAACUGGAGUGGAUUAUAGAUGCUUCAUCAGAUGUGUUGGCAAAGCUUUACUUUUGUGGCACUAAUUUCAAUUGCAAACUUUGCCCUGAUUUUUAACAUGUUUUAUUUCAGCUUGCAAAUAGUAAUGAAUCAUGUCAUAGGAUUCACUUAGUAGACUUGAGUGCAUGAAGAUUCUGAAAAAGUGCCCCACUCAGUUAGAAUCUUGAUUGCAUGUAAGGUUCACCCUAAUUAUGAAUUUAGCUAACUUUCCUGUUACUUCCUUUUUUAAUUAGUUUUUUUUGUAUAAGAAUGUGUUUGAUUUCAAUAAUUGUGGUGUGGUAUUUGUGUGUCCUGAUGCAAGUUUGUAAACUGUUUCACUCUUCUUAAGUUUGAACUAUCCUUGCUUGAUAUGCUAGCAUUACAUAAUGCUGCCUCUGAAUAAUUAUGUUUCAUUGCUUUCCCUUAGGGCUUCAGUGGUUGCUCUGUAAAAAUUCUGAAUCUGAUGUGCAGAUUGAUAUUUUGAUUUAAAUGAAAAGUUACAUUUAAAUACACCAGCUCUCACUUUAGAAAUUUAUCGAGUAUUCUCUGAAAUAUGCCCUUUUUAAGGUUACUGUUAUGCUUGUGUUUCAAAUGUCAUGUCGGUGUAAAACACUAGGUCAAUUUCUUGUUUGUUGAAAAUCAUGCACUUCUAUGAUGACUGGAGUGUAUUGUAAUAUAUUUGAAUAUGAACUUCCAUUUAAAACAUCUAAUUAUCGUACGAACUAAUAUCCAGUGUAUUGGCUUUCCUUGAUGGGUGUUAUUAUUACUUUUGUGUUCUGUUUAGGUUAUUGAAUAGUGGAACAUCAUGUGUGAUUUGGAUGCAUUUUCAGUUUGAUCUGAGUUGUUGAGGUUUCUUUUUGGCCUUUAUUUUCUCUUUCAUUUUCAGGUAGGGUCAGAUAUAAAUUUGCAUCAUUUUGGAACAGGAAUCAUGCCUUGAGACAAUUGCAACGUAUUGCAAAGAACUAUCAUAAAAUGUUAGAGGCUGAGAAGAAGGUUCGUUCGUAUUGCUUCAUGAAUCAUUGUGUCUGUAACUUUUAUCAUUAUUGACCUUUACAACUCUAAUCUUGGUUAUCAACUGUAUGGAUAAAAUGGUCAUCGUUUAAAAUUGUGAAGAGGUCUGACACAAAUCGCUAAGUGGUUCCUAACCCCAUAAUGACUAUGGAAAUAAGUAGAUUCACAUAGUUCUUUCCAACUUGUUGAAGUUAAAAUAUGAAUGCAUGGGGUUUCAUUGUCUGGUAUUUACUAAGAGUCGUAUCAUCAAUGAGCUGUCUUUCCGAGUUCUUGAUUUAGCGAAAUAGAACUCUUAUACUGGGUUUUUAGUAAUACAAUACUUCUGGUUUAUUAGUAAUAUAAUACAGAAACAAUGUAGAUAUUAUAUUUCCUCUCUGUUGUCUAUAUAGCUCUUUUUCUCUAUUGCUGCUACUAAAACAUCUCACACACUUCUCAUGUGGCAGGAUGUACCCCUUUACUGGAGUUCAUUCACUAAUGUUGAGAAUAAAACAUACAUAUUAAAAAAAAAUAUGUACAUAUUUUGGCACAUCUAUAAACUGCUAAGUAGUCAUGGCUUUGUCAACACAUUUUUAAGACGCCCACAUUUAAUUACCACCAUAGAAAGGCCAAAGUUCAACUAUUGUGUUCUAUUUUAGAAGUUAAAGUCAGUCUCUUUAAUGUUACUAACAGUGAAGGAGUUUUCUAUCCUGUUGUGUCAGGCAUUGAUGGUUGUCUUCCUUGUUGGAAUUGAUAGUUUUUUCAGUUUUGCUGAAACUUUUGGUGUCCGAGCUGCUACACUUAUUUUGGGCAUAUGUCCUGACAAGAUACAUCUAACCCAUUUGAAAUGGGAUUAGGAUCAGAUCUUGGAUAUGUAUUUUGCUGAACUUUUUCUGUGACUAGUAUGAUUUAAUGAAGAAAAAAGUUAAUUCAAUCUGCUUGCUGCUGUAUAGGAGAAGGCAGAAUCGGCGUUGCGUGCACAUAGUAGCUCCAUUAGAGGUAGUAGAAGGCAGGCUAAGAUUGCGGAAGAAACAGUCACCAAACCUGAAAAGCUUCAACCUUUUAUCAAAGAAGAGGUUCUUGUUGGUAUAUACAAUGUACGCAUCAUCUUUUUCCUUCUUUCAUGGUCUAUGAAUUUUUAAGUUGUGUUAUUACCAUUAUAGAAUGCAUUAAUGUAUUUUGCAGGAUGUUUUCCCAUGCACAGCGGAACAGUUCUUUACUUUAUUGUUUAGUGAUGAUUCUACGUUCACAAAUGAGUAUCGUGCAGCUAGAAAGGAUACUAAUCUUGUUGUAAGUCCAAGUCCAUUUUUUGAAAUCAUAGACCCUAGAAAAUUGUUUCUUCCUUUUGUAUUCUCUAUAUUUGAUCAACGCAUUUUUCUUUACCAUGAAGAAAAAGAACAAAAGAGCUUCUCAUGGUAAUGCAUUUAUGAUUUAAGGAAUAUCCAUGUUGAUAUGUUAAAAAGGAUUACGAGCUAAAUCUUUAAAGGAUGCAAAAGUACCUUAAACACGGUGCUGAUUAUAUAAGUACCUAAAUUGGAUAUGGAAGUUUAUAUGUUGCAUACCUGGUUUAGGCAUUCCAGCCAGUGGAAUGUCAAGGAUAAUUAAAACAUAUGUUAAAUUAUAGAAAAGAAGAUUGUUUGGAAAGGAUAUUUCCCAUUUUUCUUUUAUAUCGUUGGCAGUUAGGAUUUGCACAUUCUAGAGUUAAGCUUAUUAGAGGCAUUAGGACUAAUGCUGAGCUGGUAGUGCUCUCCAUGAUGUCUAGGACAACGGUUCCUUAAAAACCAAAUUAUGGAGGAAACAACGUUAUGUAUUCUGAUGUAGGACUUGGAACCUUGUUUGGUUAGCACUGAGUAUUGCUUCUGUUUGUUCUAAUUAUCCUGUGUACACUGUAUGGACUACUUGUGAAGUUCAGAUGAUUAUAUUAGCCCAAUUGCUAGUUCAAUGGGCAAAUAUUGCCUCAAAAGGCCUGCUCUUGUCCAUCCAAAUAGAGCUUCUGUUUGGGGUUCGGGGUUGAUAAGGGUCCGGGUAAGCAGUUUUGUUUCUGAUGAUUAUCCAUAUGGAUCACUUAUCCUUCCAGUUCCGUGUGCUUUUCCAUCUAAGAAGAAGAUUUUAUUUCUGGAUUCUGAAUAUCGGUUGGUUGAUAUUGAAAUAUUUGCUUACUAUCUCAUGCUUUAUCCAGAUGGGACAGUGGCAUGCUGCAGAUGAAUAUGAUGGUCAAGUAAGAGAGAUCACAUUUAGAUCUCUCUGUAACAGUCCCAUGUGUCCACCUGACACAGCCAUGACGGAGUAUCAGCAUGCAGUUUUAUCACCAGAUAAGAAAAUAUUUGUAAGGCUAUCUGUCUCAUUGCCUUAAUUUUUGGCAACAUUGAUAAUGUGCUUGCCAUUGUUUUUUCUUAUUUAUUAUCUAAUAGUUUUAAAAAAUUUGCAUUGUUAUUAUUUCUGUCUUAUUAUCUUCAAAUGGCACCUUGCUUGUUAAAAUCUGACGUCAAUGAUUUUUUCUUGUAAAUUUUGGAUUAAACAUGUGUCUUUUCUUUUAGGUUUUCGAGACAGUCCAACAGGCACAUGACGUUCCAUUCGGGUCUUACUUUGAGGUAUGAAAUAUUUUUCUAUUUGGACAUCAUACUUUUGGUUCACAUUUCUUAUUAGAUGUCAAUGUUAAUUGAAUUAAACAAGACAAGUUAUUUUGUUUUAUUUUAUUAUGUUAAAAAAAUAAAUAAGUAGAACAUCUGAUAUAUUUAAAAUUUGUAUGGUCAUCAUUACUUUUUUUCUGUGCUAAGAUAGGUGAACCAGCAUUUUCCAAAAUAUUUUAGCGUAACGUGUUUUCUGGUUGUAUUUCCUUGCUUAGAGGGUUGUAACCUAUAAGAGAAAUAUUCCACUUUGUUAAUGCAAUGUAAUUGUUCUGCUGUAUCAGAUUCAUUGUCGAUGGCAUUUGGAGACCAUUUCUGAAAAUUCCUCUACUAUUGAUAUUAAAGUGGGUAAGUUUUGGUUUGAUGUUCAUCUCUUUGACUAUCUUUUCCUAUUGCUGUGAUGAUUUUUCAUGCCCUAAUAAUGGUUGAAACAAGCUUGCAUCAAGAAUUGUCGUGGCAUCCUGUGAGGACACAGAAGCAUGUAAAUUAAUGCUGAAGGUGUUAGAAUCUUACUGUUGCAUUGCAUUGAACCUGUGGGUCAAAAUAUUGAGCAACUCCAACCUUGCUUUUCUUUUUUAAUUCUAGUGCUUGGAAUUUACUGUUUGUGCAAUAUCUGCAGGUGCACAUUUUAAGAAAUGGUGUGUCAUGCAAUCCAAAAUCAAGACAGGUGCUGUUAACGAGGUUGGUACUCUAAUUGUACAAUUUUCCUUAUUAAUCUUUUCUUUAUUACAAUGAAAAAUGAACUCCAUAAUUUUUGAAAUAUGAAUGAAUUUAGUAAGCAAUGAAUUCUUUUGUUCUAUGCCAGUACAAGAAAGAAGUUGAACUGAUGUUAGAAACGGCACGUUCAUAUAUCAAGACACGUACUUCCGGUGGCGAGACUAACAACCAGUCGUCCACUCCAUCUGUAACUCCAGAUUGUAACUAGUAGUGCAACCGUAUCAGAUCCAGUAAUUUAUGUUGUUGUAGCAGUCCCCAUUUUUGAAUGUAUAAUACACACGCACACACACAUAUAUAUACACACAGCCCAAGGUCCCUCGUGAUGGUGAUAGUGUCAUCAUCUUACCUUGUGCGCUGAUGUAGUUAUUCGCUGUGUAAUGGCGAUUUGCAUUUUUUUCCCCCUCGUUAUGUAACUGGAUUUCUCCUCUAGUGUAGCAGCAAUCCCAGAUGAGAAGAUGAAGUUUGUUUUGAUCCGAUGUAAAUAAA
This 92800-nucleotide long non-coding RNA is filed under the name Citrus x clementina. RNAcentral's name for it is "Citrus clementina (C. clementina) long non-coding RNA (CCLE_LNC004483)". Lineage: Eukaryota; Viridiplantae; Streptophyta; Magnoliopsida; Sapindales; Rutaceae. The record is from RNAcentral.